This 129294-nucleotide long non-coding RNA is filed under the name Olea europaea (common olive). Its description in RNAcentral is "long non-coding RNA (OEUR_LNC007663)". The record is from RNAcentral. Lineage: Eukaryota; Viridiplantae; Streptophyta; Magnoliopsida; Lamiales; Oleaceae.
ACCUCAAUCUCGUGUAGUGUUUAAAUAUAGCUAAAUUCAUAAGGAAUCUUCUCUAGUUUUUUGCAAAAUCUCAACACCAGUCGUUCAAGAACAUGGAAAUGAUCAUUUAAGGAAUCUCAUUGUCCAAGAUCUGACACAAUAAUUCAAGGAAUUUUAGCUUUUGGAGCUCAUUAUCCUGUGUUCCAGAUUUUCCCUCAAAGACGUCCAACUCUAAUUUCAGAAUCUUAAGUGUGGCGCCUUAAUGUUGUCCCAACAAUCAAAAUAUUAGCGUGGAGAAUGUUCUACAAUGCGCUAACCACUAAAUGCAAUAUCCGAAGGAGGAUAGCAUGCAUGCCUCAUUUCUUUGUUUGAAAGCAAGGGCAGUAUGGAAUGAGUUAGAUGGGUGGGAAACCAUCAAGGGCUGUUUGACUCCACUGACAAUGGUGAGAUGAGCUUAGACCAUAAUAUAGAUCCAAUCACUUGUCAAACUAACCAUAAUGUAGUACAAUUUGCAACCGGAUCAUUAUUUAUUUUACUUACAAUAAAGAAGUCAUAACUUCAUGCUAACUACAAAGAAAAACAACUAACAAUUGACAUGGAGCCCGAAAUUAUUUUCUAAUCAUGAGGUGUGGGAUGUAAAGGAAUCUGUAGCAAGGAAAUUUAAAAAAUUUAAAAAUCAAUAAUAAAAAUGUUUAUUUCAGGAACAAAAAAAAUGAUGGAAUGAGCUUUGACUUACACAGUGUACACCAGUAGAACGAAGUUGUCUUUACGGCCAAUCGCUAUGGAUGGUCACAUCAAACUCUGUAUUACCAUAAUCCAGUUGUUCUUGACGAAUUUCCAGAGCUGAAUUUUCAACAUUUUCACCACAAUAAGAUAACUCAAUCCUCUUUAGUGUUGAAAUGUAACUAAAUUCAAAAGGAAUCUUCUCUAGUUUUUUGCAAUAUCUCAACACCAGUCGUUCAAGUACAGGAAAAUGAUCAUUUGACGAAUCCCACUGUUCAAGUUGUACAAAAUAUAAUUGAAGGAAUUUGAGUUUCCGGAACUCUUUAUCCUUCGUAUCCCAAUUUUUGCUGAAAAGGCGUAGUCUAAUUUCAGAUUCUCGAGGUUGGGCAAUGUCCCAAUUAAUGACAUAUCUUCCCAAGACAAACCAAGGUUAAUAAGAGUAAGCUUUUUGAUAUUCAUAGGAAUUUUAAACAUCGAGUAAUCACAUCCUAACAGUGUUCCUGCAAUUGUGAGUGUUUGAAGCUGAGAAAGAAAGUUGAGAUCAGGAAAGUAAUUGUCUAUUGAUAUGUAUUUAAGCAUACGAAGAUUAGGUGAACAUUUCAAGAUUUCUUCGUCUUCCAAAUCGACAAUCUGAACGAGACCAGGGGUUUGUAGGCAAUUUAUUCGGAAGCUAUCACUGUUCUUAGUGAAUCUUGCACCACCAUAGUAGCCACCUUUAUAGUAGAUACCGACCCUUAAAUGUCUCAACUUAGGCAUAUUGAGAAGGUAUGUCGGUACUUCAUUUAUGUCAUGCAAACAAAGAUAUUCAAGGUUAUGGAGUUUGCCUAUUGAUGGCUCUAAUUUUGAAAAAUCCAAGUAUCUUAUGUCAGGCACAAAUCUGAUUCCCCGUAGAACAUUUCUAUCACUGUUUAAAUCAAAGAUCCUAUUUUUUUCCAAAUUAUAAGCAAUGGAGAAGGCCUCGAAAAUAUUCUCGGAUAUCAAGACGCGAUGAAACUGACCCAUAUACAAGUGAUGGAGACGGCAAUGGUUAGAUACCAAGAAUUGACUAGAGAUGUAGAAUGAGGAUCAUCAUCAGUUUAACCACAUCAACCAGCAUCAGCAAUAGCAGCAUCAUUGACAUAAUUACAACAAAUUAGUAAGGAUAAAUUGGAAACUAAAGUAAAACAAGAAGGAAUAAGACAGAGAGAGAGUUAACUUACUGUUGAAAUAGAAAAUUUUCAUCUUCUACAACCAUUUUGCUGCACAUAUCGAGAACUAGAUCAUGAAGAGUACAUCCUUUUACUCCAUCGUCAGAUCUUCUUUUGGACACUUGAAGUAGGCUCCUGUUAACAAGUUCCAUUAAAUACUCCUCUGCUACAUCUUCUAAGGUCUUUUGCUCCCUUUUCUCUAUGAAUCCUUCGACUAUCCAUAGUAAUAAUAGUUUCCGAACUGGAAUUUCCUCGUCUUCCUGGAAUGCACUAAGAUAAAGGAAACAUGGCUUCAAGUGAUCUGGUAAAUGGAUGUAGCUAAGUUUCAAUGUGGGAAUGUAGUCGUCAGCUUUUUGGGAAAUGUAAGAACUUAAACUUUUAGCAACUUGUUGCCAUAAGCUUUCUUUUUUCUCCAUAUUUGAAAGAAUUCCAGCUAUCAAAACUACUAAAAGUGGUAAUCCCUUACAAUUUGCUGCAAUUUGCUUUCCAAUAUCUUGCAGCUCUUGAGGACAACAUUCUUUUUUGAACACCUUCUGCUCUAAUAAUUUCCAACUUUCGUCUGGUGACAGGGGAGAAGGUUCAAUGAUAACAUGAGAAAUUUCCGAUGCCACAUUUUUCAGCCGACUGGUAAACAUUACUCUGCUUCCAUUGCUAUCAUCUGGAAAUAACCUUUUCAAAUCAUCCCAUGCUUCUUUCUCCCAUAGAUCAUCCACAACAAUGAGGUAUCUUCUACCCUUUAAACUUCUGUAAAGAAGUUCGGCCAACUCUUCUUCAUCUUUUAUUUCUGAAAUGUCGUCUCUGUUAAGAUCACUUACAGAACUCAAAAUAUCAGUCAACAGCUUUCUCUUUUUAUAAGUUUGAGAAACAACACACCAAGAAAGCUUAUAAAAAUGGUACCGAACAUGGGAAUGAUUGUAUAUUUUCUUUGCUGAGGUUGUCUUGCCAAGUCCACCCAUUCCAACGAUGGAAAUAAUCUGGCGGUAGUUUGGUCCUCCAACAAGCUUGCUCACAAUUUGUGUUGUCGUGUCCUCUAAGCCCACAACGAUCUCUUCUACCAUGGGACUGCUUUUAUCUUGGGAUGAUGAUACUUCACUUGGACUUUCUGCAACUUGUAGGCUUCCAAUUCUAACUUCACUUGACAAUUCAAUAAUGUAAUAUUUAGCCUUCACUAGCACAAUCUCAAUCCUUUCUAACAGACCAAAAAUUGCAAGAUCCAUUUUGGUGGUGGUAACAAGAUCUGUGGUGAAAAAGAAAGAACGCAAGAAAAGUCCUGCUUCAUUAAAUACAGCUUCAAUUUCUGUGAAUAUACUCUUCUUCCAUAUUUCCUCCAAGAUUGGAAUCGGAUAAAAAAGAAACGCGAGCAGAAAUUUCAACCCCUUCCGAAGAAAUUCGAGUUGAUUACUCACAAGAACGGUGGAAUCCUUAUGGCAACUAAGCAAUUCUUGAAUAGUUUCAAAAAGAAACACGACGAAGAUUUCCCAAUGUUUAUCUAACAUUAAAUAUUUUAUGAUGGGUGUUUCAAUUGUGAAAAACCUUUUAAGAUUUGGCAUGGAAGCGAGAACGAUUUCUAAAAAGUUUUUGUAAUGUUCAUUAUCGUGAUGAGAAAAGAUCUCUUCGUAUAAGAUGCAAUCGGAGGCCGAAUCAUCAAGAUGCUUCAACAGAUAAUACAGAUCGUAAAUAUAAAAUGGUCCGUAGCCGUCUAAAUGGUCGCGUUCAAAUACUCCUUUUGCAUAUUUGAAAAAAAUUAAAAAGUGUGGACCGAGCCAUUGAAAGCUAACAUUUUUUUCUCCUCCAUCAAGCCUUAAAGGUAGCAAACGAGAAAGGAGAUCUUGGCUUUUGACUAGACGAGACAGAUUUUCGUAAGAGAGAUCCUUCAUAGUCGAUUGGGACGGAAAGAAAGAAAAACACUCCAUUUUUGGUUUGGGCAAGGGCAAAAGGCUGAGCAAAGAGAGAAUAAUGAGAGUGAAUUUGUCUCAUGAACCUCGGACUUCGGUCUUGAGUUUCUUGGUUUGCUGAAAUGUAGUGCUAAAUCUUUACCGGAGGUCCAAGUUUUUGUCUAAUAUUGCUUCAAUAUCCCUCUGGAGCUUUGCCUCAAAAACUGAAAUAGCAGGAUCUUUAUAAAUGAAGACGAACUUGAUUUUUUCUUCUUCAUUUGUAAUGGGAAGAUUGGCAUCGUCAUUCAAUUCAAAAUCAUUAUGUGUACCCAAUUUUCCUUGAAGAAGGUUCAAUUUUGGCGUAAUUAUCGAAUUUUUGCAUUCCUCUUAGCAAUAGCACUCUUCAGUCCUCUCAUUCACAAUGCCGUCUCAAAUUGCCCGUCCUUGUCUUUCUUCUUGUUGUCACCAAGUUUCCGCUUCACAUCUUUGUAAUUCCUGAAAAUUGUAGUAUAUUCUAUUAGCAGAAUCUUCUCUGUCCUCUAGUCCAUUCAAGAGCAUCAACUACCAGUUUAGAUCUUCUUUCUUCUUGUUAGGAUUUAUGUUGUAUUGGCAAUUCUGUAGACAAAAUUAAGUCCAAGUUAAAUUAUGUUAGGAGUUUAUUGAGUUGUGAUUAAAGUCAAAAGAGUUGGAAUUGGUAGUCCAAAAUGUUCAAGAAGAUCACAUGUGAUAAAUGAAAAUUUAAUUAGAAGUCUAAAAAGUGUCAAAGAGUCGCAUAAAUUAUGUUCCAAAUUCUCAGUUGUAAAUUGCAACGCAUUGUUAACAAAGAAAUCAUUGGAAUUUGGACAAAGGUGUCUAGAAGAAUUGUAUCCCUUUAAGUUAGCUUUCCAAUGCAUUUUGAAUCAACUCAAUCAGAUAUCGGUAGUGAAAGUUAUGAUGAAAAUACUGCUCAAAUGUCACUGGCUUGAUGCUUGAGCGGCAGUAUUACAUGUUAACCCUAGUUCGUGUCUUUCAAAAAUUUUAUUUGGCCCAUGCUACCUAAUUACCUCAUACUAUAAAUACCCAAACCUAACAUGUUUUUUGGUGUGGUUGUUCAUUAUAUUACUUCUUCAUAAUAUCAUUCCAAAAUCCAAGAACACGUUCAAGCAUUGAGAUUAAUCAUUUAAUUCUUGAGAUCAUUCAACCACAACUUUGGGAAAACACCAAAUUUAUGUAAUCCAAAAUACCAACUUUCUAUACACAUAUAGGAAGGUACUUUUUCAAUAACUUUCAGAGGCUGCUGAAGAUUGAGAGAGGUUGGAUCAGAAGUAUAGGAAGAGUACAAGAAUGAGGCAUUUUUGGUGAUCAACAGGAGAUAGACAAUUUCAUAAGAUCGGGAACAUGUGUGAGUGAAGCAUGUUCCAGUGGGUCGUGGGGAUUGCAUGAAAUUUUCUAGACUGGAUCGUACUGUAAAUUCAUCGUUGUUUAUAGUUGAGUUUACUUAUUUGGUCCCAAAAUUUUUACCUAGUUGAGUUUUCUUCGUCAAUAAUCUUUUAUGUUAUUUACUACUUUUUGAUUAUUGUAUGAUUAACAAUCUAGAAAUAAUUAAAAAGUGAGUUGUUGCUUUUGAUUGAUAAUUUUAAUUCUGCACCUAUUCGCCCCCUCUAGGUGAUCUUAGGGUCGAACUAGUAACUUUCAAGUGGUAUCAGAUCCUAAAAUUGAUCCUUGACCAUAUAGACUUAUAUGAGUUAACAUUAUCCAUUCCUCAUUAUUUUGAUGGUAGUACUAUGCAUAUUAGAAGGUUAGAAUAAGAGCCUUCCUUUAGUCUAUGAAUGAGCGUAUUUGGUUGAUUGUAGUAAAUUGUUGGGCUGUCCCUUCUAGAACCGUUAAUGGUGUUAUCACCCUCACUCCUAUUGUUAAUUGGUCGAAAUCUAAUUUAGAUAAGUGCAAUUGGAGUGGUAAAGCCCUACAUGCGUUAUUUAUUGUAGUGUCCUUAGAAGAAUUUAGGCAUAUAUCUAUGUGUGUGGUUGCGAAAGAGGUUUGAGAUAUUUUACAGACCACACAUGAGGGAAAUCAUUGUUCAUGCAGGUAUUUCUAGUUAUUAAUUCUCAAUUAAUUAAGAUUCACAUUCAUUUAAUCAAUGUUUGUAUUUAUAUAUGCAUUUCAGUGUUUUUAUUUCUAAUUAUAAGUUAAUUAGAGUUUCACGUUCAAGAAUGAAUUUCAUUAUUAACAUCCGUGUAUGCUAAUUAGCAAAAAAUUUCACUUAAUUGAAAACUAAAUUAUAUUCAUUUAGUAUAAUUGAUUUAAAAUUCACUACUACAUAUAUAUAUUCCCGAUAUUAAUUCCAAAUUAAUUAACAUCCACAUUAAUUAAUGUAUUGUAUUUGCCAUUUAUCUUCAUUUAUGAUUUAUUUGUAAUUCUAAUAUUCACAUUCAAGUGUGCAUUUCACGAUUUACCUGCAUGUAUAAAAUCAACUAUUUAAAUUUUAUUCGCAAAUUGGUUGUCAUUUCAUAUCAGUCAUCCAAUAUUUUGUUUUUCUUUCUAACACACCAACGGACUGGUUUUAGUCAAAUUGAAGUUUGCAAUGACAAUAAAAAGGGUCCAAGGGUAGACAAUACUCAUGUCAGAGUAUAUAUUCCACAACAUGUAUUCUUGUAUGGACAGUUAUACAUUGCACUUUGACAAGUAAUUUCUAUAGCAACUACAAAGGUUUUAAUUAAGUCAAAUACUCCUAAUCGUAUAUAAAAUAUAAUGUUAUAAAAAAAAGAUUCUUAUUGAAUAAAUUGAUUUUUGUUAAAUAAUUUUCAUAUUCACACAUUUUGAAGUAUUAUUUUCAUGUCACUUACAAAGCAUUUCAAAAUAAUGUGCAAUUCACAUUAAAAAUCAUGUUAUCUUCUUUUUUCUUUUCUUUUUUCCUUGCAAGCUGGCCAAAAAACUCGGCAAAAUCGUGUUCGAUUCACCAGUUUCCGAUUGAACCUAAAUUUUAUUGGAUUAUUACCGAUUUUUUUUUAUCUCUAGUUACAAGACAAAAAGCAAAUUGAUUACCCAAAUAGUUAUGGUUUUUCAAAUUGAUCGGUCUGGUUCGCGUUUGAAAAUAUUGCUUAUAACGCUCGAAAAUUACAAUAGUAGAGAAAUACAUGAAAAGAAAAUGAAUAAAAGAAAUUUACAAGUUAACAAAUUCGAGACUGAGAUGUAGAAACAACCAUUUUUCAAAUUAUCCAUAAUAUAAUACAACUUGCUACCGAACCAUUUUUUAAUUUUGCUUGUAAUAAAAAUUCUUAACUUCACUUUCGCAAUAAAGAAAAGACUAUGAAAUAUAAAAUAAUUUAAUCAAAUAAAUUAAUAGAAAUGUUUUUGUGUCAGGCCCAAAAAAAAAAAAAAGAGAGAGAGAGAGAAAGGAGGAAAAAAAAAGGUAUGAUGAACUUUGACUUACACCACGUACACUAGUAGAACAGAGUCUCUUUACUCCCUAAAUGUAUAGUCACUUCAAACUCUUACCAUAAUUGCGUUAUUCUUUGCGAAUUUGCCACAAUAAUAUGCCUCAAUCUCGUCUAGGGUAGUGUAUAAAUAUAGCUAAAUUCAUAAGGAGUUGUCUCCAAAUUCUUGCAAGAUCUCAACACCAAUCGUUCAAGUGCAUGGAUAUGAUCAUUUGAGGAAUUUCAUUGUCCAAGAUCAUACACAAUAAAUCAAGGAAUUUGAGUUUUUGGAACUCAUUCCCUCAAAGAAGUCCAAUCUAAUUCCAGAAUCUUAAGGUUGGGCAAUGUCCUAAUUAAUGACAUAUUUUUCCAUGGUAAACUAAUUUUAAAAAGAGUGAGUUGACACGACACAUCUCAAAUCACCAUAGUGGAUCUGAAACGUGACGUGCGUCGAAAAUAGAUGUUGACUAGAUGUCAAAUCUAUCACCAAGGCUGACUAUGAGUUAUUUCAAAAAAUAUAUUAAAAUCAAAUGCUUAUGUAAAACAUAAUGCGAUGAGCCCAAAUUAUUUACUUCGUACUUCAUCAAUAUGAGUUAUAACGCUUAACAUGUCGUAUGGCUCUCAUUCUGAAAUCAUUAAAGUCUUCUAACUAAAAAAGAAUCAAUUGCUACCUGUAGGAAAAUUACGAAAAAAUAUAUGAGUUGAUUGCUCAGUGAGUGGAGAAGUUCGAAAAUAAUUAUAUUGUUUCAAUUUUACUUUUUUAUUGAAAAUCGAAUUCAUAUCAUUGAAUAAUUCACAUCAUAUAAUUAUAGUCAAAACAUGAGACAUCCACAUAACGUCAUAAUAUACAUUUCAAAUCAUGAUAUAAACAUGAGCUGAUAAUUAUACUAUAAUCUCAUCACAUCAAAUGUACUGAAAAAAUCCACAAAAAAUGUACCCUCUGACUGAAAUAUGUAAUCCUCCGCUCGAGCUAAGAACUUUCGCCACGGGCCUUUGGCCCCUUUCGUGAAUGAAAGCCGACAUCAAGACCUCUCGUAAUCAAUUCUUGAACACAGUCAAGGCCUCUCUGUGAACUAUAUGCAUAUGUUCAAGACCAAUACCAGGUCAAGAUCCCUCCGUGUAGGAUAAAACAUGGCCAAGACCCCUCUACGUACUAGAAGAAAUAUAUAACUUUUUUAGCUAAUCUCAAUAUUACAUAUCUCACAUACCAAAUAAAUCUCAAUAUCAUAUGUCUUACAUACCAAAUCACAAAUGUGUCGUAAAUAAUUUUUGAGAUAUGUAUCAUAAUAAAAGAGAUUUCCAUAAUAAUCAUAUAAUGAACACAUAAUUGCACAUACUUUAAUAAUAUACUUAAUUUAUAAGUAAUUUAAAAAUAUUUAUAUUUUUCCACUCACAGUAUGUUCGCAAAUCAACUCGGUUGGUAAGCUAUCCCGAAAUCCGUAUCGCCUCCUGAAAUAUGAUAUAAUUUUUAAAUCAACAAUUAAUUAUUUUAAAUAAUUUCAAAAAUUAAAUAGGCGAUACCCAAACUUAAUCAUUUCACGUUUAAGUUAUUUCUAAAGUCUCUUUAAUCACUAAAACUAAUUUUUCUUUCAUUUAACUCAACUUCAUAGCUUAUUAUACUUAACACUUUCAAUAAAAUUGAAUUUAAUCUAACAAUCUAAUAAUUAUAAAAUUAAACAUAACUUGAUAAUAAGUAACUUUUUAUUUACCUUUCAAAAUUGAGGAAUUCAAGUCUAAUAGUGUAGACUACUUUUUUCUAACAACUUGGCAAAAUUUUCUAAUUUUUUUCUCUCUCUCUCCUCUCUCUCUCUCUCUCUCUCUCUCUCUCUCUAUGUGUGUGAAAUGAAAUGGAGUUUUGGAUUUGGAUGACUUUAUAUAUAUAUCCACCUGCUGCCAAUUCAGUCGUCCUUUUUUUUUUUUUUUUUUUUUUUUAUUUUUCCACUCACAGUAUGUUCGCAAAUCAACUCGGUUGGUAAGCUAUCCCGAAAUCCGUAUCGCCUCCUGAAAUAUGAUAUAAUUUUUAAAUCAACAAUUAAUUAUUUUAAAUAAUUUCAAAAAUUAAAUAGGCGAUACCCAAACUUAAUCAUUUCACGUUUAAGUUAUUUCUAAAGUCUCUUUAAUCACUAAAACUAAUUUUUCUUUCAUUUAACUCAACUUCAUAGCUUAUUAUACUUAACACUUUCAAUAAAAUUGAAUUUAAUCUAACAAUCUAAUAAUUAUAAAAUUAAACAUAACUUGAUAAUAAGUAACUUUUUAUUUACCUUUCAAAAUUGAGGAAUUCAAGUCUAAUAGUGUAGACUACUUUUUUCUAACAACUUGGCAAAAUUUUCUAAUUUUUUUCUCUCUCUCUCCUCUCUCUCUCUCUCUCUCUCUCUCUCUAUGUGUGUGAAAUGAAAUGGAGUUUUGGAUUUGGAUGACUUUAUAUAUAUAUCCACCUGCUGCCAAUUCAGUCGUCCUUUUUUUUUUUUUUUUUUGACUUUUCAAUUUUUGACACUACAAUUUGAUAAAGGUAUUACAUAGUUUUCAAUAAGGAUGAAGGCACUAGUGGGGUGUUCAGGGAAGAUUGGUGGCAGGCUGGUUGGCGCCUUAACGUGGUUCCAAUAAUCAAAAUAUUUGCAUGGAGAUUUUUCUACAGUGAUCCACUAAGAGCCCAUUUGGCAUAGUUUUUGAAAAGCCAAAAGGAACUUUCGAGGUUCAAAAGUUACUGUUUGACCCGUUUCGCUAAUUUUGUUAAAGUGCUUUUAUUGGUUAGAAGAACUUUUUGAGGAAGUUGGUUUAAUGUGGUUUCCUCUAAAAGCACUUCCGGACUAAAAAAUGCUUUUAAAUAUUAGUUUUCAAACAAAAAAUAAAAUAUCUUCCUCCAAAAGUAUUUCUACAAGAAGCAAAAGUAAAAACAAAAGUUAUGCCAAACGGACUCUAAAUGCAAUCUCCGAAGAAGGGGUGUAAGUCAUGUCAGGUGUUCCCGUUGUGGACUACAAGAGGAUAGCAAGCAUACCCUAUUUAUUUGUUUGAAAUCAAAGGUGAUUUGGAAUGAUUUAGAUGCAGGGGCGGAUUUAAUGGGCGAUCGUCCUAAUUGGAUUCGUCGGGAAGAAUUAUUAUUAUUAUUAUUAUUAUUAUUAUUAUUAUUGCUGAUAAUAGAUAGAAAUUUUAGAUUAUAUAUUUGAUAAUUUAAAUUAAUAACAAAUAUCUCUAGUAGAUCAGCUGGUUAGUCCUAUUACUAUUGAAUUAGAGGUCUUGUGUUUGUAACUCUUUAAGAGCAAUAUUUUUUAUAAUUUUUGUAUUUCAACAAUUUUUACUAAAACAAAUACAAGAAAGGUGAUUCAAACUUACUAUAUUUCUUAAAUAUAUUGACCACUUUACCAUUAUGACACUUAUUGAUUUUUAGCAUAUAAUGUAACAAAAUAAUAUAUGUUCAAUUGUACUGGUUUAAUGCAAGUAGAAAAUUUUUAACCGAUGCUUUGUCCCUCUUCUUGAUUUUCUUUUUCUUUUUCUUUUUUUCCUCUAAUCAAUUGAUUUGAAAGUUUGGUCAAAUUUGUAGGAAAAUUGGCUUUAGUAUCAUAAGAAAUAUUUCAACAAAACUUAUUUAAUUAAUACAAGGUUCUACUUUUCGUACACAAAAAACCAAUUACGAAAAAGUUGAAUCAUACAAGCACAUAAAAUUGAUAUAAGUACAUAAUGUUAAUAAAAUAAAGUUUGUUUAAUUAACUUUAAUUGCAAAUUGAAUAUUAGCAUUUUGUUAAUAUAUAUUGCCUAUUUAAUUGAAAAAUAAAUUAGGGUAUUUUGAAGAUUAUGGAACAAUUUUUUCAUCCAAAAUGAAAGUUUGUACCUAAUUUUAGUUCUAGUGGAGUAUCUAGUUCUUUUACCUCUAAUCCGUACGAUUUUUUGAAUAUUAUUUAAUUAAAUAUUAAAAAAUCCCGCUAUCAUGGACGUUGACCACAAUAGUAAGCUUUCAAUGCUCGCGGUCCGCCCUAGCUGAACUCAACUCCUGGAUUCGCCCCUGAUGGUCGGUGCAAAUAGCAUUUUAAAGGAUACAGGUAAUGAAUAGAAUAGAAAUUGAUAUUGGAGGAGAAAGUUUAUUCCAGCAACGUACUCAAGUUAUAAUAAUAAUAAUAAAACAUAGGUCAGUGUGUACAGUCAAGAAAACAAUUGGAUAUAUAUAUAUAUAAUUAUGUAACUUGAUUAUUACUAUUGUUGAUGAAAUAAAUUGUCCAAGUGUUUUGAGUCGAUGUCGAGUAAGAUGGAUGUGUUUUGCUCAAUAGAUAGUAUCUUCGCCUUUUUUUCAUUAAUCUUCUCUAGAGAUAUACAAAACAAAUGUUUUUUUUCUUUUGAUAUAAUGACAAUAAAUAAAUUAAAUUAAAAUAAAAAGAGAGAGAGAGAGAGAGAGAGAGAUGAUCGAUUCAGCUCUGACUUUCCAAAUCAAAUAUUUGUUUUGUAAAUAAUUUUUCUUGUACGUUUUUAUUUACCUUUUCAAUGACUUGCAUUUGGGGAUUGAAUUACAUUUUUUGAAUGAAUGGAUUUCAUCAAAAUGGGAAGCCUCCAUGUUUAUUCUUCCUUCGACAAUCAUAGCUAGUUGUCUUUAGAAUUUAAAAUGGUAUUAGAGAAUAAAAAGAACGAGCAAUUGGACAAGAAAGAUGGUUCCAGUGAGGUAUCAGUUGGUGAGUUGAUUUAUACUAAACUUCAAUUUAAUUUCUAAUUUCGCCAUUGUUUUACAUUAGUCACAUAUUGUUCCCCAAACAAAUAGAAAUUACUUAGCUUACUUCAUAACUCAUUCAGUGUAUUAACGCUCUCUUGACAUGCCCUAGUGGUUAGUUGGCAAGUCAUAUAGUGAUUACGUGAAAGAUUUAUUGUGCUAUACCUUUUGAUUAAAAAAAUUUAUCAAUUCGAGAAACAACAAGCGAUCAAAUUGUGAAAUUUGUAAAACAAAUUAAAAUGUAACCACUGCAAUUGAAACUUACUGGAAAAAUUAAUAAUCAUGAUCACAUGUAGGUUUUCUUUUGCUUUCUUUUUUAUUAAUCGGAAAUUAUAUAUAUAUAUAUAUAUAUAUUACUUUAAACUGGCUUAAAGAAAGUCUUGUGAAAAAUCACUGCAUUUUCACCUUCGAGUGAGCGGGAGGCGUCUUUUGAUUCAAAUAUCUCGAUAACUUCGGGAAAGUGCACAUGCACAUUUGUCUAUUCUAAUAUACAACAUAGAAAAAACAUUUAAAAAUUAACAUUGUACUAGUAAAUUGUCAGAGCAUUUACAAUUCAAAGAAGACGUUGAAAGAUUGAAGUUUUGAAAUACCCCCAUUCUUCUAAUUUAAUUUACAAAACGACCUCCCAACUAUAGUAAAAUAAAGAAAAACUGGGGCAAAUUCAAUCAGGGUCACUAAACUUUCAGUAAAAUCUCAAUAGAGAUGCUAAAUUUUAUUUUGACUCAAUUAGGAUCACUAAAUCUCAAUUUAAUUUCUAAUUUCAUCGCUAUGUUACAUUAUGUAUUAUAUUGUCCGAAAUUGCUUGGUUUACAUCAUAACUCAUUUAGUGUAUUUAUUAAUUUCAACACUUGAUGUGAUUUAGUGGUUAGUAGGCAAGUGAUGCAGUGAUUACAUGAAAGAUUCGUUCCAUUAUGUUUCUUGAUAAAAUUUAUCAAUUUAAAAAAUGACAUAACUUUAAUAAUAUGAACACAUAUGAUAUGGAAUUGAUGAUCAAAAGGGAUCCUCCUACAUUAUUGUUAGUUGGAGAGGCACAAUCAAACUUUGUACAAAUCAAAUUCUUUGUUCUCGAUUUUUUAAUGAUUUAUAUUUGACCUGAGAAAAUGUAGAUUUAUAUUUAAAAAAAUUUCUUCAUUAAUAUUUUGAUCGCCAUUUUCAUCAUUUUGAUUUAUAACAGUCAUUUUAUUAAUAUUUUGUUCAUCACAAGAAAAUGCAAACUUAUAUCUAAAAAAUCUAUCGAAUUUAAUACAAUCAAUCAAUUCAAGUGAUCGAAAGGGAAAACAUAUAACAAAUAUUCAAUCAAAUAAAUACAAUUCAUUAAAUACAAGUUAAAUUGAAUAUAAUUAGUUCUAACAUAUUCAAUAUACACAAACAUGAUAGGAGAAAAUGCAAAUUUAGGAUCUAAUUAAUUAAAAAUUUGAUCAGAACGUGAAAAUUUGUAGUAGAUGUGAUAAUUUGUUGAAAAAUUAUAGACAAAUUUUAAAAAAAUUAGAAGGGUUAAGGUUUUGAUAAAAGAUGUGAGGGAGAGAGUAAGAUAAAGUAAAAUAAAAUAAAAUUAAAAAAUUCAAAUUUAUUGUGAUCUUACCCUUGUUUGGUGGGGUUAAAAUCAGAUUUUUAAUAUAUUUUGAUAAAAUUUAAAAAUUUAAGGUUUUCAUGAAAUAUAUUAUUAAAAUUAACUGCUAACUUUGAUUUAAAUUAAAAUUUAGAUUUCAAUCGAUACCAAACAGGACUUAUCCUCCAAAACAAAAAAAAAAAAAAAAAAAAAAAAAAAAAAACUCGAAAGUUAUGGACCCCCUGGGACUCCUCUUAGAUCCGCCAGUGCCCCGAGAUAAUUUGAGAACCCUUAGUAUCAAAAGCCCGACAUAUACACAUAAUUAUGUGUCGCUCAAGCCCCCAGGGCAUAUCUCCCAGUGGCAAAGGGGAGGGCGGAUAGGGCUCAGCGCGGCAGUGUGCAGAGUUCGAUUCCCCGCAAGGUGGAAUUGACUUUGUUGCAAGCGGGAGUUACCAUAUGGGUUAACAGCCUUGGCCUAUCCAUAUGCUCUCCACCCUGGCUCCUAGGAGGCACAUCCUGCGAUUUACCUCCUCCACGAUGGCCCAGGGCAGGGUCGGUGGAGGCCCUUAAGGUUGGGGUUCAACCUUUUUUUUUUUUUAUGUGUCGCUCAAUUAUGCACAAUUUAUUAAUAUUAAAAGAGCAUGAAUAAUCAUGUCAAAUACAUUUAUCAAUAGUUUUCUCUGGGGGCGUGGGAAAUGGGUUAUGGGUCAUUGGACCGCGGACCGACAAAUCAAUUUAUAAUUUAUAUUUUUCUUUAUUAUUUUAAAAUUUGCAUGAAACAAACAAAUAUGACCUAUAAUAAUAGUAAAUUCACGAACUUUCAUAUAAAAAGAAGUCAAAUAAUAUCAAGUCCGAAUGAAGCACUUUUUAGUUUAUAAAAAUGUAAACUUGUAAUGAAAAUGGAUAGGAGAAAGCUAAGAAAAAAGAGGUGGAGAUCACAAUAAAAUUUUUGAAAUAACGGAGAAGAUGGUUAGAAAUGAUACCAGUGGUUGUUUGGUAAAAACAUGUUUCUAAACUUGUCGCAAUAGAGAUGCACAAUUAAUAUAUAAAAUUAUUGCAGUUCAACUGUUAACCUCAUGUCACCGGUCGACCUUUUUUACCCAGUUAUUGUGGUUGUUCGUAAUGUCUUAUUCAAUUAUGAUAGAGAACCGAGUAGAUUAAUCGAUCAAUUAAUCAGCCAAGUCAAAUCAAGUUUAACAAUAAUGAAUGAGAGGUGUAUGUUUUCUAUAAUGAAAAUAAUUUAUUAUAUUAAUUCCAGAGUUCAAUAUUAUUAAGAGUUGUAAUUAGAGGGCAAGUAUUAUUAAAGGGUAAAAUGUUAUUAUAAUGUUGCAUAUAAACCAAUACAUUUUGAUUUUUUAUAUCAUUUAGUUAUGUCUCCACAAGUGUGCGAGUAUAUCGAGUUGAUCACAGCACUAAAAACUUCCAAGUAAAGACACUAGUACAUUUGGAUUUCGUUGGAUAAGAAAAUGUUACCUAAUGUUAAAGAUGCGAGUGGAGGGUUAAAAUGUGUUAGGCCACAGUAGUGGACUAAUAUAAAAAUAAACCAAAUGGAAAUUUUAGUAAUUUUGUAAGACUUGAAGGCUACCAUUGCAAAUUAUGACUAAAUGAACCAACCUUUUUUCUUUAUCAUAUUCGUUUUAGUAGAUUCAAUCUCAAGCUCUAAGCCAAGCUAAUCAGUUAGCUAGAUGGAGUAGUAGAGAAUAGAAAAUAGAGAAGUCAUCAAACCUUAAUAUUUCAAUUGUCCAUGAUCCAAUUGACUUGAUAUCGAACAAAAGAUUCAGAACCAUUGACUUUCAAAUCCACAAGUUUAAAUCAAGAUGCCUUUGUGUAGUUGAGAGAUAUAACCUUCUAAACAUUGACAAAAUUUGGUGGACUAAUUCUUUGUUGAAUUUAAUUUGGUAUCUCCAUGAAUUCAUCAUUGAAAUUUUUGUAACUGUUGGAUGCCUCUAUUUAAUGCUUGGGCAAAAUCUCUUGUUAUUCUGUUAGAGAGAUUCGAUCUUCGAUAGAUUAUUUAUUGUUGGUGUGCCAAGAUUUUAUGUUCUUGGUAGUAUUGAUUAAAGAGAACAUUGUAUUCCCAUCGUUGAUUUUUCCCCUUUGGUUGACAAAUGUUUUUCCACGUAAAAUAAAUCUAGUGUUGAUUGCAUUUAUUAUCACUAUGCAAUAAUAUGUUUAGAUAGAGUUUAGUAGGUGCUUUAAACAACAAUAGAGACAAAUUAUCACUCUUAUAAGUAUCAAAUAAGAAACUUGAGUAGCCUCAUUCACUUAUGAACCGAGAUCGACUUGGAAUUUUUAUUCCUACUUUCCAAACCGAUACAAUUAAUACUAUUAUGCUCAAACAACAUCAUAUCCCGACACACUAACGUCUCAUUAUGUAACUAGGAUGGAAUUUUCAAAUAAAACAAGACCUUUUCCAAGCACAAAAUUAGAAACAUACAACUAUGACUACCUCAAGAUUUUCACUCUUGAAAAUACAUCUCAAGUCCAACAACGAAGAGGAUAAUUUUCACUAAAUUACGUCUAUUUAGAUGGUAAUAUCACAUGAACGAACGAUUGUAACCAUACAAAAUUGAAGACUAAUUUGUUGUGCAAAUGUAUCCAAAUUUCAAGUAGAUUGGACCACGAUUCACUGAGUGCCGAGGUUCGAUCAAACCUUGCCAACUGUGAUUUUGGUUCUCUAGUUUUGCUAGAUGUGUUUAAUUUAUGGCUGAUUUUGAACUCCAAAUCAUCCUUACCAAAUGAAAGACAAAUAAAAGUUAUGGUUCUUUAAUCAUGUUACCUAUAUUACCAAAGUAACCCUUCACGUCUUGCAAAAUAUCAAAAGUAUCAUUCAUUAUAAAUUAUUAUUUCCCACUAAUACUUUGUAUCCCAACAAAUAAACAAUUAACAAUUUUCAUCAAACUCCAUUGCCAACCAAACAAAAGUUGAAUUGAAUGCAGAUAAUAAACUAAUCUGUCCCUCCCUGCUAUGACUCAGCAUUUCAACUUAUGCCAAUCUCCCUGCCAACUUAUCUAGCUGCAUAAAAGAAAAAGGAAGUCACAAGUAUCAAUUUCUCCAGUUUUCCAAGAAGAUGAGUAAAAAUAAGGGGCAUAUCGAAACUGAGGAAGUCAAAGAAGACGAGUAGAAGCGAGCCAGGUGAUCUAGCUGUUCUGUUUAUCGGCUUCUCUUGCCCUGGCUUGUUCAACCCGCACCUCUGUCUCGAAUAGCCUAUCCCCCAUAUUCUCAUUUGUCACAGCAUUCUCAUUGUCGACGGGUUGGGUCCAAGCUUGGAUUUUAGAUGUUUCAUUUCUCAAGGGCAGUCGAUUGCGGCCGUAGCUCAUGGUUUUCGAGCAUUUUAGUAGGCAACUGGUUGGCCAAAAAAGCCUAUAACCUCCUGCAUCUUCAUAGAAAAUGAUAUGAGCAUGUGUUGAGCAUCUUUAAGAGGCUCUCUAUUUUUAAAGAGUAUUACAUAAUUUAUAAAGCAUCUAUAAAUUUAAAGAAUAACAAUUUAUAGCUAAAUUCAUAAGGAAUCUUCUCUAGUUUUUUGCAAAAUCUCAACACCAGUCGUUCGAGUACAUGGUAAUGAUCAUUUAAGGAAUCUCAUUGUCCAAGAUCUGACACAAUAAUUUAAGGAAUUUGAGCUUUUGGAGCUCAUUAUCCUCUGUGUUCCAGAUUUUCCCUCAAAGACAUCCAACUCUAAUUUCAGAAUCUCAAGUUUGGCGCCUUAAUGUUGUCCCAAUAAUCAAAAUAUUUGCAUGGAGAAUGUUCUACAAUGCACAAACCACUAAAUGCAAUCUCCGAAGGAGGAUAGCAUGCAUGCCUUAUUUCUUUGUUUGGAAUCAAAGGCAGCAUGGAAUGAGUUUGAUGGGUGGGAAACCAUCAAGGCCUGAUUGACUCCAGUGAAAAUGGUGCAGCAGGGAAAGUGAGAUGAGCUUAGACCAUAACAUAGAUCCAACCACUUGUCAAAUUAACCAUAAUGUAGUACAAUUUGCAACCAGGUCAUUAUUUAAUUUACUUACAAUAAAGAAGUCGUAACUUCAUGUUAACUACAAAGAAAAGAUUGCAAACAAGAAAAACGACUAACAAUUGACAUGGAGCCCGAAAUUAUCUUCUAAUCAUGAGGUGUAGGAUGUUAAGAAAUUUCUUGCAAGGAAAUUUAAAAAAUUUAAGAAUGAAUCAUAAAAAUAUUUAUUUCAGGAACGAAAAAAUGAUGGGAUGAGCUUUGACUUACACGGUGUACACCAGUAGAACGAAGUUGUCUUCACGACCAGUUGCUAAAGAUGGUCACAUCAAACUCUGUAUCACCAUAAUCCAGUUGUUCUUGACGAAUUUCCAAAGCUGAAGUUUCAACAUUUUUACCACAAUAAAGUACCUCAAUCUUCUGUAGAGUUGAAAUGUCACUAAAUUCAGAAGGAAUCUUCUCCAAAACUUCGCAUUCUAGCAACACCAAUUGUUCAAGUACAGGAAAAUGAUUGUGUGACGAAUUCCAAUGUUCAAGUUCUAGAGCCUCUAAUUUAAGGAAUUUGAGUUUUUGGAACUCAUCAUCCUUGGUGUCCCAAAUUUUUCCUGAAAAGUGGCUGCCAUAUAAUUUUAGAAUCUCGAGGUUGGGCAAUGUCCCAAAUAAUGACAUCUUUUCCCAAGGCAAACAAAUUCCAUGAAAACUAAGCCUUUUGAUAUUCAUAGGAAAUUUAACCACCGAGUAAUCGCCUUCGAACCAAUGUCCUAAAAUUGUGAGUGAUUGAAGCUGAGAAAGGAAGUUGAGAUCAGGAAAGUGAUUGCCUGAGGAUUGGCAUUUAAGCGUAAGAAGAUUAGGUGAAUAUCUCAAGAUUUCUUCGUCUUCCGAAUCGACAAUCAUAACGUGACCAAGGGUUUGUAGGCAAUUUAUUCGCAAGCUAUCACUAUUCUUAGUGAAUCUUACACCAUCAUACUUGCCAUUGAUACCUAAAUGUCUCAACUUAGGCAUAUUGAGAAGGUAUGUUGGUACUUCUUUUAUGAGAUCCAAACAAAGAUAUUCAAGGUUAUGGAGUUUGCCUAUUGAUGGCUCUAAUUUUGAAAGAUCCAAGUACCUCAAGUCAGGCAUAAAUUUGAUUCCCAGUUGAACAUUUUCAUUAUUCCCUGAAUCCAAGAUCCUAAUUUUUUCCAAAUUAUAAGCAAUGGAAAAGGCCUCGAAAAUAUUCUCAGAUAUGAAGACUUGAUGAAACCGAUCCAUAUACAAGCGAUGGAGAUGGCGAUUCUUAGAUAGCACGAAUUGACUAGAGAUGUAGAAUAAUAAGAACAUGGAGGAUCAUCAGUUUAACCACAUCAACCAGCAUCAGCAAUAGCAGCAUCAUUGACAUAAUUAUGACAAAUUAGUAGGAUAAAUUGGAAAAGUGAAGUAAAACAAGAAGGAAUUAGAAAGAGAGAGUUAACUUACUGUUGAAAUAGAAAAAUUUCAUCUUCUACAGCCAUUUUGCUGCACAUAUCGAGUACUAGAUCGUGCAGAGUACAUAUUUUUACUCUAUUGUCAGGUCUUCUUUUGGACACUUGAAGUAGGCUCCUGUCAACAAGUUCAAUUAGAUACUCCUCUGCUACAUCUUCUAAGGUCCUUUGCUCCCUUUUCUCUAUGAAUCCUUCGACUAUCCAUAGUGAUAAUAGCUUCCGAACUGGAAUUUCCUUGUCUUCCUGGAAUGCACUAAGAUAGAGGAAACAUGGCUUCAAGUAAUUUGGUAAAUGGAUGUAGCUGAGUUUCAAUGUGGGAAUGUAGUCGUCUGCUUUUUGGAAAAUGUAAUAACUUAAACUUUUUGCAACUUGUUGCCAUAAGCUUUCUUUUUUCUCCAUAUUUGAAAGAAUUCCAGCUAUCAAAACUACUACAAGUGGUAAUCCCUUACAAUUUGCUGCAAUUUGCUUUCCAAUAUGUUGCAGCUCUUGAGGACAACAUUCUUUUUUGAACACCUUCUGCUCUAAUAAAUUCCAACGUUCGUCUGGUGAGAGGGGAGGAGGUACAAUGAUAAAAUGAGAAAUUUCCGAUGCCACAUUUUUCAGCCUACUGGUGAACAAUACUCUGCUUCUGUUUUUGUCAUCUGGAAAUAACCUUUUCAAAUCUUCCCAUGCUUCUUUAUCCCAUAGAUCGUCCAUAACAAUGAGGUAUCUUCUACCCUUUAAAUUUUUGUAAAGUUGUUCGGCCAACUUUUCAUCUUCCAUUUUUGAAAUAUCGUCUUUUUUAAGGUUACUUAAGGAGCUCAAAAUAUCUUUCAACAGCUUUCUCUUAUUAUAAGUUUGAGAAACAGCACACCAAGAAAGCUUAUCAAAAUAGUACCGAACAUUGGAAUGAUUGUAUAUUUUCUUUGCUAAGGUGGUCUUGCCAAGUCCACCCAUUCCAACGAUGGAAAUAAUCCGGCGGUAGUUUGGUCCUCCAACAAGCUCGCUCAGAAUUUUUGUUGUCGUUUUCUCUAAGCCCACAACGAUCUCUUCUACCAUGGGACUGCUUUUAUCUUGGGAUGAUGAUACUUCACUUGGACUUUCUGCAACUUGUAGGCUUCCAAUUCCAACUUCACUUGACACUGCAAUGCUGUAAUAUUUAAUCUUCACUAGCACAAUCUCAAUCCUUUCUAACAGACCAAAAAUUGCAAGAUCCAUUUUGGUGGUGGUAACAAGAUCUGUGGUGAAAAAGAAAGAAUGCAAGAAAAGUCCUGCUUCAUUAAAUACAGCUUCAAUUUCUGUGAAUAUACUCUCCUUCAGUUUUUCCUCAUAGCUUGGAAUUGGAUAAAAAAGAAAGGUAAGCAGAAAUUUCAACCCCUUAGGAAGACAUUCGAGUCGAUUACUCACAAGAACAGUGGAAUCCUUUUGGCAUUUAAGCAAUUCUCGAAUUGUUUCAAAAAGAAAGUCGAUGAAGAUUUUCAGUUCAGUGGGAUGACACUGUGUUUCAAUUGUGAAAAAUUUGUUAAGCUUUGGCAUGGAAGCGAGAAUGAUUUCUAAAAAGUUUUUGUAAUGUUCAUUAUCGUGAUGAGAAACGAUCUCUUCGUAUAAGAUGCAAUCGAAGGCUGAAUCAUCGAGAUACUUCAAUAGACAAUAAGGACUGUGCAUAGUAAAUGGUAUGCGGCAGUCUGGAGAGAAGCAUCGCAAUAAUUCUUUUACAUAUUUGAGAAAAGUUAGAAAGUGUGGGCCGAGCCAUUGAAAGCUAACAUUUUUUUCUCCCCCAUCAAGCCUUAAAGGUAGCAAACGAGAAAGGAGAUCUGGGCUUUUGACUAGACGAGACAGAUUUUCGUAAGAGAGAUCCUCCAUAUUUGAUUCGGACGGAAACAAAGUGAGAGCCUCCAUGGACAAAGAGAGAGCCUCCAUAUUUGGUUUGGGCGAAAGGCUGAGCAAAGAGAGAUCCUCCAUAUUUGAUUCGGACGGAAACAAAGUGAGAUCCUCCAUUUUUGGUUUGGGAAAAAGGUCGAGCAAAGAGAGAGCCUCCAUAUUUGGUUUGGGCAAAAGGCUGAGCAAAGAGAGAAUAAUGAGAGUGAAUUUGUUUCAAGUUUUUCAAAAAAUAAACCCAAAGCAAAGGUUGAACAUAUCAGCAAAAACAAACGAAGAAAAAGCUCCGUUCUCUGGCUCUCUCUCUCUCAUAAUUUCAUAUGCCUUCACAUAAACAAAGCAAAAGUUAAAAAAAGUCGUUGCUUUUUUCGAGAAAAAAUGUGUGGAAAGGAAAAAAUGAUUUGUCACCAUCAGUCCUUGCUUUAAUAAUGGCUUUAAGAUAAUGCACAAGAGAUCAGUAUAAAAUCCUAAGCGAGAUGUUUGUCAAAUUUUACUUUAUAAGGUCCCAUUUGUUUUUUAUUCUUUGGUUCGAAAAGUAAAAAAUAUGAUCGUUAUUCAUCACAUCACUCCACAAUAUUUGACUUUUCUUUCUUUUGUGUGAAUUUUGUAACAACUAUAUUAUUCAUUAUCAUUCUUAUAAAAAUGAGAAUCAAACGAGGACUAUAAUUUAAAUUAAUGAAACACACUUUUUUUCCACACAUAUUCUAUAAACCAUGAAAACUGGCAUUUUCAUUUGGAAUUCGAAUCAUACACAACUAACAAUUAUCCCCCUCAACAAUGCAUCUGUCCUUGCUUUAAUAAUGGCUUUAAGAUAAUGCAUAAGAGAUAAGUAUAAAAUCCUACGCAAGAUGUUUGCCAAAUUUUACUUUGCAAUUUAAAUUAAUGAAACACAUUUUUUUCACACACAUAUUCUAUAAAGUAUAAACCACGAAUUCAAAUGGGCAUUUUCUUUUGGAAUUCGAAUCAUACACAACUAAUAACUAUCUAAUUACAUUCGUAUAUUUCAACAUAAAUUUGCAUAUCAAAUGUUUGGAUAUUCAGACUUCCAAUAAUUUACUGAGUGACCAUAAACUUAAAUUUGAACACUUUAGUGCUACAUAUACUACAUUUGAUUAUACAAAUAUUAUAUUUGAAGCAUAUUUAUAUUUUAUUUUGAAAAAGACUUUGUUCCACCAAUAUCAGCUUCCAAAAUUUACAUUUUUUAAUAAGUCAUCUUUAUUUAGACCAAUUGGCCGUGUACGCAAUUAGAUAUAUAUAAUGUACGUUAAUAGAGGGGUGGAGGUGCCACCACACUAAUUUUGAAAAUUCAAUACUUCGUUCGAUUUUUUUUUUCAAAAUUUUCAAAGAAGUCCUUGUAGUUUUCAAUUUUUGCCCCCCACAACUAAUUUUUUUUAUUUUGUCAUUUGCCCCACAAAUCUUAUCUUCUAGCUCCACCCAUGCUAACUGCAAAAUAAAUUUGCCCCACAAAUCUUAUCUUCUUGCUUUAAUAAUGGCUUUAAGAUAAUGCACAAGAGUCAAGAGAUAAGUAUAAAAUCCUAAGCAAGAUGUUUGCCAAAUUUUACAUUACAAUUUAAAUUAAUGAAACACACUUUUUUUCCACACAUAUUCUAUAAAGUAUAAACCAAUUCAAAUGGGCAUUUUCAUUUGGAAUUCGAAUCAUACACAACUAAUAACUAUCUAAUUACAUUUGUAUAUAGUCAACAUAAAUUAGUCAACAUAAAUUUGCAUAUCAAAUGUUUGGAUAUUCAGACUUCCUAUAAUUUAUUGAGUGACCAUAAACUUAAAUUUGAACAUCUUAAUGCUACAUAUACUACAUUCGAUUAUAAAAACAUUUAUUUGAAAUUGUUUCGCUCGGGUAGUCGCUAACAAUUAAAAAGGGAUCAGACAAUCGUGUAAGGAACAAACCUCUUGAGACAAAAUUCCAAAAGGGGUGUUUUAUUGGCGAUGAAUUUACAAUUGAAACUAAACAGAAUGCCUCCAAGGGACGCAAGCACACGAAUACUGAAAAGAAAUGUUUAAGUCUAAACUAAGAAAUUGAAAUUACAUAUUCUCUAUUUGAGAGUGUUUGAUUCGAGUUCCUUUGCUCUAUGUCUUUUCUUCCUUUUAUAUUCCCUUGAUGAUCUCUUCGUGAUCAACCGUUUAGAAACUGCUUAAUUGCUUUAUAACUGCCCACUUUCUUCAUGGUGGCUAACUUAUCGUGGAACUGCAGUCUCUAACUGCUGUCAUUACUCUUUGUCGUUCAACCGUCUUCAAUGUAAGGAACAAACCUCUUGAGACAAAAUUCCAAAAGGGGUGUUUUAUUGGCGAUGAAUUUACAAUUGAAACUAAACAGAAUGCCUCCAAGGGACGCAAGCACACGAAUACUGAAAAGAAAUGUUUAAGUCUAAACUAAGAAAUUGAAAUUACAUAUUCUCUAUUUGAGAGUGUUUGAUUCGAGUUCCUUUGCUCUAUGUCUUUUCUUCCUUUUAUAUUCCCUUGAUGAUCUCUUCGUGAUCAACCGUUUAGAAACUGCUUAAUUGCUUUAUAGUGCCCACUUUCUUCAUGGUGGCCAACUUAUCGUGGAACUGUCAUCUCUAACUGCUGGCACUACUCUUUGUCGUUCAACCGUCUUCAAUUGAAUUCCUUGAAUCGUGGAACGUGAUAAGAUUACUUAAUAACUGGUUCGAUAACUGCAUUUUUGGAUAACCAUAACAUCCUAUGUUUGCUAAGAUCCUGGGUGAUUCGAAGGUUUGAGCGAGAACAGGGUCAUAACCCUGGGCGACUGCAAGGCACUUCAUUCGCUCAGAUCUUGAGCGUCUUGCAAGUUUGGGCGAUGAUGUUACCGCGUUCGUGGGCUUCCAUUGCAUUCAUUAAUAACCCUAUUUGGGCCUUUAUCCUGAAUUGCCCAAUUGGACUUCAUUCUUUGGGCUAUUCGAUUUGAGCUGCACUUUUAGCGUGUCAACAGAAAUAUAUUUAUAUUUUAUUUUGAGAAAGACCUUGAUCCACCAAUAUCAACUUCCAAAAUUUAAUUUUUUAAUAAUUCAUCUUUGCUUAGACCAAUUGGCCGUAUAUGCAAUUAGAUAUAUAUAAUGUACAUUAACUUAGGGGAAGAGGUGCCCCACGGUAAUUUUGAAAAUUCAAUACUUUGUCCAAUUUUUUUUUCAAAAUUUUCGAAGAAGUCCUUGUAGUUUUCAAAUUUCCCCCACAACUAUUUUAUUUUAUUUUAUUUUUUGUAAUUUGCCCCCACAAAUAUUAUCUUCUAGCUCCGCCCAUGCUAACUGCAAAUAAAUUUUAAAUGCACUUGGUGAAAAUUAAUUUUCUCAAUCGUUUCAUGGCCAUCCAAAGAAGAAAUCAAAUAUAGAAUUUUUUUUUCGACUUAACGCAAAAUUCAGUCAUCACAUUCCCGAACACCCCAAGCAGAAUAUGGAAACAAGAGAUUAUGGAUGACAAAAUUUCCACUUCUAAAAGUUUCAAUAACAUCACAAAAAAUUCUGAAAUGUUAGUGAUUUAAGUAGAAAUAGAGUUUAAAAAGAAGUAGGAUUUAAAAAUUUCAAAUUUUUAACUUCAAUAGGCCAACCAUACAUUUAAAUUCUAUCCGAGGAUGCAAAGCAGCAUCUAAUUAAGACGAUUGCUGCAAGAUGCAUGGACUUGUUAAAUCAUGUGCAUGCUUACGAGCAGGCUCAUGGACCAGACCUUGAGCUUGCCCAAAGAGUUAUGCUCUUGACCAUUCACAAGACCGCUCUUUUUAAGAAAUCGGAGUCAUGCUCUACACAUGACCAGUGUUUCAAUGAGCCGCACCAAUGGGUUGAUCCCAAUUUAGUAGUCCAUAUAAGCCGACAAACUGCUUGAGAUCAUUGUCAUCGUAACUUUAAGAUGAACUAGAUUUAGAAAUUUAAAUUAAAGAAAAAAUAAAUUUAUAACUAAAGUAUUGAAAAACGCUAUUUAAAUGAAUUUUGUAACUGAGAAGCUUGCAUCCGAGAUAAUUUAGUGGAAAGCCACGAACCCCAAUUUAUAGUUUUCUAUAGGGGCAUGGGAAAUGAGUUAUAGCUUAUUGGGUCAUUGAGCCUAGAUCGACGAAUCAAUUUUAGUUUUGUAUUUUCUUAAUUAUUUUCAAAUAUACAUGAAACAGUAACAACUGUUACAUAUAAAAUGACCUAGAUUUCUUUUCAUGUUUUACAAAUGAAGUUAAAACAUAUUUUGUAUAUCAUAUUGUUGUAUCUUCACAAGAGUGUGAGUAGUUUAAGUUUGAUACAAACUUACAAGUAAAGAGACUUGUAUAUUUGGAAUCCACUGAAUAGGAAAAUGUGAAUAAUUAAUUUUACUAACUUGACUAAAUGCCUAUUUCAAUUUUGUGUGGGUAAUGAGCCUUAAUUCACGGUUUGAUCUCUUUGAGAUAUUAAACACCGACAUUAUUGAUACAUCAUUAUCAAUUACAAAAUGAACACUUGUAUCUGUUUAUUUGUAAUAAUACAAAUUUGAAGACUAAUAUGUUGGGUAAAUGGAUCCAAAUUUCAGGAAGAAGCAUUGAGUACCGAAGUUUGAUCAAAUUGUGCCAAAUUUGAUUUUCGUUCUCUGAUGUUGCUCGUGAUUUGUUUGGUGCUGAUUUUGAACUCUAAACCUCACUAACCAAUUGAAAGACAAAUAAAGUCACGGACCUUAAAUCAUGUUCGCCUAAAUUACCGAAGUAUCCCCUCAAGUCUUGUAAACUAUAAAAGUGCCAUUCCUUUUUAAUUUUUAUUGUCCCCUUGUAUGUUGCAUCCCAAUAAAACAACAAUUUUUCAUCCAACUCCAUCAAUAAAUAUUCAGCGGAGAGAUUAUUGAGUUGCUAAUCUAAGAGCUUUGGACAUCUGAUUAUUUUUUAAGUUUACGAGCUUUAAUUUUCUCAUAUGCCUUUAGUGAAAUUAAUGUCUUCCAUAUCAUAGGCAAUUGGUUGGGAAAAAGCCUAUAAACGGCCAAAGUCUCAAAACUAUGAAGUUGCUUUUUAAGUUUCAUUGAAAUUAAGUAUGUCUAGAUAACUUACUUUUUUCUUAUUUUUAAGUGAUGAAAGGCUUGUAUUUUCUUUUUAAUUUACGAUCCUUAUUAUCUAAUUGGAUGAAUCUAUUUUAUACUUCUUGUCGAGUAUAAUCGCCACGACAACGGUGCGUCUAGGUAUAGCGUUAAAAAUAUUGUUGGUCACGUGACUUGUAAUGUUGUUUUGGUUUGAUCGUUAGAAUUUCUUUUGGUCAAGUGAGGGACAGAAAUUUCAUUUUUUAUAAUCAAUUUAGUUACUUUUUCAUGUUGAAUUAGAGAAAUUCUGUCAUGGCCAACAUGAUUGAUAACAUGGCAUCGGAAAAUUUUGUUAGUGCAUUAUUCCUGUCUUCUAGCCACGUAAAAUGCACAUUGUUGAAAAGGUAGUCUUUUAGAAUUUAUAGAGAAACAAAAAUUUUAAAAAUAAACUAUAAGAUUGCACAAUCAAUUCAGUGAUAACUAAACAAAAAGUAACAAGUGUUGCGUGUUGUCACACCUGUCCUACACACCUGGGCCAAUGGUACACUCAUCCUGAUCCAUGUGGCAUUCCCGCCGAGGUGGCCCACAUUGCCGAGGUGGGUUAUAUCCGAAGUGCUUCUAACCGAGGCCCAUGACCCGAGUCGGGGAGCCUUUGGAUGUAGCUGAGGUCCUCAAAUGGACGAAGCCCCGAAGUUGAUGCACGAGCCUCUUAACCACAAGGAAACAUCCUCCAUGGUCACUUCUCCCAAGAGAUUGCCUGCACAGAUCUUAUUCGAAUGAUUGAUGGAAUGUUUGUCAUAAGCAUAAAGGUCAAGUCUUGUCACUAGCAUAGAGGUCCUGCACAAGCAAUAAAUGCGCCGUAAGCUAGUAAGUCAAGUCCCAUGCCUAAGAACAGACAUUUGAACUAAGGAGAUGAGGCCACGUGCCACUUCAUCCAAGGGCUCCCAUUCCAUAUGUAUCACUAUAAAUACCCCCAUUGUAUGACGUAAAAGGCUAAUGCAAGAAUCAAUACAAAAGACUACAUUUACUCAACUCUCUCAGUUACUUGCAAUACACAAAUCGAACUUAUACACUUUUACACAUACAUUUACAAGCACCGGUUGGUAAUUAUUGUACAAUCGAAUUACGAAUAACCCGCCGGAUUCCAAACGUUACUGUCCCGCAUCGUUGGGCUACUCCCACGCCCCUUUGAACAACUCGGUUAGACCGUCCACGUGUCUUAGCGUGUUGGACAUUCGCCCACGCAAGCGCGGGUGGGACCAGCAUUUGUUGGCGCACUUUUUAGGGUCAACAGAUUGGCGCCGUCUGUGGGAAAUCAUACCAUAACCACGAGCUACCUUGUGGUAAAAGCUUACUGAGAAACAUUUGGGCAACCCCCCUUGAAAAAGGAUUUGUUCUUGAAAAAGAGCAGUAGGAACCCCUACCACUUGGAGAAAUCUAAGUUUGAUAAAAAAAAAAAAAAAUGAGUUCUAACGAAGAUACUCCCCCAAGGAGGGUAAGAGAAAAUACGAAUAUGCCUCCCCAGCCUGCUGUCCCAGCAGCUCAGCAGAGGCUCCACCACCACCAAAGGAGAGGUGGGAUGCGUGCGACAGCACGACUAUCAAGAGAAAUGGCUACCAUGGCAGCCAACAUGAGGGAUAUAGCCAACCAAAACUUGGAUGCAAGGUCAAGGAGGUCUCCCCAUUCCUCCAUAUGCCCCCCAUGGGCACUAUCAGCAAGAGAACGAGGUCCAAAGUCAUAGGGCUGCCUCGCCCGACUAUGGUCGAGGCGAAAGCCCAUUUGAGAGGGAAGUGGGAGUUGACAUUUCCUCCAACUAUGCAUCUGGCCGACCCUCCGAGGUCCAAAUGAGCCCUGAUAACUUUCCACCUCCAUAUGAGCAAGACCCAAGACAGAGGAGAGUAGGAAGUGUUUUUGACAGAAUCAGCCCUGUCGAACCAAGACCCAGUCAACAGCAGGCUUAGCAGCCUCGGACGAGGCCACAGCCUCCACCUCCGAUGCCCCAGCAGCUAGAGAGAAGGCACAAAAAUGCCCCCCGCGCUGUCCUGCCUAGAAGUAGGCCGCAAAGGAGGGAGGAAGAGGCUAGGAACCGGCCCGGACCCUCUCACCAACAACCGAGGUACGAGGCCGAAGACUACGAUUCUGAUGAGCAACAGAGGUCCUAUGACUUGGACGAUGAUGAUGAGAACCUGCCGUUCUCAAGAGAACUGAGAAAUGCCCAGGUCCCGGGCCACUAUGUCAUGCCAAAAAUACCAAAGUAUGAUGGGAGAGGUGACCCAGAAAAGCACCUCAACGCUUACAAAACUCACAUGAACCUGAGGGGCGCCACCCCAGCUGUGAAGUGCAGAGCAUUCCAUUUAACCCUCAAUGGAGCGACUGAAAUCUGGUAUAGUAGGCUACCAUCUGGGAGCAUCCGAAGCUGGCCUGAGUUCAAAACUACCUUCUUGAAGAGGUUCGCAAUGAGCAAGGAAGGAGAGGCCCCCAUUCAGCGUCUUCAAGACAUGAGACAGGCGCAUGGCGAGUCCUUGAAAAGCUUCCUAUCCCGCUUCACCGACAAGAUGACCUACUGUGUACAAGUCACCGACAGAGAGACACUAUCUGCAUUGAGAGGGGGAUUGAACAUGAACACCCUAUUCUGGAGGGAUGUGCAGAAUCAAGACCCAACCACUUAUGACGCCUUACUAGAGAUGAUGAGAAGGGAGAUAAUCAAUGAAGAAUUGAUUGAGCAUAGGAACAGGGCCAGCAGGGGCCUCCCACCUCCUCAAAGACAGCGAGGUCGGGGACCGACCUCCCACCUCAUGGACUACCAGAUGAACCGAUCUGGAAAUGAGAACUCCGGCCAAGCCCUGGCCACUACAACUCUGAACGUGGUGCCAACCUUGGCGUAUGAGGAUGUCAACUCAACCGCUGACCCACAUCAGAUACAGGCCCAGCAGGGACCCCGUAGAGGGAGAGGCCGAGGCCGAGGCCGAGGUUUUUCACCUAGAAAUAGGUCCAAUCCAAACCUCCCUGGAUACUGUUUGCACCAUAGGUCCUACGGGCACGACACCGCGGAUUGCAGAGAUUAUGCACACCGCCCCCGGCAGGAACCAGCCAGGGAAAGACAUAACUCGUCCCAGGCGAACAGGCCCCCGCCCAGGCAAGACAACCGACAUGGGCGUGAGGCGGCCGCUCCUCGUCCAAGGGAUGUCUCCCCAAGGCGAAGAGAGCAAGACACAGAGAGGCCCAGGAAAGGGCGUAGACACCGAAGAAAUAGGCAAGCUCAAGAUGAGGCCCUUAUCCACGAGAUAGACACCAUAUUUGGAGGCCCCUAUGUUGGCGGUGAAACACGGAACGCCAAAAGAAAUUAUGCUAGGGAGGCUAAGAACCCCCCUCUGACAAGCUACAUUGUGGAUAGUAGCUCUCAAAGAAACCAAGUACCACCCAUUGUCUUCACCCAGGAAGACGCCGAAGGAGUUCAUUACCCCCACUGCGAUGCGCUGGUGGUGAGGGCUGUCAUAGCCCGAAAUGGGCUCAAACGAAUGCUAGUCGACAACGGCAGCUCCGUCAACAUCUUAUUCGGGUCCACCUUUGACAAGAUGAUAUUGGACCACCAGUUGACGCCCACCACCACUCCAUUGUACGGAUUUACCAGAGAUAGCAUCACUCCGAGAGGAAAGAUAACACUGGCAGUAGAGAUGGGAGAAUCUCCUCAAACUACAAUGAACUUUAUGGAAUUCCUCGUAGUCGACAGGCGGUCGGCUUACCACGGGGUCUUGGGCAGACCGGCCCUAAAGGAAUUGGGAGCAGUCGCCUCCAUCCACCACCUAUGCAUGAAAUUCCCAACAGAAAAUGGGGUGGCAACGGUGAGAGGCGACCAGAGAGGUUCGCGAGAGUGCUAUCUGAGCUCCAUUAAGAAGGUAGAGCCCCGGGAUGUCCACGUGAUCAUGGCUGAUGUGGUCAUGGCGGAUGUUCCAGGUGACGCUCCCACUGACCAGGAAGAUAUUGAUAUGAUUGACGCACCGCUUAUUCAGGAGGUGUUGAUCGUUGAUGAGAUCGACCCCCGCAUAAUGGAGCAUGAGCCUCAAGCGUCCCCUGUAGAGGAACUUGAGAGCUUCUCAACCGACCCUCGAGAUCCGUCUAAGGUGUUGAAAAUAGGCAGGGGCUUAUCCAACAUCUUGAGAGAAAAGGUCAAGGACUUCUUAGGCAAGAACAUUGACGUCUUCGCCUGGAGACAUGAGGACAUGGUGGGCAUAGACCCCAAGGUCAACUGCCACCACUUGAAAAUUGAUCCUAAUUUUGCCCCGCAUAGGCAAAAAAGGAAAGCCCUCAAUCCAGAGAGGUAUGAGGCCCUAAAGGAAGAGGUUCAGAAGCUCAUCCAAAAUGGCUUCAUCAGGGAGGCCACUUAUCCGAAGUGGGUCUCCAACCUGGUCUUGGUUAAGAAACACAAUGGAAAAUGGAGAGUAUGCAUCGACUUUACCAACCUUAAUAGAGUUUGCCCGAAAGAUAGCUUUCCACUCCCAAGAAUUGACCAAUUGGUGGACUCCACGGCUGGGCACGAGUUGUUGAGCUUCAUGGAUGCAUACUCCGGCUUUAACCAGAUCCCCAUGCACCCGGCCGAUGAGGAGCACACCUCUUUCAUCACGGAUCGAGGCCUCUAUUGCUAUAGAAUGAUGCCUUUCGGGUUGAAAAACGCCGGAGCAACUUACCAAAGACUCGUGAACAAAAUGUUUACCGACCUCAUUGGCAAGACAAUGGAGGUCUACGUGGAUGACAUGCGGGUAAAAAGCCUAGAAGCAGAGAACCACAUAGUGCACCUCAACGACACCUUCCAAAGACUAAGAAGGUACCGGAUGAGGCUCAACCCAUUGAAAUGUGCCUUUGGGGUGGCUUCCGGCUAGUUCUUGGGGUACAUGGUCAACUAGCGAGGAAUUGAAGCAAAUCCCGAGAAGAUUGAGGUUCUGUGCCAGAUGAGGUCCCCUCAAAAGCCAAAGGAGGUGCAAAGCUUAACUGGACGAGUGGCAGCACUUAGUCGCUUCGUCUCCAAAGCAACUGACAAGUGCCUCCCAUUUUUCAAAGUGCUCAAGGCUGGGAAGAAAUUCCAAUGGACUGAGGAAUGUGAAGAGGCCUUCCAAGGAUUGAAAAAGCACUUGGGGCAGGCCCCCCUCCUCUCCAAGCCGAAGUCUGGCGACAUUUUGCAACUAUAUCUUGCCGUCUCCAAUGACGCCAUCAGUUCGGUUUUGAUUCGAGAAGGAGGGUCCACCCAACUUCCCGUCUACUAUACGAGUAAAGCGCUCCUAUCGCCGGAGACCCGAUACCCCGAUAUGGAGAAACUUACUUUGGCCUUAAUCACGGCCUCUAGGAAAUUGAGACCCUACUUCCAAGCUCAUACCAUCCAUGUACUUACAAAUUUUCCCCUGAGGCAAGUACUCCAGAAGCCCGAUGCCUCGGGAAGAUUGUUGAAAUGGGCAGUGGAACUAAGUGAAUUUGACAUUAUGUUCAAAGCAAGGGUAGCCAUCAAAGGGCAAGCUUUAGCAAACUUCGUCGCUGAAUUCGCCAACCUACCCGAAGUGGAUAAAAUCAUGGAAUCCGUCGAACCCCCCACGUGGAGCCUCUUCGUCGAUGGCUCAGCUGGGGAAAUCGGCUCAGGUCCCGGGGUUGUCCUCAUCAGCCCCGAGGGUCACAAACUCACCUCAGCCGUAAUGUUCGUAUUCAAAGCCACCAACAAUGUUGCAGAGUAUGAAGCACUCCUUGCAGGCCUCAGACUGGCCAAGAAAAUGCAAGUAAAGAAGCUACUCGUUAGUAGUGACUCCCAGCUGGUUGUUAGCCAAGUCAAUGGUAACUUCUCAGCCAAAGACAAAACGAUGGCCUCCUAUCUGAAAAUGGUGAUGAACCUCAUCCCAUCCUUUGAGAAGUUCGAGUUAACCCAGAUUCCCCGCAUCGAAAAUACUCAUGCGUAUGCACUCUCGAAGCUGGCUAGUAGCAAAGACUCAGAGCUACUCACUGUAGUGCCUAUCGAGCACCUCCUACUGCCUUCUACCGAGGCCCCUAAUGUCAUGUGGGUCAGUGGAACCCCCACCUGGAUGCAACCAAUUAUAGCAUAUCUGAAAGACCAGGUGCUACCCACCAACAAGAAUGAGGCUUACAAGCUAAGAAGGAGGUCGGCCCAUUUCCUCUUCAUCGAUGACAUUCUCUACAAGAGAAGUUUCUCCUCUCCACUCUUACGAUGCGUCGGAGGAGAAGAGGCUACCAACAUACUAAGAGAAGUCCACAAGGGAGUGUGUGGCAACCAUUCUGGAGGCCUAUCUCUCGCACAAAAAAUACUGAGGCAAGGAUACUACUGGCGCACCCUGAAACGGGAUGCCCUCGAAUUUGUGUGAAAAUGUGAUAAGUGCCAACGAUUCUCUCCCGUUCAAAGACGACCAUCACAAGAUUUGACUGCAGUCUCCAGCCCCUGGCCUUUCUCAAAGUGGGGUGUGGACCUCAUAGACCCUCUACCAAAGGGUAGAGGAGGCGCAAGUUUUGCAAUAGUGGCCAUUGAUUACUUCACGAAGUGGGUCGAAGCUGAACUACUGGCGAAAAUCACAGAAGCAAACACCUCUAAGUUCCUAUGGAAGAAUAUCAUUUGCCGGUUCGGAAUUCCCUACUCGAUCGUCUCAGACAAUGGCAGGCAAUUCGAUAGCAAGAAGGUUAGAGAACUGUGUGAAGACCUUGGCAUAAAAAAGCUCUUCUCUACACCUCACCACCCACAAGCUAAUGGCCAAGUCAAAGCCGUAAACAAGACAAUCAAGCACGUCCUGAAAAGGAGGCUUGAUGUGUCCAAGGGAGCUUGGUUUGAUGAGCUGCCCCAAGUACUUUGGGCAAUCCGAACCACCACCAGAACCCCAACCGAGGAGACCCCUUUCCUCAUGGCUUUUGGGACUGAGGCGAUGAGCCCCGUGGAGGUCGGACUCCCAUCCGGCGUCUGCACUUCAGCGAAGUGACCAACGACGAGCUCCUGAGGCUAGACCUCGAUUUCAUUGAGGAGAGGAGGGACGACUCCCAGCUAAGGCUAGGCACCUACCAAAGGAAGAUGACAAGGUACUUCAACUCCAAAGUCAAGAAGAAGUCUUUCCGAAUCAACGAUCUAAUACUCAGGAGGGUCUUCCCAUCUUCAAAAGAACUCGGUUCCGGCUUCCUGGGGCCGAACUGAGAAGGUCCAUACAAGAUCAGAGAAGAAAUCCGACCUGGAACCUACUGGAUUGAAGACAUGGGCGGCAAGGCACAACCCCGUCCAUGGAACAUUGAACACCUCAGAAUCUUUUAUCAAUGAAUUGUAUCAUGCUGGAUGACUUUCCCAGCCUUUGUAAUAUUUCUAUGGCUCAAUAAAAUUCAUUGAUUAAAUUGUCAUACUACGUCGUCACCUUGGAGGAGAGGCUCGGGACCCACCUAUGGGCCACCUCGCUCGAACUCCGAGGCGCUAGCACAUGCCUCCCUUUGGCCUUGCUGAAUGCCAAGGGGAGAAGCCUCAACAUGGCUGCACCAUCCACCAUGUCUGGGAUGCGUCGUCACCUCGGAGGAGAGGCUCGGGACCCACCUCUGGGCCACCUCGCUUGAACUCCGAGGCGCUAGCACAUGCCUCCCUUUGGCCUUGCUGAACGCCAAGGGGAGAAGCCUCAAUAUGGCUGCACCAUCCACCAUGUCUGGGAUGCGUCGUCACCUCGAAGGAGAGGCUCGGGACCCACCUCUAGGCCACCUCGCUCGAACUCCGAGGCGCUAGCACAUGCCUCCCUUUGGCCUUGCUGAAUGCCAAGGGGAGAAGCCUCAACAUGGCUGCACCAUCCACCAUGUCUGGGAUGCGUCGUCACCUCGGAGGAGAGGCUCGGGACCCACCUCUGGGCCAUCUCGCUCGAACUCCGAGGCGCUAGCACAUGCCUCCCUUUGGCCUUGUUGAACGCCAAGGGGAGAAGCCUCAAUAUGGCUGCACCAUCCACCAUGUCUAGGAUGCGUCGUCACCUCGAAGGAGAGGCUUGGGACCCACCUUAGCAACUUUGACCUCCUCUGCAAGGGAGGCAGCCUUCCCCUUCGAGGCGUGAGUCCUUGUCUGAAAUUCACUUAAUGCCUCCCUACAUUCGAGGGCGAGGCCAAAGGUCCGAGCGCUUUGGCUCACCAGUGCCCUUGUGAGGUCGGUGGCAUCACAAGACGAGGCAUGAAGCUGCCACCUCUCCGUCCAGAACUUGUAAAAGCUCUCGGUGGCACUUCUAAUUUCCUCAGGGAGAGCCUCCACCAAGGCUGGGGCCAGCUCAUCCUCCCUCCCAGCUAGGAAGUUUGGAGACUUCCCCUUCUCCCGAACCGGCUUCCCCUUCGUCGCCUCCUCUUCGGCGGCUUCUGCAGCUCGCCUUGUAGCCUCUUCUCUGGCCUCUUCAGCCUCCACCUCUCUUACCAUCUCCAUUUUGAUGGCCUUAGAGGCUGCAGCAAGGAGCUGCUCACCAGUCUGUUCUGCCCUAUGGGACACUGUGGUCCCAAACUUGCCAGCUGAGCUGGAGAUGUACACCAGCUUCCUCUUCUUAGUCUCCUCAGAGACUUUUUCCUUGCCCCGAGGCUCCUUAGGCUUCUCUGGCGUCUGAGUAGACGCCUCCUCCAAGACCCUGGGAGUGCAGUCCUUCGACAGGCACUCAACCCUGCCUCGGACUUCCUUUGCUCCACUGGACCUAGGCUUCAGGGGCCUCGCCUUCGCAGUAGAAGUGGCCUUCAAGAUGGAGGCCAUAUCCGGAUCUGGGUACUCCCUCAUCUUGAAUUUGUCUGCACAACAUAUCAGAUUAGCAUCAGCAUAAGAAACAUUCAGAAUAAAAACAUCAAGUGUUGGGGCCCCAUACCUCUGGAUGCCAUCAGCUCGAAGUCCAAGAAGUAUCUACUUCUGUCAAUCAGGUGAUCAAAGUGUCGAAGCUUCAGAGGCCUCUUGUAAAUGUCCUCUAUCACCUCAAAUUUCUCCCUGCUGAGCUCGAACCUCGUACUACUAUCUGCAAAGACGAACCUCCAACAGUUAGACGAAUAAAUAUUCUGAUUUCAAAACACAAGCAGAGGUCGGGAGACUCACGAGCUUCGUAGUACUGGGUCGGCACUGUGCAUGACAGGGCUUUGUCACCCUCCACUGCCUGCCAUUUACCUCGCACCCAGAACCAGGACUCCUUCCACCCCUUGAUGGAAGAAGGAAGUCCCACCAUAAAGGGUGCGUGAGCCCCCCAAGGCGUGAGGUAGUACCACCCCCUUGACUCCUUCCCAAUUACCCGGGGCUGGAACAGGGUCAUGAAGACGUGAAGAGGCAUGUCCUCCCCAAGUAACACUUCCUUCCACAGGAAGUAUGAGCCGACCAGCUGGCUCCACCCAUUCGGCAGAACCUAGGUCGGCGACAGCAUGAAUUUCCUAAGCACCGCCCUAAAGAAGAGGUGCAAAGGAAGACGCAUACCUGCUUUGAACAGGUAUUCACUCACGGCCACGCAGCCGGGCCUCGGAUAGCAGGCCCGCUCAUUCGGUUUGGAGACUAACAUCUCUAUGUUAUGAGGCACACUAUACCUUUCCCUAAGUUCCCCCAACCUCUUCCCCGUCAUGUUCGAGGGCACUCUAGAAGCCCCCCACUCCUGGGUAUAAUCCACAGCCUCCUCGGCCAUGGCAUACCUAUCCACCUCGGACGUCCCCCCAUGACCUACCCCAUGAUCUAAAGACGCCACUGUAACAAGUUCCCUACCCGAAGUGGACUCCAUUUUUUCAGAACAAAGACAGUAACAACGGUUUUUUAUGCAAAAAAUACCUAAAGGAGUUCAACACAAACGGAUACUGGUAGGAAUCUAAUCGCAGACAACCUCGACGCCAGAAAAUGGGAGAUUUGAGAGAAUUUGAGAAUGCAAAGUAUUCAAAAAUCCUGGAAAUUGGGAUUUUCUCGCCUUUUAUAAAGGUCCAAGACGAACCCCACCCGUCAGAUCAAAUCUCAGUCAAUCCGAGCCCUCCAUUUUAGAUCCAAUCCGAGGCGUUGAAUUCAAACAGUUUUUAAAUCCUACGCCUCCGUUCUAUGCGUGCCUCCCACGCACCUCUCCAACGCGUCUGCCUCUAGAAACGCCAGCUGCCCUCAUAAUUGCAUUUUAAUUCGACGGUGCCACCACCUUGGAAGUCGUAACGGUUCAGCUACCUUUCCUCGAAAAUAAGCACAAAACAUCAAAUCAUUGGCACACCGACCAAUGCACAAUCAUUACCAUUGGACCUCGGUAAGCCCUCAGGGUCGGCUUCCUCAACCACCUCGACUUCCUCCUCGCAUUCAGCGUUCAAGCCUCGCAGGUUCGGUUCCUCAACCACCUCGGCUUCCUCCUCGCCAUUCAGCGUUCAAGCCUCGCAGGUUCGAUUUCCUCAACCACCUCGGAUUCCUCCUCGCAUUCAGCGUUCAAGCGUCGCAGGUUCGGUUCCUCAACCACCUCGACUUCCUCCUCGCCAUUCAGCGUUCAAGCCUCGCAGGUUCGAUUUCCUCAACCACCUCGGCUUCCUCCUCGCAUUCAGCGUUCAAGCCUUGCAGGUUCGGUUCCUCAACCACCUCGGCUUCCUCCUCGCCAUUCAGCGUUCAAGCCUCGCAGGUUCGGUUUCCUCAACCACCUCGGCUUCCUCCUCGCAUUCAGCGUUCAAGCCUUGCAGGUUCGGUUCCUCAACCACCUCGGCUUCCUCCUCGCAUUCAGUGGUCAAGCCUCGCAGGUUCAGUUUCUUCAACCACCUCGGCUUCCUCCUUGCCAAUCAGCGUUCAAGCCUCGUAGGCUCGGUUUAUUUAACCAACUCGACUUCUUCAUCAUUCACCCAAGCAACACUUCUCAAACUCUAACCAUGAUAUAAAUACCUAUGCUUGGACUUAGGGGACUAUUAUUUGGGGUCCUAAAAUUCUUUCAACUUACUCCAUCAAAGUCCACACAUUACAUUAAUGAUAAUACUUGGACUUGGGGGACUAUUGUUGUGUGUUGUCACACCUGUCCUAUCCACCUGGGCCAAUGGUACACUCAUCCUGAUCCACGUGGCAUUCCCGCCGAGGUGGCCCACAUUGCUGAGGUGGGUUAUAUCCGAAGUGCUUCUAACCGAGGCCCAUGACCCGAGUCGAGCCUUUGGAUGUAGCUGAGGUCCUCAAAUGGACGAAGCCCCGAAGUUGAUGCACGAGCCUCUUAACCACAAGGAAACAUCCUCCAUGGUCACUUCUCUCAAGAGAUCGCCUGCACAGAUCUUAUUCGAAUGAUUGAUGGAAUGUUUGUCAUAAGUAUAAAGGUCAAGUCUUGUCACUAGCAUAGAGGUCCUGCACAAGCAAUAAAUGCGCCGUAAGCUAGCAAGUCAAGUCCCAUGCCUAAGAACAGACAUUUGAACUAAGGAGAUGAGGCCACGUGCCACUUCAUCCAAGGGCUCCCAUUCCAUAUGUAUCACUAUAAAUACCCCCAUUGUAUGAUGUAAAAGGCUAAUGCAAAAAUCAAUACAAAAGACUACAUUUACUCAACUCUCUCAGUUACUUGCAAUACACAAAUCGAACUUAUCCACUUUUACACAUACAUUUACAAGCAUCGGUUGGUAAUUAUUGUACAAUCGGAUUAUGAAUAACCCGCCGGAUUCCGAACGUCACUGUCCCGCGUUGUUGGGCUACUCCCACGCCCCUUUGAACAGAUCGGUUAGACCGUCCACGUGUCUUAGCGUGUUGGACAUUCGUCCACGCAAGCGCGGGUGCGACCGGCAUCUGUUGGCGCACUUUUUGGGGUCAACAACAAGACCAAAAUCCCACUUGGAGUUUAAGUAAGAAGAAGAAGAUCCUGCCAUAAAAUGCAAUGAAAAGAAUAAACAUCUUGGUAUUAAGUUUUUAAUACAAAUUUGAUUGUUAGUUGUCUAAGAUUCUCUUGACCCCCUUCCUGACCCCUCCCAUGAUGGCAUGCUCAUGGAACUUUAAUAAAUGCGUGGCAAAGACACUUAAUUCCAAGGCUACAAAUACUGAACUUAGCAUCAAUAUAGGAAAAUUAUUUCUUAUCUAAUGAUGUCGCAUUAUGUAGCUGUCGAUAUUAUCUUUGCAUCAUUUCAAAGUUGAAAGUAUUUGUUCCUUUAUUAAUGGCUACGAGUGUAGUAUUAAUGCUCAUUUUCACUAUCACACCUUUAUCAUAUUAAAAAAUGUAUGGUUCUACUUUUCCUUUUACUAGUGCUAUGUAAAGCAAAGCUCUAAAGUUGGAUUCUCAACACAUAAAUAAUUAAAUUUUAUUCUUUCCAAUGCUUAUUUUCUCUAUCACACCUUUAUCAUAGUAAAAAAUGUUAGGUUCCACUUUUCCCUUCUUCUAGUGCUAUGAAAAGCAAAUUUCUGAAGUUGGAUUCUCAACAUGCAAAUAAUUACAUUUUAUUCUUUCCAAUAAUUUAUUUUUAUUUAUUGAAUAGCGAAUGCAAUAAGCAAAAGCAGUCAAUACGAUUGAUGAGAACGUUGAAGAUUUAUGAUUAGAGUCUAGAGAUGUAUCGUUUGUAUAUAAUGUAAUUUCAAAUAAAAAUUCCAUAUAAAGAGGCAUAUGCCUUUUUAGAAAUAAUUACAGUAGAACAUCGCCUGCUGGCGUCUUUGUUCUCCAUAAGUUGUACUUUGUUCUCUAUAAGUUGUACAUUAAUUUGUUAAUAGCCUUGGUUAUCGACUUAUCGUAUGCAACUUGUUCAGGAAAAACCCUAUAAACUUCGCAUUGUGAGUGUCGCUCAAGUUGUUCGUCAAAUAUUUUCGGGCACCGUAGCAACUUUGUUCGAGAAAAGCUAAACAGUGUGCCCCAGCCAUUGAUAGCUGACAACUUUUUCUCUUCUAUUGACUGCCUUUAGACCAUUGACUGAGUCGGCACGUUCUCACUUGAAGUUCACAUGCAUUUCUGUCUCUUCUGCUAAUAAAAUAUUAAUUAUUUGUUAGCAUUAAUGAUGUCCUUAACAAUGUUAACAGAAUAAUCUCAUGCUUUUAAAGUACUAAUUUUUAUGAGGAAAUAUAGUUUAAUAGCCUAAAUAGAAGGUUGAUUUUCCAAAUUAGCCUAAGAAAUAAAAACAUUUGAAAACUAGUCUCCAAACAACUAAAUUUCCAAAAAUACCCUUAAUAGAGAAAUUGCAACCAAAGCCAUUACAAUGUCUAAAAAUCUCCAAAUAAGUCCUCAAGAAAAUAUAGAUCAUAAAUUUUUAAUAAAUUUAGAUCCAAAUAUUAUACAAAAUUUUAUUGAUCUAAAAAUCUAUACAGAAAACGAAUUAAUCUAUCUAGAAGAAGAUCUGAAAGACUUCUUUAUAGAAUAUUUAGACCCAAAAAUAAAAAAUAAAAAUGAUUCCAUAGAUAACGAAGCAAUCAAAAUGGAAAAAGACAUAUAUAAAUUAAUUCUUAAUUUAAGAAGGAGAAUUGAAAAAUUAAACAUAAUUAUUCAAGAAAAAGUAUUAAUAAAAAAUAGUGAAUUUUAUAAAUUCUAUUGUGACAUUUUAAAUACUUAUGAAAAAUCUAAUUGGCUAAAAAAUAUUAACCCCUCCGCUGCACACUCCGAUCAAAUGGUAUCAGAGCCAAGUUACGAACCAAAAAUUAUGAUGAAUAUAGUAGAUGAAGAAAAUAUAAUUGAAGAAUUUUUGGAAAAAGUUAAAAAACAUAAAAAACCUAGUUAUCCCUAUUUACCUAAAAACACUACGAAUGAAAGUUUUGAGGAUAUACAUAAAAGACUAGAAAAUCUAGAAUAUAAUCUACAAGUAGGAAAUGCAUUAUUAGAUAAUAAUCUUAGAGGAAAAGAUAGGAUUAUAAUAAAUCCACCUCAAGAUUUUAGAAUAACAAAAAAUAAAGGAAAAAAGCAUGAAGAAAAACAAUAUAUGAUAACAGAUGUAGAAGAAAUAGAACAAAAAUUCUUAGAAUCUACAGGUGAAGAGUAUAAAGAAUAUAAAAAGCAGUUAGAAGAAUUAACUGAAAAAAUGGAGAAUAUAAAAAUGAAUACUAAUCCAUCUUCAAGUCAUGAUAUAAAAGUAGAAUUUAGUAGUGAUGAAGAACAAGAUUUCCCUAAUGGUACCCCUAUACCUGAUAAGGCUGAUGUUAAUCGAUAUAGAAAAACCCAGAAAAGAUACACUGGUAAUGUAAGAAAACAAUCUAUAAAAGAAAUAAAUCCAAUGAAAUCUUAUAAUGAACCAAUCCACACAACAGGAAUAUGGUUAGAUUUAGAUUGUGUAGAUAAAAAUAAAGCUAUUGAAACAUGGAUAAAAAGUACAGAUUUAGCUAUACAAUUUAAUAAAUGGGAAACAUAUACGGCUUUUGGAUUUAUAGAACACACAUUUAGAGGAACUGUCUCUGAAUGGUGGAGAAAGUUACCAGAAACCAUCAAAGGAGGUGUAAAAUAUGGAGCAAAUAGAACUGAAGUACUAGAUAAUAGAAAUUCCUUAAAUGAACAAAAUAUACAAGAAAUAUUAAAAAGAUUUGAGAAAAUCUUAAGAAUAGAAUUUCUAGGAAAUAGACAUACCUCUAAUGAAGAAGAAAGAACACAAGAAGAAUAUAACCAAGGAAUGAUUGCAAUGGAAAAUCUAAAAAUAUGUGAUAUGUGUGAGUUAGAAAGAUAUACAUGUAAAUUUGAAGAAUUAUACUAUGUAUUAAAUCAAGGAGACUAUCAAGAAAAUAAACCUAUUUUAAGAUCUUACUUUACAAAGUUACCAUUCCCAUGGGGAAUUAAGUUACUAAAAGAAUAUGAGAAAUUAUUGCCUCUAGGAAAAGAGGAAGGAAUUGAAAUAGAUACUCUUGGAAGUAGAAUUGAAUUUACAAAAAGAAUGAUAAGUAUGUGGUGUAGAGAAGCACUAGAAAAUAAGAAAGCUUAUAAAAUAAGAAAAAAUUCAUUAUGUUGUUACAAAGAUAAUGGUCAGGUAGAACAAUUUGGAUGCUAUAAAAAGAAGUUUAAACCAUAUAAGAAAUAUAAAAGAAGAUUCAAAAACUAUAAAAAAUUCAAUAAAAGAAAUUUUAAACCACAUAAAAAAUAUUUCAAGAAAAGAAAUUGGAAUAAGAAAUCUAAACCAAGAUAUAUCAAAAAAUGUAGAUGUUUUAUUUGUAAUGAAGAAGGACACAUUGCCCCUCAAUGUCCUAAAAAGAAAGAUAGACAAAAUAUAAAAACUCUUAGAAUUUACGAAAAAUUCCAAGAAGAUAGUGAUAUAGAACCAAUUGAAUAUUUUGGAGAUCUAAGUAGUGAAUGUAGUAGUAUUUAUGAAUUAGAUACAUCCUCAUCAGAAGAAGAAGAUUAUGAGGAAAUUGUAUAUAUGAAUCAAGAGAUACAACAAUCAGAAAUAGAAAUAGAAACAACUGAAGAAGUUGAAAAUUCUAUAGAAGGUAUUAAUCAGGAAAUAACUUUUGAUAUUAAAAAAUAUGCAGGAAUUACUAAAAAGAUANNNNNNNNNNNNNNNNNNNNNNNNNNNNNNNNNNNNNNNNNNNNNNNNNNNNNNNNNNNNNNNNNNNNNNNNNNNNNNNNNNNNNNNNNNNNNNNNNNNNNNNNNNNNNNNNNNNNNNNNNNNNNNNNNNNNNNNNNNNNNNNNNNNNNNNNNNNNNNNNNNNNNNNNNNNNNNNNNNNNNNNNNNNNNNNNNNNNNNNNNNNNNNNNNNNNNNNNNNNNNNNNNNNNNNNNNNNNNNNNNNNNNNNNNNNNNNNNNNNNNNNNNNNNNNNNNNNNNNNNNNNNNNNNAGUACUAGCCAUCAUAAUAAUUUAAGAAAAAUAACUGAUAAUAUUAUCAUACACAAAGAUUUUGAAGAAUUAGCACAGUAUAUACCUCCUAGGAAAUACCAAGAACAUGAAGUCACUAUACCAGAGCAAAUAAUGCUUGAUUUCCAUAAACAAGCCAGAGAAAUUAAUUCUGAAGGAAAAUUAAUAAGAAGAAAUAGUGUCAGUUUAGAAGGAGAUAAUCUUAUAGCAAGAUUUCCCUCUAGACAAGAAUCUAAGAUAAGCAAACUUAAGAAACUAAGCAUUGAUAAACCAUCAAGUUCGCAAUACUAUAUCAAGACAAGAUAUGUGAACCAAGAAGGAUGUAAGAAGAAUCUUCUUGUCCUCAUAGAUACUGGAGCAGAUAAGAGUCAUGUAAAUGCUAAAUUUGUUAGUCAUCUAACAGAAUUCGAGAUAUCAGAACCAUACAUAUUUAAAGAUUAUUUAGGAAAUAAUCUUGAAAUCAGGAAAUAUGUUAAGUUUCCUCUUAUACUUAUAGGAGAAGACCAAAGAGAAUAUACUAAAGAAAUAAUUCUAUACAAAGAUGAAUUAUAUGGAUUAGAUCGUUCACCUAUUCUAUUAGGAAUGAACUUUCUUGAGAAAUAUAGUCCUUACAAAAUUUGUCAAGGAUAUUUAAAGAUAACAGUUGACGAUAAUCCAAUUAUCAUUCCAAGAAUAGAUGAAAAUAUGAAAUCAUUGUUAUCAUGGAAAGAGUAAUUAGUACUAAUCCCAUGAGCCCAUAUAUUGAAAUUAUACUCAAUAUAAAGGAUUAUUGUAGAAUUAAAUUUCAUGCUUACUUAGAUACAGGAAGUACAAUAAGCUUAUGCUUACCAAAUGUACUACCAUCUAAAUACUGGAAAUAUAAUCCAAAGAAAGUGGUAACUGCUACAACAGCAGGAGGAAAUAAAGUAAUAUAUAAUAAGUAUGCUAAUCAAGUACCUUUUCUAAUCUCUUUUAGAGAAGUAUUUGUUGAUACAAUAUAUAUGUCAACCACAAUUGGAUGUGAUAUUUUAUUAGGACAGAAUUUCCUAUUAAAAUAUGAACCAUUUACACAAUAUAUUGAUAAAUAUAUGUUCACAACACCUUGUGCACAUAAGAUAUUUACACCAAAAAUAAAUAAAGCUGUUACAAUAGCAUAUAGAGAUAUAAAACAUCAGAGUUCUUCAACCCAGCGUGGUGGAUGUUGGAAUACAGAAAAAUUUAAACCAGUUACAGUAUUAAAAAUGACAACAGAAAAUAGGUUAGAAAAAUUGAAAAGAGAAAUNNNNNNNNNNNNNNNNNNNNNNNNNNNNNNNNNNNNNNNNNNNNNNNNNNNNNNNNNNNNNNNNNNNNNNNNNNNNNNNNNNNNNNNNNNNNNNNNNNNNNNNNNNNNNNNNNNNNNNNNNNNNNNNNNNNNNNNNNNNNNNNNNNNNNNNNNNNNNNNNNNNNNNNNNNNNNNNNNNNNNNNNNNNNNNNNNNNNNNNNNNNNNNNNNNNNNNNNNNNNNNNNNNNNNNNNNNNNNNNNNNNNNNNNNNNNNNNNNNNNNNNNNNNNNNNNNNNNNNNNNNNNNNNNNNNNNNNNNNNNNNNNNNNNNNNNNNNNNNNNNNNNNNNNNNNNNNNNNNNNNNNNNNNNNNNNNNNNNNNNNNNNNNNNNNNNNNNNNNNNNNNNNNNNNNNNNNNNNNNNNNNNNNNNNNNNNNNNNNNNNNNNNNNNNNNNNNNNNNNNNNNNNNNNNNNNNNNNNNNNNNNNNNNNNNNNNNNNNNNNNNNNNNNNNNNNNNNNNNNNNNNNNNNNNNNNNNNNNNNNNNNNNNNNNNNNNNNNNNNNNNNNNNNNNNNNNNNNNNNNNNNNNNNNNNNNNNNNNNNNNNNNNNNNNNNNNNNNNNNNNNNNNNNNNNNNNNNNNNNNNNNNNNNNNNNNNNNNNNNNNNNNNNNNNNNNNNNNNNNNNNNNNNNNNNNNNNNNNNNNNNNNNNNNNNNNNNNNNNNNNNNNNNNNNNNNNNNNNNNNNNNNNNNNNNNNNNNNNNNNNNNNNNNNNNNNNNNNNNNNNNNNNNNNNNNNNNNNNNNNNNNNNNNNNNNNNNNNNNNNNNNNNNNNNNNNNNNNNNNNNNNNNNNNNNNNNNNNNNNNNNNNNNNNNNNNNNNNNNNNNNNNNNNNNNNNNNNNNNNNNNNNNNNNNNNNNNNNNNNNNNNNNNNNNNNNNNNNNNNNNNNNNNNNNNNNNNNNNNNNNNNNNNNNNNNNNNNNNNNNNNNNNNNNNNNNNNNNNNNNNNNNNNNNNNNNNNNNNNNNNNNNNNNNNNNNNNNNNNNNNNNNNNNNNNNNNNNNNNNNNNNNNNNNNNNNNNNNNNNNNNNNNNNNNNNNNNNNNNNNNNNNNNNNNNNNNNNNNNNNNNNNNNNNNNNNNNNNNNNNNNNNNNNNNNNNNNNNNNNNNNNNNNNNNNNNNNNNNNNNNNNNNNNNNNNNNNNNNNNNNNNNNNNNNNNNNNNNNNNNNNNNNNNNNNNNNNNNNNNNNNNNNNNNNNNNNNNNNNNNNNNNNNNNNNNNNNNNNNNNNNNNNNNNNNNNNNNNNNNNNNNNNNNNNNNNNNNNNNNNNNNNNNNNNNNNNNNNNNNNNNNNNNNNNNNNNNNNNNNNNNNNNNNNNNNNNNNNNNNNNNNNNNNNNNNNNNNNNNNNNNNNNNNNNNNNNNNNNNNNNNNNNNNNNNNNNNNNNNNNNNNNNNNNNNNNNNNNNNNNNNNNNNNNNNNNNNNNNNNNNNNNNNNNNNNNNNNNNNNNNNNNNNNNNNNNNNNNNNNNNNNNNNNNNNNNNNNNNNNNNNNNNNNNNNNNNNNNNNNNNNNNNNNNNNNNNNNNNNNNNNNNNNNNNNNNNNNNNNNNNNNNNNNNNNNNNNNNNNNNNNNNNNNNNNNNNNNNNNNNNNNNNNNNNNNNNNNNNNNNNNNNNNNNNNNNNNNNNNNNNNNNNNNNNNNNNNNNNNNNNNNNNNNNNNNNNNNNNNNNNNNNNNNNNNNNNNNNNNNNNNNNNNNNNNNNNNNNNNNNNNNNNNNNNNNNNNNNNNNNNNNNNNNNNNNNNNNNNNNNNNNNNNNNNNNNNNNNNNNNNNNNNNNNNNNNNNNNNNNNNNNNNNNNNNNNNNNNNNNNNNNNNNNNNNNNNNNNNNNNNNNNNNNNNNNNNNNNNNNNNNNNNNNNNNNNNNNNNNNNNNNNNNNNNNNNNNNNNNNNNNNNNNNNNNNNNNNNNNNNNNNNNNNNNNNNNNNNNNNNNNNNNNNNNNNNNNNNNNNNNNNNNNNNNNNNNNNNNNNNNNNNNNNNNNNNNNNNNNNNNNNNNNNNNNNNNNNNNNNNNNNNNNNNNNNNNNNNNNNNNNNNNNNNNNNNNNNNNNNNNNNNNNNNNNNNNNNNNNNNNNNNNNNNNNNNNNNNNNNNNNNNNNNNNNNNNNNNNNNNNNNNNNNNNNNNNNNNNNNNNNNNNNNNNNNNNNNNNNNNNNNNNNNNNNNNNNNNNNNNNNNNNNNNNNNNNNNNNNNNNNNNNNNNNNNNNNNNNNNNNNNNNNNNNNNNNNNNNNNNNNNNNNNNNNNNNNNNNNNNNNNNNNNNNNNNNNNNNNNNNNNNNNNNNNNNNNNNNNNNNNNNNNNNNNNNNNNNNNNNNNNNNNNNNNNNNNNNNNNNNNNNNNNNNNNNNNNNNNNNNNNNNNNNNNNNNNNNNNNNNNNNNNNNNNNNNNNNNNNNNNNNNNNNNNNNNNNNNNNNNNNNNNNNNNNNNNNNNNNNNNNNNNNNNNNNNNNNNNNNNNNNNNNNNNNNNNNNNNNNNNNNNNNNNNNNNNNNNNNNNNNNNNNNNNNNNNNNNNNNNNNNNNNNNNNNNNNNNNNNNNNNNNNNNNNNNNNNNNNNNNNNNNNNNNNNNNNNNNNNNNNNNNNNNNNNNNNNNNNNNNNNNNNNNNNNNNNNNNNNNNNNNNNNNNNNNNNNNNNNNNNNNNNNNNNNNNNNNNNNNNNNNNNNNNNNNNNNNNNNNNNNNNNNNNNNNNNNNNNNNNNNNNNNNNNNNNNNNNNNNNNNNNNNNNNNNNNNNNNNNNNNNNNNNNNNNNNNNNNNNNNNNNNNNNNNNNNNNNNNNNNNNNNNNNNNNNNNNNNNNNNNNNNNNNNNNNNNNNNNNNNNNNNNNNNNNNNNNNNNNNNNNNNNNNNNNNNNNNNNNNNNNNNNNNNNNNNNNNNNNNNNNNNNNNNNNNNNNNNNNNNNNNNNNNNNNNNNNNNNNNNNNNNNNNNNNNNNNNNNNNNNNNNNNNNNNNNNNNNNNNNNNNNNNNNNNNNNNNNNNNNNNNNNNNNNUUGAUUCUGAAAAGAGUUUGGAUAGAGGUGAAAACAGAGACUCUGGAUACUGUGAGAUAGCGUCUGUGGAAACACGGCUAGUUCUCUAGAAUGAGAAAUGCAACCUUAAUUGAAAAGCCUUUUGCGGAAGCAGUUGUGGACCCAAAUGAUUUCAAAAACAUUUUUAAUCUUUACUUGAUUCAGAAGAUUGAUUAAGUACAUGCAAAGCAUCUAUAAGAGCAUACUGGAGGGAAAACCUGUUUAUUCCACUUGAUUACUGUAAGUUAUUUACUUAUUUUUACAUGCUUAUGCUUUAAUUAUCUUUAAUGAACAAUUCACAAGCAUCCACUUCUAUUGUUAAUAAUGAUAAUAAUCUCAUUUUAUUUUUAGAUGAAGAAGAUGUUUCUUUUCUGCUUAAAUUAGAUGUAAAAUCUGAUGUUAUAUUCCCUAUUGGUAAAGAAAAGAUUGAAGAAAUAUAUAGAGAUAUAGAUUAUAGUUGUAAGAAUGAUAUAGGUUUUGAUCCUGUAAGAACUCAUAAAGAAAUAAGGAAAGUAGAAGAUAUUAUAAUUAAACAUACGGAUAUCCAAGAAGAAAUUUCAGUAGGAUUAUUUAAUGGAUAUAUAACUAAGAAAGGUCAACCUAUAAUCUUUGAAGAAUUAUUAAAAUAUAAAGAAUAUUUAAAGGUGUUCAAAAGAUUGAAAAAUAUAGAUAUAGGACCUGAUUGACAAUUCCUUAAAGAUAUAAGAUAAAUCUUGCAAAUAAUUUCAUUAAGGGCAAUAUAGUACUUUUAAUAAGAAAGGCUAUUAUGAAAAAUAGGAAGAAUCUACCAGCCAUCUUCAAAGUUGUCCCUAAUUUUUAUGGUACACCUUUUACUAUUUCUCUAUCAAUCGGAGAGAAUUUUUUUAUUAAUCAUGAACCCACUUGGCUUGAGAAAGAAGACCUUUUCCAAGCACAAAAUUAGAAACAUACAACUAUGACUACCUCUAGAUUUUUACUCUUGAAAAUACAUCUCACGUCCAACAACGAAGAGGAAAAAAUUCACUAAAUUAUGUCUAUAUUUAGAUGGAAAUAUCACAUAAAUGAACAGUUGUAACCGUACAAAUUUGAAGGCUAAUGUGAUGUGCAAAUGUAUCAUAAUUUCAAGUACAUUGGACCCCGAUUCACUGAGUACCGAGGUUUGAUCAAAUUGUGCCAACUGUGGUUUUGGCGUCUAAUUUUGCUUAUGCUUUAUUUAUGGCUUAUUUUGAACUCCAAAGCACUCAGACCAAAUGGAAUGUUACGGCUCUCAAACCAUGUUAACCUAAAUUACCAAAGUAAACCUUCACACGUCUAGCAAAAUAUCAAAAGUACCAUUCAUUGUGAAUUAUUAUUUCCCACUAAUACUUUGUAUCCCAACAAAUAAACGAUUUUCAUCAAACUCCAUUGCCAACCAAACAAAAGUUGUAUUGAAUGCAGAAAAUAAACAAAUAUGUCCCUCCCUGCUAUGACUCAGCAUUUCAACUUAUGCCAAUCUCCCUGCCAACUUAUCUAGCUGCAUAAAAGAAAUAGGAAGUCACAAGUAUCAAUUUCUCCAGUUUUCCAACAAGAUGAGUAAAAAUAAGGGGCAUAUCGAAACUGAGGAAGUCAAAGAAAAGAGUAGAAGCGAGCCAGGUGAUCUAGCUGUUCUGUUUCUCAGCUUCUCUUGCCCUGGCUUGUUCAACCCGCACCUCUGUCUCGAAUAGCCUAUCCCCCAUAUUCUCAUUUGUCACUGCAUUCUCAUUGUCGACGGGUUGGGUCCAAGCCUGGAUUUUAGAUGUUUCAUUUCUCAAGAGCAAUCGAUUGCGGCCGUAGCUCAUGGUUUUCGAGCAUUUUAGUAGGCAACUGGUUGGCAAAAAAAUCCUAUAACCUCCUGCAUCUUCAUAGAAAUGAUAUGAGCAUGUAUUGAGCAUCUUUAAGAGGCUCUCUAUUUUUUAAAGAGUAUUAUAUAAUUUAUAAAGCAUCUAUAACUUUAAAGAAUAACAAUUUAUAGCUAAAUUCAUAAGGAAUCUUCUCUAGUUUUUUGCAAAAUCUCAACACCAGUCGUUCAAGUACAUGGAAAUGAUCAUUUAGGGAAUCUCAUUGUCCAAGAUCUGACACAAUAAUUCAAGGAAUUUGAGCUUUUGGAGCUCAUUAUCCUUUGUGUUCCAGGUUAUCCCUCAAAGACAUCCAACUCUAAUUUCAGAAUCUUAAAGUUUGGCGCCUUAAUGUUGCCCCAAUAAUCAAAAUAUUUGUGUGGAGAAGUUGUAACUUCACAUUAAUUUACUUACAAUAAAGAAGUUGUAACUUCACGUCAACUACAAAGAAAAUAAUUGCGAACAAGAAAAACAACUAACAAUUGACAUGGAGCCCAAAAUUAUUUUCUAAUCAUGAGGUGUGGGAUGUAAAGGAAUCUCUUGCAAGGAAAUUAAAAAAUUUUGAAAAUGAAUAAUAAAAAUAUUUAUUUCAGGAACAAAGAAAAUGAUGGGAUGAGCUUUGACUUACAAUCAAAAGCUACUGAUGGUUACAUCAAUCUCUGUAUUACCAUAAUCCUGUUGUUCUUGACGAAUUUCCAGAGCUGAAGCUUUGACAUUUUUGCCACAAUAAGUUACCUCAAUCUUCUCUAGUGUUGGAAUGUUACUAAACUCAGAAGGAAUCUUCUCCAGACCUUCGCAUUUUUGCAACACCAAUCGUCCAAGUACAGGAAAAUGAUCGUGUGACGAAUUCCACUGUUUAAGGUCUAGCGAAUCUAACUUAAGGAAUUUGAGUUUUUGGAACUCAUCAUCAUUGGUGUCCCAAAUUUUUCCUAUAAAGGCAUUGUAUCCUAAUUUCAGAAUCUCGAGUUUGGGCAAUAUCCCAAUUAAUGACAUCUUUUCCCAAGGCAAACAAAUUUCAGAAAGAGUAAGCUUUUUGAUAUUCAUAGGAAAUUUAACCACCGAGUAAUCACCUUCGAAUGCAUAUUUUGAAAUUGUGAGUGAUUGAAGCUGAGAAAGAAAGUUGAGAUCAGGAAAGUAAUUGCCUGGUGGUGAUACGCAUUUAAGUGUACGAAGAUUAGGUGAACAUCUAAAGAUUUCUUCAUCUUCCGAAUCGACAAUCCGAAUGUAACAAAGGGACUGUAGGCAAUUUAUUCGGAAGCCAUCACUAUUCUUAGUGAAUCUUACACCAUCAUACUUGCCACCGACACGUAGAUGUCUCAACUUAGGCAUAUUGAGAAGGUAUGUUGGUACUUCAUUUAAGUAAUGCAAACAAAGAUAUUCAAGGUUAUGGAGUUUGCCUAUUGAUGGCUCUAAUUCUGAAAAUUCCAAGUACCUCAAGUCAGGCAUAAUUUUGAAUCCCAGUCGAACAAUGUCAUCAUUGCUUGAAUCCAAGAUCCUAAUUUUUUCCAAAUUAUAAACAAUGGAGAAGGCAUCGGAAAUAUUCUCAGAUACCCAGACGUGAUGAAAACUACCCAUAUACAAGCGAUGGAGAUGGUGAUGCUUAGAUAUCAAGAAUCGACUAGAGAUGUAGAAUAAGAAGAACAUCGAGGAUCAUCAUCAGUAUAACCACAUCAACCAGCAUCAGGGAUAGCAGCAUCAUUGACAUAAGUACGACAAAUUAGUAGGAAAAAUUGGAAAAGUGAAGUAAAACAAGAAGGAAUUAGAAAGAGAGCGAGUUAACUUACUGUUGAAAUUGAAAAUUUUCAUCUUCUUCAACCAUUUUGCUGCACAUAUCGAGUACUAGAUCGUGAAGAGUACAUACUUUUACUCCAUUGUCAGAUCUUCGUUGGACAACUUGCAGCAGGCUCCUGUUAAUCAGUUCCAUUAGAUAUUCCUCUGCUACAUCUUCUAAGGUCUUUUGCUCCCUUUUCUCUAUCAGUCCUUCGGCUAUCCAUAGUAAUAAUAGCUUCCGAACUGGAAUCUUCUCGUCCUCCUGGAAUGCACUAAGAUAGAGGAAACAUGGCUUCAAGUGUUUUGGUAAAUGGUUGUAGCUAAGUUUCAGUGUGGGAAUGUAGUCGUCGGCUUUUUGGAAAAUGUAAUCACUUAAACUUUUAGCGACGUGUUGCCAUGAGUUUUCUUUUUUCUCCAUAUUUGAAAGAAUUCCAGCUAUCAAAUGUACUGAAAGUGGUAAUCCCUUACAAUUUGCUGCAAUUUGCUUUCCAAUAUCUUGCAGCUCUUGAGGACAACAUUCUUUUUUGAACACCUUCUGCUCUAAUAAAUUCCAACUUUCGUCUGGGAACAGAGGAGAAGGUUCAACGACAACAUGAGAAAUUUCCAAUGCCACAUUUUUCAGCCGACUGGUAAACAUUACUCUGCUUCCAUUGCUAUCAUCUGGAAAUAACCUUUUCAAAUCAUCCCAUGCUUCUUUCUCCCAUAGAUCAUCCACAACAAUGAGGUAUCUUCUACCCUUCAAACUUUUGUAAAGAAGUCCCUCCAACUCUUCAUCUUUUUUUUCUGAAAUGUCGUCUCCGUUAAGGUUACUUACAGAACUCAAAAUAUCAGUCAACAGCUUUCUUCUUUUAUAAAUUUGAGAAACAACACACCAAGAAAACUUAUGAAAAUUGGACCGAACUAUGGAGUCAUUGUAUACUUUCUUUGCUAAUGUUGUCUUGCCAAGUCCACCCAUUCCAACGAUGGAAAUAAUCUGGCGGUAGUUUGGUCCUCCAACAAGCUUGCUCACAAUUUGUGUUGUCGUGUCCUCUAAGCCCACAACGAUCUCUUCUACCAUGGGACUGCUGUUAUCUUGGGAUGAUGAUACUUCACUUGGACUUCCUGCAACUUGUAGGCUUCCAACAACUUCACUUGACACUGCAAUACUGUAAUAUUUAAUCUUCACUAGCACAAUCUCAAUCCUUUCUAACAGACCAGAAAUUGCAAGAUCCACUUUGGUGGUGGUAACAAGAUCUGUGGUGAAAAAGAAUGAAUGCAAGAAAAGUCCUGCUUCAUUAAAUACAGCUUCAAUUUCUGUGAAUAUACUCUUCAUCUGUUCUUCAUCAUAGCUUGGAAUUGGAUAAAAAAUAAAGGUGAGCAGAAAUUUCAACCCCUUCUGAAGAAAUUCGAGUUGAUUACUCACAAGAACGGUGGAAUCCUUAUGGCAACUAAGCAACUCUCGAAUAGUUUCAAAAAGAAACUCGAUGAAGAUUUCCCAAUGUUUAUUUACUUUGAAAUUAUUUGUGAUGGAUGUUUGAAUCGUGAAAAACUCGUUAAGCUUUGGCAUGGAAGUGAGAACGAUUUGUAAAAAGAUUUUGUAAUGUUCAUUAUCGUGAUGAGAAAAGAUCUCUUCGUAUAAGAUGCAAUCGAAGGCUGAAUCAUCGAGACGCUUCAACAGACAAUAUGGAUUGUGCAUAGUAAAUGGUCUGCAGCAGUCUGGAUAGAAGCAUCGCAAUAAUUCUUUAACAUAUUUGAGAAAAGUUAGAAAGUGUGGGCCGAGCCAUUGAAAGCUAACAUUUUUUUCUCCUCCAUCAAGCCUUAAAGGUAGCAAACGAGAAAGGAGAUCUGGGAUUUUGACUAGACGAGACAGAUUUUCGUAAGAGAGAUCCUCCAUAUUUGAUUCAGACGGAAACAAAGUGAGAUCCUCCAUUUUUGGUUUGGGAAAAAGGUCGAGCAAAGAGAGACCCUCCAUAUUUGGUUUGGGCAAUUGGCUGAGCAAAGAGAGAAUAAUGAGAGUGAAUUUGUUUCAAGUUUUUCAAAAAAUAAAAGGCAAAGGUUGAACAUAUCAGCAAAAACAAACGAAGAAAAAGCUCCGCUCUCUCUCUCUCUCUCUCUCUCUCUCACAUAAUUUCAUUUGCCUUCAUGUCAACAAAGCAAAUGUUGAAAAUUUCAGCAAAAGCUAAAAAUCAUUGCUUUUUUCGAGGAAAAAAAUAUUUAUCCACCUCAACAAUGCAUCUGUCCUUGCUUUAAUAAUGGCUUUAAGAUAAUGCACAAGAGAUAAGUAUAAAAUCCUAAGCAAGAUGUUUGCCAAAUUUUACUUUGCAAUUCAAAUGGGCAUUUUCUUUUGGAAUUCGAAUCAUACACAACUAAUAACUAUCUGAUUACAUUUGUAUAUAUUCAACAUAAAUUUGCAUAUCAAAUAUUUGGAUAUUCAGACUUCCAAUAAUUAACCGAGUGACCAUAAACUUAAAUUUGAACACUUUAGUGCUACAUAUACUACAUUUGAUUAUACAAAUAUUAUAGUUGAAAUAUAUUUAUAUUUUAUUUUGAAAAAGACCUUGUUACACCAUUAUCAGUUUCCAAAAUUUACUUUUUUUAAUAAUUCAUCUUUGCUUAGACCAAUUGGCCGUAUACGCAAUUAGAUAUAUAUAAUGUACAUUAACAGAGGGGCGGAGGUGCCCCAAAGUAAUUUUGAAAAUUCAAUACUUUGUUCGAUUUUUUUUUUUCAAAAUUUUCAAAGAAGUCCUUGUAGUUUUCAAUUUUUGCCACCACAACUAUUUUUUUUUUCUUUUUGCCCCCACAAAUCUUAUCUUCUAGCUCCGCCCAUGCUAAUUGCAAAAUAAAUUUAAAAUGCACUUGGUGAAAAUUAAUUUUCUCAAUCAUUUCGUGGCCAUCCAAAGAAGAAAUAAAAUAUAGAAUUUUUUUCCGAUUUAAUGCAAAAUUCAGUCAUCACAUUCUCGGACAUCUCGAGCAGAAUAUGCAAACAAGAGAUUAAGGAUGGAUAUGACAAAAUUUCAGCUUCUAAAAGUUUCAAUAACAUCACAAAUAAUUCUGAAAUGUUAGUGAUUUAAGUAGAAAUAGAGUUUAAAUAGAAGUAGGAAAUUUUUAAAAUUAAAAUUUCAAAUUUUUAACUUCAAUAGGCCAAUUGUUUGGUGCUUCUCUGAUGUUGCUCGUGCUUUGUUUGGUGCUGAUUUUGAACUCUAAAGCUCACUAACCAAUUGAAAGACAAAUAAAGUCAUGGACCUUAAAUCAUGUUCGCCUAAAUUACCAAAGUAUCCCCUCAAGUCUUGUAAACUAUAAAAGUGUCAUUCCUUUUUAUUGUCCCCUUGUAUGUUGCAUCCCAAUAAAACAACAUUUUUUCAUCCAACUCCAUCAAUAAAUAUUCAGCGGAGAGAUUAUUGAGUUGCUUAUCUAAGAGGUUAGGACAUCUGAUUGUUUUUUAAGUUUACGAGCUUUAAUUUUCUCAUAUGCCUUUAAUGAAAUUAAUGUCUUACAUACAGGGACGAACCCACAUGGGGUCGUGUGGGAUCAAAUGACCCCACAAAAUUUUUCCUUUUUUUUUUAUAGUAUACUUUGAUGCAUUUGUCGGGAUGUCAAAUGAAGUCAAAAUAUUGCAUUCUUAAUGCCAUUUCGAAGUGUUCAUGGCCUAAUUUUUCACUCAUUAAUGGCAUUCGAAGUGGUCAACUAUAACAAAAGUUAUAACAUGUUAAAAGGGGUACUUUUAAGAAUAGGCAGGUCAAAUGACCACUUCACCACUUUAAUCCAAAAUUUUUGCCAAUCUUCACAAUAGCCUUUUCUAGGUUAAAAGACAAAAAUAACCUUAAGUUGUUUAUAAAAUUACAAUGGCAUAAUUUUGUUUUAAAAGACAAAUAUAUCCUUAAGUUAUAAAUUAAAAAAUCAAACACUUUUUAUUUCUUAAUAUUUAACUACUUUAUUUAAUUAUUUUUUUAAAACACCUACUUCAAUAAAAAAUAAUAAUAUUUAAUUUAAUUACUUCUUAAAAUAUUCACAAAACUUCAAUAAAAAAAUUAAUAUUUAACUUAAUUUCUUCUUAAAAUAUUCAGAAAAAUAAAUAAAAAUGAAAUCGAAAAAUUAUUCCGGGCAGUUCGGAUCCGGACUCGUGUGGUCCGUAACGGACCAUGGUCCGGACCCGGACCGUCAGGGUCCGGGCGGGCCGGCCCAUUUAUUUAUUUAUUUAUUUUUUUAAGAGAACAAAAUUUAAAUCUUAUAAUUUAAAAAAAAAAUUCUAAUAUAAUUCGUUUCCCAUAAUUUAUUUUUCAUUUUUUUCUUCUUUUAAUUUUUUGCUCAUUCAUAUAUGUAUUUUUUUCUUGAAUUUAAUUUAUUUUUCAUUAAUUUAAUUCAAUUUAUGUAUUAUUUAAUUUUUAUUUACUCUUUUUAAUGUGCGAGUAAAUGAUAUUAUUUCUUACGUACAAAUGCAUGUAAUUUGAUUUGCUAAAUUUUAAAAUAUAAUAAAUGUUGAUAAUUUCUUAUAAAUAUUUUUAACGUGUAUUAUUUUUGCAGAAUAGAGUACCACUUAGACAAUAUCAUGAUAGCUCAUUUUGGGAAAAGUUACGUUGUAUCGGUAUUGGAAGGACUCAAUGAGGAACAUAUAGUCAUACUCCGUCGAUCAUUCCUAUGGUCCGUCUAUCCGUUGAAGGGCAUGUAAUUUUUCGCCCAGAUUAUUGAUUCCUUAUUAUUUUGGCUUCGAAAGCCAGUCGAUCGACCUUUGAAUAUAACUAUGACUAAAUAAUUAAUUAAAUAAACAAAAUAAUCAAUGAAAUAUUUAAAGAAGAAAUUAAAUUAAACAUUAAUUUUUGAUUUCAGUAAGUCUUUAAAAUAAAUAAUUAAAUAAAGUAAUUAUGAUCAUGUCUGAUUACGAUCCUAUAAGCAAAUUAGAAGACUGUACUCAAUCCAACAUGUGAACUCUCACCAGACUCAUAUCUCUAUCUGAUUACGAUCAUGUGAACAAUUUUUUAUAACAAUUAUCUCAAGAAUAAUGUUUAGAUAUGAAAGAUUGAUAGGGUUUCGGCUUACUGGGAAUUAGAACUAAUACAUUUUCUAGCUAUUUUAUGAAAGUAAAAUGUAGUAUUACUAGUUAUGUAACUUUAACAUUUCCACACAAUCAAUACGUUCUGUCUUUCGUUCUUUUCAAACCACAAAUAAGUUCAUUAAUUAUUUAGGCAUACAAGCAGUCAUUUUUCUAUAUAAACCACAACCCAUAAGUAAAUAAUAUAUUUAAAAACAACAAAUAAAAGAAAGAACAACGAAAACAUUAAUUUUAUUAAAAAGUUCACAACACAUGUCCUCACCCGAUAUCUAAACUAAACUAAACUAAAAUUAUUCCAAAAUUAUAUGAAAUGAAAAAAAAUAUGUAUUUUCAACAAUCCAAAAUCAUAAUUCAACAAACUAUAUCAACAAAUCACGUCUAAAGUUUCAGAACCCUCGACAUAAACUUUCAUUUUCUUAACAUUUGACGCUUGUCUGCCAUUCUGAAUGAAUUAUCAGUCGUUUUUGCGUGUUAGUCUGCUAAUUUACCUGAAUUGCCUCUUUCUCUCUUUUCUUUCGGCAAGUCUCAAGAUCCCAUUCAAGUCAUUUUUCUGUUGUUCUUUCUUUUAUUUGUUGUUUUAAAUUUAAUAUACACUUAUAAGUUGUAGUUUGGAUAGAAAAAUGACUGCUUGUAUACCUAAAUGAUUAAUGAACUUAUUUGUAGUUUGAAAAGAAUGAAAGACGGAGCAUGUUAAAAUGUUAAAGUUCCAUAACUAGUACUACUACCUUCUACUUUCAUAAAAUAUUUGGAGAAUGAAAUUUAUUAGUUCCGAAUAAGUCGAAAUUCUAUCAAUCUUUUUACAUCUAAACAUUAUUUUCGAGAUAGGUGCUAUUCACCAUGGUUUCAUUGUUACACACAGAAUUUGUUCACAGGAUCGUAAUCAGAUGAAGACAUGAGUCUGGUGAGAGUUCACAGGCUGGAUCGAGUACACGAUCUUUUAAUUUGUUCAUAGGAUCGUAAUCAAACAGGAUCAUAAUUACUUUAUUUAAUUAUAUAUUUUAAAGACUUACUGAAAUAAAAAAUUAAUAUUUAAUUUAAUUUUUUCUUUAAAUAUUUCAUUAAUUAAUUUUUUUAAUUGGUUAUGUAUAUUGUUUAGGAAAGCUGCAGAAGCUCAUAGCUUUGGAGAGUUUGAUAAGUUCAUGAGCGAAAUAGAACAUAAAUCACACUGGUGCAUGAGAAUAUCUAACAAAUAUGGAAGUCGAACAUUGCAUGGUAACAUUUUUCAGGAUUUCGAUACAACAUGAUGACGUUGAACAAUGUGGAGUCACUCAAUACAUUAUUCAAUAAUGCUGAAACUAUAUUUCCUCUACCAAAUGAAGUCGAGUGAGAAGUUCCGAUUACAUUGUGAUUGUAGCACUUAGUAAUUUGUUGCCACCCGAAGUUCAACCGCGUACUCCUGGAUAUAGACAUAAGUUUAGAAAAUCAUGUAUCGAAAAGUUUCCCCGAUCGAGUAGGUACUUAAAUGAAAAUUGACUUGAUAGAUUUGUAAUAUUUAUCUAAACGUAUGGUUUUUAUUUCCAAAGACUGCACAAAUCGAACCUAAUGGCCUUUAAAUUUUGUAACUAAAGCUUUCAUUUCUCUAAAUCAUAAUUACUAAAAUAAAUCAUAAAACUUUUCUCGAAAUAAACUUUCAUUUCCCUAAAUCACAAUUACUUUAAUUUAUUCUUUUAAGCAUUUUAUUAAUUAAGAAGAAUCUAGAGUUUCCAAUUCGAAUAGAUGAUAUAGCAAUGUCUUGGUUUUUCAAUGCAGAGUCGCUCAAUGCUUUAUUUAAGAAGGAUCUAGAUACCAAUUCUCACAACGAUUGAGAAAAUUCGUAACAAAUUACUACAGUGGUUUCAUGAUUGACGUGAGAAAUCACAAAGUUGAUUAUUGUUUAAUAUUUAUUUACUUUAUUUGAUUACUUAUUUUAAUUGUUUAUUUAACAUUUGAUUUCAUUUUUAUUUAAAUAUUUCAUUAAUUAUUUCAAUCGAUUAUGUAUAUUAUUUAUUAUGUUUUUAUUUUAAUUACUUGUUUUAUUUGUUUAUUUAAUAUUUAUUUGCUUUAUUUAGUUAUUUAUUUUAAUUGAUUGUGUAUAUUAUUUAUUUAUUUUAAUUACUUAUUUUAAUUGAUUUUGUUUAUUAUUCUUUAUUUAAUUAUUACUUUAAUUACUUAUUUAAAUUAAAAAAUUAAUAUUUAAUUUAAAUAAUUUCUUCCUUACUUUGUUGUGUAUAUUUUUUAUUUAAAAUUUAAUUACUUUAUGUAAUUAUUUAUUUAAUCACUUAUUUAAAUAAAAAUUUCAUAUUUUGUAUAUAAUAUUAAUUGGUUCUGUAUAUUAUGUAUUUAAUAUUUCAUUACAUUAAUUAAUUAUUUAAUAUCUCGUUUAAAUAUUAUUUUUAGUUACAUUAAUUGGUUAUGUAUAUUUAAUCUUUAUUACCUUAUUUUCUUUAUUUCAUUUUUCAUUACCUUAUUUAAUUAUUAUUUUGAUCAUUUAUUUAAAUAAAAACUAAUAUUUAAUUUAAUGUCUCGUUUAAAUAUUUUUUAUUUACCUUAAUUGGUUAUGUACAUUAUUUAUUUAAUAUUUUAUUACUUUAUUUAAAUAAAAAUUAAUAUUUCAUUUGAUUUCUCAUUUAAGUAUUUCAUUAAUUAAUUAUCUUAAUUGGUUAUGUAUAUUGUUUAUUUAUUAUUUCAUUACUUUAUUUAAUUAUUACUUUAAUAACUUAUAAAAAUUUCAUAUUAUGUAUUUAAUAUUAAUUGGUUCUGUAUAUUAUUAUUUAAUAUUUCAUUAGAUUAUUUAAUUAUUUAAUAUCUUUAAUUUUUUAUGUAUAUUAUUUAUUUAAUAUUUAAUUACUUUAUGUAAUUAUUUAUUUAAUUGCUUGUUUAAAUAAAAAAAAUUAGUAUUUUAUUUGAUUUCUUAUUUAGAUAUUUCAUUAAUUAAUUAUCGUAAUUGGUUGUGUAUAUAAUUAUUUAUUUUAAACACUUACUCAAAUAAAAAACUAAUAUUUAAUUUACUUUCUUCUUUAAAUAUUUCAUUAAUUAACAAUCUUAAUUGGAUAUUUUAGUCAUUACCUUAUUUGAUUUCUCGUUUAAAUAUUAUUUCAUAUUUCAUUACCUUAUUUAAUUAUUAUUUUAAUCAUUUACUUAAAUAAAAAUUAAUAUUUAAUUUAAUUUCUCGUUGAAAUAUUUUUUAGUUACCUUAAUUGGUUAUGCAUACUUAAUUACUUUAUUUAUUUAAUCACUUGUUUAAAUAAAAAAAUUAUAUUUAAUUUAAUUUCGUAUUUAAAUAUUUCAUUAAUUAAUAAUCUUAAUUAAUUAAUAAUCUUAACCGUAAUUACAAAAGAAAUUAAAUGUACAAUACUGAUACAAAAUAUACAUUUAUUUCGUAAUUACAAAAGAAAUUAAAUGUACAAUCUUACAAAAUGAGAUUCACAGUUAUUUUAAUUGUUUAUUUAAUUAUUUAUUUUAAUUGCUUGUGUAUAUUAUUUAUUUAAUAUUUAUUUAUUUUGAAUUAAUUAUUUAUUUACUUUAUUCAGUCAUAGUUGUAUUCAAAGGUCGACCGACAUCGUCUGACUUUUGAAGCCAAAGUAAUAAGAAAUCAAUAAUCUGACUGAAAAAUUGCAUGUCCUUCUACGGAUUGAAGGACCAUAGGAAUUAUUAACGGAGUAUGGCUAUAUGUUCCUCAUUGAGUCCCUCCAAUUCCGAUACAACGUAACUUUUCCCAAAAUGAGCUCUCAUGAUAUUGUUUAGGUGGGACUCCAUUCUGCAAAAUUAGUACAUGUUAAAAAUAUUUAUAAGAAAUUAUUAGCAUUUAUCAUAUUUUAAAAUUUAACAAAUCAAAUUACAUGCAUUAGUACGUAAAAAAUAAAAUCAUUUCCUCGCACAUUAAAAAAAGUAAAUAAAAAUUAAAUAAUACAUAAAUAGAAUUAAAUUAAAGCAAAAAAAUUAAUAGAAAAAUAUGAAAAUGAAAAAUAAAUUAUUGAAAAAAAAUUAAACUAAAAAUUCUAAAAAAAAAUUAUAAGAUUCUUGAUUUUGUUUCAAAAAAAAAAAAAAAAAAAAGCAGGUCGGCCCGGCCCGCUGGACCUUGACGGUUCGGACCAUGUGAAGGUCCGUUACGGACUGUAUGAUGGUCCGGAUCCAGACGCUCCAGACCCGGUUCGACGAGAACUCACCGCUCGUUGGAAAACUCCAUUUCCGACGAAUUUCAAUCAUUUUUUUCAUUUUCUGAGUCAUUUCAACCUCAAAUUCGAUAUUUUCUUCAAUUUUAAGUAUAAAUAAACUUCAAAAUUUGUUUUUAAUUCAUAAUAUAUUCAAUAAACAAAAUUUCAAAUUUCAAACAUUAAUAGCAACAAAAAAUAUUUCAAUGAAGAAUAAGAAAAAAACUAAACCCUCUGAAAAAUGACGAUCUCCGGCGAUGCUCCGAUCUAGGUCCUUCGAUGUCAGUAAUGAGAUUUUAAUUUUUCAUUUUUUUCUCUUCUUUUCCUCUUCUCUUCUCUCUCUCUCUCUCUCUCUCUCUCUCUCUCUCUCUCUCUUUAUUAUUUGAGGGUAUUCUUGACUAUUUGGCUUUUGUUUGCAUUUUCAGCAUUUGUUUUUUUUUUUUUUAAUUUUUGGUCAAAGGAUGUUUUGAAAAAAUGGCCGGGUCAACCGGCCGUUGGCCAUUAUUUCCUCCAUGUUAAAGUAGGGCGUUUAAAACUAGUAUUUUGAGAAUUUCAAUAAUAUCCUAACUUUAAAAAUUCGUUUGCAAUCAUGUGCUAUCUGAAUCUACAAAUCGUCUAUGCCAUGUAAAAGUUUGUUUCGAAAACUACAUCGUUUUCAUAUCGAAUGGUCCAAACGGAUAUCGAAAAUAGUUAAAUAUGUAUCAAACGUAUGCCUCAAAAAAGGCGUCUAACUCGUUUUUCUGUUAAAAAAUUCAAUUAAUUAUUAUUUUUGCACGAUAAAUUUUUCAAUAUAAUUUAUAUUGUUUCAUUCGGAAGUCUUAUAUGAAAUAUGACGUAAAUUUUUUAGGAUCGUUAAGGAUUAAAUGCAAUUUGAAUUACUUUCGAAUUAUAUUUGCUUUAAAUUUGAAUUUCAUUUAUUUCCUGAACUAAACUUGAAUUUUAUUUCAAUUCAUUUAAUUUAUUCAAUGUUAGUUCAGCAUUUACCAAUGAAAUGAUAAAUAAAACUAUACAAGUAACAAAAUUUAUUUAGUAAUAUUAAUAAUAAUGUAAUUAUACGACGUUUUCAAAGUGUCAAAAUACAUAUAAACUUAUUUUCAUUAUUAAAAAGAUUAUUUUUAAAAUUUUGACCCCACAAUAGUAAAGGUUUGGAUCCACCCCUGCUUACAUACUUGUCUAAGUUAAGUUUGGAUCAUUGAUACUUGAACUAUGAGGUUCAUUGGAUCUUCUAGUAGAUACAUAAUUUAAAUAAAAGUACGACAAUUUUCCUACUUGGGGCUAUUCAUAGGGAUUGAAUUGGAUGACAACUGACUACAGUUUCAGACAUUUGGGAGCUAUUUAUAUACUGAGCUUGGAUUUCAGACAAGGGAAAUCAAUUGCCGCCGAAGGACAUGGUUUUUGACGUUUUGUUGGUGUCAUAUGCUAAUUUGCUGAGAGCCGUAGUUAUCGUAGGCCAUUGGUCGGGAAAAAGCCUAUAAACUGCCGAAGUUUCAAAACUAUGAAGUUGAAGUUUCAUUGAAAUUAAGUAUGUCUAGAUAUCUUACUUUUUUUUCCUUAUUUUUAAGUGAUGAAAGGCUUGUAUUUGGUUGGGAAAAAGCCUAUAAACUGCCAAAGUCUCAAAACUAUGAAGUUGCUUUUAAGUUUCAUUAAAAUUAAGUAUGUCUAGAUAUCUUACUUUUUUUCUUAUUUUUAAGUGAUGAAAGACUUGUAUUUUCUUUUUAAUUUACCAUCCUUAUUAUCUAACUGGAUGAAUCUAUUUUAUACUUCUUGUCGAGUGUAAUCGCCACGACAACGGUGCGUCUAGGUAUAGCAUUAAAAAUAUUGUUGGUCACGUGACUUGUAAAGUUGUUUGGGUUUGAUCAUUAGAAUUUCUUUUGCUCAAGCGAGGACAGAAAUUUCGAUUUUUAUAAUCAAUUUAGUUACUUUUUCAUGUUGAAUUAGAGAAAUUUUGUCAUGGCUAACCUAAUUGAUAACAUGGAUCGGAAAAUUUUGUUAGUGCAUUAUUCCUAUCUUCUAGGUAUGUAAAAUGCACAUUGUUGAAAAAGAAGUCUUUUAGAAUUUAUAGAGAAACAAAAAUUUUAAAAAUAAACUAUAAGAUUGCACAAUCAAUUCAGUGAUAACUAAACAAAAAGUAACAAGACCAAAAUCCCACUUCGAGUUUAAGUAAGAAGAAGAAGAAGAAGAAGAAGAAGAAGAUGAUGAUGAUGAUGAUCCUGCCAUAAAAUGCAAUGAAAAGAAUAAAUAUAUUGGUAUUAAGUUUUUAAUACAAAUCUGAUCGUUAGUUAUCUAAGAUUCUCUUGACCCCAGUGACGGAGCCAGGAAAUUUGUUCAGUGUAGGCAUAAUUUAACCCAUGUCGAAUAUUGUGUUUUGGUCAUGAAUUUAAUGAUGAUAAAACUAUAAAACAAAAUCAUGGAUUUGGGCCAAAAAAUAAAACCCAUGUAAAUUAAAACAUAUUUUUAUUCCACCUCCCCUAUUGCUAUAUAUAUAUAUAUAAAGAAAAAAAUGUUUGGGCCUAAAAUUUCAGUGUGGGCAUACCCAUGUAAAUUAAAAUAUAUUUUUAUUCCACCUCCCCUAUUGCUAUAUAUAUAUAAAGAAAAAAAAUGUUUGGGCCUAAAAUUUCAGUGCGGGCACUCGUCUCAACAUGGCUCCGCCAUUGCUUGACCCCCUUCGUGACCCCUCCCAUGAUGGCAUGCUCAUGGAACUUUAAUAAAUGCGUGGCAAAGAUACUUAAUUCCAAGACUAAUCUUAGCAUCUAUAUAGGAAAAUUAUUUCUUAUCUAAUGAUGUCGCAUUAUGUAGCUGUCGAUAUUAUCUUUGCAUCAUUUCAAAGUUGAAAGUAUUUGUUCCUUUACUAAUGGCUACGAGUAUGGUAUUAAUGCUUAUUUUCACUAUCACACCUUUAUCAUAUUAAAAAAUGUAUGGUUCUACUUUUCCUUUUACUAGUGCUAUAAAAAGCAAAGUUCUAAAGUUUGAUUCUCAACAUGUAAAUAAUUAAAUUUUAUUCUUUCCAAUGCUCAUUUUCUCUAUCACACCUUUAUCAUACUAUAAAAUGUAAGGUUCUACUUUUUCUUCUUCUAGUGCUAUGAAAAGCAAAUUUCUAAAGUUGGAUUCUCAAUAUGUAAAUAAUUACAUUUUAUUCUUUCCAAUAAUUUAUUUUUAUUUAUUGAAUAGUGAAUGCAAUAAGCAAAAACAGUCAAUGGGAUAGAUGAGAACGUUGAAGAUUUGUGAUUAUAGAUGUAUCAUUUGCAUAAAAUGUAAUUUCAAAAGAGGCAUACGCCUUUUUAGAAAUAAUUACACUAAAACAUGGUUGCUGGCGUUUUUGUUCUCCAUAAGUUGUACAUUAAUUUGUUAACAGCCUUGGUUAUCGUAUGCAACUUGCUCGGGAAAAACCCUAUAAACUUUGCAUUGUGAGUGUCGGUAAGACUGUCCGUUAAAAAUUUUCGGGGCACUGUAGUAGCUUGUUUGAGAAAAGCUAAAAAUUGUGCCCCAACAACUUUUUCUCUUCCAUUGACUGCCUUUAGAGUUUAGACCAUUGACUGACUCGGCAUGUUCUCACUUGAAGCUCACAUGCAUUUCUGUCUCUUCUGCCAAUAAAAUAUUAAUUAUUUGUUAGCAUUAAUGAUGUCCUUAACAAUGUUAAUAGAAUAAUCUCAUGCUUUUAAAGUACUAAUUUUUGUGGUACACCUUUUACUAUUUCUUCAUCAAUCGGAGAAAGAAUUUUUUUUUUUUUAUUAAUCAUGUACCCACUUGAUUAUUUAAUAUUGUUUUGGGUAUAAUCAAGAAACCUAGGUCAUUGUGUACAAUUAAGAAAAUGAGCUUUUCAAGAAAGUGGAGAGCAAAUGUAUAGGUCGGUGCGUUUUCAAGAAAAUCGGCAAUUCCAUAAUAAACUACAAAAAAGCACCGUUGUAAAAGCUCGUCUAGACAGUGCCUAGGCAUCCCUUAAGCUCGAAGCUCGGGUACAAUGUCUUGCUUCACGUCUAGAUGCAUUUUGCGGCUGAAUUUUUUUCCUUCAUUUCUUUUGUCUUUCGUAGACGCGUUUCAUUAGUUUUGUUAAUAGUCUUUUAUUUAACUUUAGCUUAUUAUUGUUUUAAAAAAAAAUCAUUUGACUUUAAUUUCAAGUAUUCAAAAGAUUUUAUCUAUACAAAAGUUAAAAAUGAUUUUAUCUAAAUAGUUAAAUAAGAUUUUAAGUUAUGGUGUUAUCUAUAUUAUGUAAUUAUGAUCUUGAGACUCAUUUUAUUACAAACUCUAAAAGCAUGUAUGAAGUUUCUAUAAAUAUAUUAAAUAAGACUUGUCUAGUUGAAAAUUAAAUAUAUAAAAAAUAUUCUAAUUUUUGCAUUUUGAAAAUUGUAUCAUUGACUAACAGUAGAAGUUGUUAAGUAAAUAUUAUAUUUUAUAAUUUUAGAUGUUUAAAAUGCAUUAUUUUAAUUAUUAAAUAAUUCUUAAAAUGAUUAAAAAUUUAAAAUAAUAUUAUAAAUAAAAAAUGCUUUUUACGUCUAAACGUCGCCUAGGCUCGUAAAGCUUGAAAUUUCAGCUCCAUGCCUAGCCAUGCUUUAUGCUUUUUGGAAUGCUACAAAAAAGUAAAGGUCGAAAAUAGGCAUAUUUAUUUUAUCUACUAGGAACAUAUCCAAAAGGAUUCAGCGUAACUAACAAUUUAGGGAGCAGAAAAAUUUUAAGUACUCCAAGAUGCUCUUUAUUUUUAUAACUUACUUUUAUUACUCCUAAAAAGUAUUUAUUAUUUUUUUAUCUAUAUUAUAUUUUCACUAACUUUUCUUCAAAUUAUUAUAUUAUUUUUGUACAUUGAGAAUUGAAAUAAUUUGAGUACAUUUAAAUUUUUGGAGCAAAAUUUUAAGAGUUGACUUUUUAAAAUAAAGAGAUUUUUGUGUUUAAAGAAUAUUUUGAAAAUGCUCUAAUGUUGGAGAAAGAUAGAGACGGUAGAAAAACCCACCCAUCUCGCCCCGACGCGUGAUUGAUGCUUCGAUAUGCUUAAAAAGGCAAGGGAAGUAGCAUUUAUUAGAAGAUAUUCUUUAAUUUAUAAAUAGAUAAAAUGAAUUGUGGACAAAUGAAUAAUACUUGUGAAUUUAAUUUGUACUUCUUGUCGAAUAGAAUUUCCAUGGCAACGGUGCGUCUUGGUAUAGGGUUAAAAAUAUUGUUGGUCACAUGACUUGUAAUGUUGUUUCAGUUUGUUUAUCAAACUUUCUUUUGUUCAAGUGAGGCACAGAAAUUUCAUUUUUAUAUCAAUUAAGUUACUUUUCCCAUGUUGAAUUAGAGAAAUUUAGUCAUGGCUAACCUGAUUGAGAACAUGGCAUGGAAAUUUUGUUAUUGCAUUAUUUCCGUAUUCUAGCUACAUAAAAUGCUCAUUGUUGAAAAAUUAGUCUUUUGAAAUUUUUAGAUAAACUAAAAUUUGAAAAAUAAAUUAUAAGAUAGCACAAUUGAUUCAGUGAUUGCAUGAUAAUGAAACAUAAACUAACAAGACCAAAAUCCCACUUGGACUUUAAAUAAUAAUAAUAAUAAUAAUAAUAAUAAUAAUAAUAAUAAUAAUAAUAAUAAUAAUAAUAAUAAUAAUAAGCAAAGAAAGAUCCUGUUAUAAAGUGCAAUGAAAGGAAUAAAUAUCUUGGUAUUAAGUUUUUAAUGCAGAUAUGAUCGUUAGUCCCUUACUCUUAUAGUAAAACUUUUGUUAGUAUACUAAGAGUAUUUAAGAUUUUCUUGAUCCACUCCCAUGAAAGCAUGCCCAUGGAACUUGAAUAAAUGCGUGGCAAAGAUACUUAAUUCCAUGAUUACGAAUAUUGAUCAAUAUACGGAAAUUAUUUCUUAUCUAAUGAUGAUGUUUCAUUAUGUAGCUGUCUAUAUUAUCUUAGCUUCAUUUCCAUGUUGAAAGUAUUUAUACCUUUACUAAUUGCUACAAUUAUAGUAUUAAUGCUCAUUUUCUCUAUCACACCUUUAUCAUAGUGAAAAAAAUGUAAGGUUCUACUUUUCCUUUUACUAGUGCUAUGAAAAGAAAAGUUCUAGAGUUGAAUUCUUAACAUGUAAAUAAUUAAAUUUUAUUCUUUUCAAUGCUCAUUUUCUCUAUCACACCUUUAUCAUAAUAAAAAAAAUGUAAGGUUCUACUUUUCCUUUUACUAGUGCUAUGAGAAGCAAAGUUCCAUAGUUGAAUUCUAAACAUGUAAAUAAUUAGAUUUUAUUCUUUCCAAUGCUCAUUUUCUCUAUCACACCUUUAUCAUAAUAAAAAAAAUGUAAGGUUCUACUUUUCCUUUUACUAGUGCUAUGAGAAGCAAAGUUCUAAAGUUGAAUUCUCAACACGUAAAUAAUUAGAUUUUAUUCUUUCCAAUGCUCAUUUUCUCUAUCACACCUUUAUCAUAGUAAAAAAUGUAAGGUUCUACUUUUCCUUUUACUAGUGCUAUGAGAAGCAAAGUUCUAAAGUUGAAUUCUUAACAUGUAAAUGAUUAGAUUUUAUUCUUUCCAAUGCUCAUUUUCUCUAUCACACCUUUAUCAUAGAUUCAUAAUAAAAAAAAAAUUAAAAAAAUGUAAGGUUCUACUUUUCCUUUUACUAGUGCUAUGAGAAGCAAAGUUCUAAAGUUGAAUUCUUAACAUGUAAAUGAUUAGAUUUAUUCUUUCCAAUGCUCAUUUUCUCUAUCACACCUUUAUCAAAGAUUCAUAAUAAAAAAAAAAUUAAAAAAAUGUAAGGUUCUACUUUUCCUUUUACUAGUGCUAUGAGAAGCAAACUUCUAAAGUUGAAUUCUCAACAUCUAAAUAAUUAAAUUUUAUUCUUUCCAAUGCUCAUUUUCUCUAUCACACCUUUAUAAUAGUAAAAAAAUGUGAGGUUCUACUUUUCCUUUUCUAGUGCUAGGAAGAGCAAAGUUCUAAAGUUGGAUUCUCAACAAGUCAAUAAUUAAAUUUUAUUCUUUCCAAUAAUUUAUUUUUAUUUAUUGAAUAGUGAAUGCAAUAAGUAAUUGCAUUCAACGCGGUUGAUGAGGACGUUAAAGAUUUAUGAUUAGAGAUGUAUCAUUUGUCAAUAAUUCAAUUUCAAAUUAAAAUUCCAUAUAAAGAGGCAUACACCUUUUUAGAAUUACACAAGGUGGCAUGCUUUACUAUUGACGAAAGGAAAAAAUAUCAUGAAGGCAUGGUUAAUAAGUAGUACUUUGUUCUCCAUAAGUUGUACAUUAAUUUGUUAACAGUUUUGGUUAUCGUAGGCAACUAGUUGGGGGAAUAAGCCUGUAACCUCUGCACUGCACCCUCAUAGAAAAUCAUGUGAUUAUCCCCAUAUAGCAUGUUUGGUUAAGUGCCUAUGUCUAAAAAAUUCGUGAAGGUGCUUUUAGGUAAUUUUGAUUGAAAUUAUACUUGGACAACAUACAUUUUUUUUUUCAAGUGACAGAAAGUUUGCAUUUUCUCUUUUUAUUUAACCGUUCUCAUUAUCUAAUUGGAUACAUCUAUUAUAUAAUUCUUGUUGAAUAAAAGUGCCACGCAGCUGUACAUCUCGACAUAGGGGUUAAAAAUAUUGUUGGUCACGUGACUUAUAAUGGUAAUUCACGUUAGAUGAUCAAAACUUCUUUUGUUUGAGUGAGGUAUGAUAAUAAUGAUAAGUAAACAACAAGCAAAGAAAGAUCAUGUAACAAUGCAACGAACAUAGUAAACAUCAUGGUAUCAAGUUCUUAAUAUAUAUCCGAUCGUUAGUUCCUCACUCUAACCAUAAAACUUUUGUUGGUAUGCCAAGAGUAUCUAAUAUAUCCUUGACCCCCUCCCAUACAAGGCCGAGCACAUGAAACUUCAAUAAAUAAGUGGCGACGUUACUUGAUUCCAAGACUAUAAAUUCUGAAAUUUGCAUUCAAUAUUUGAAAAUUAUUUGUUUAUCUAAAUGAUGGCAUAUUAUCUAGUUGUAGGUAUUACUUUUGCAUCAUUUUCAAGUUGAAUUAUUAAAGUAAUUGUACCUUUAUAAAUUGCUAUAAUUAUACUAUUAAUGCUCAUUAUCUCUAUCACAACUUUAUCAUAGUAAAAAAAAUAAAAAAUGUAAGGCUUUACCUUUUUUGUUUUCUUCACCAGUGAUUUGAAAAGCAAUAAAGUUCUAAAGUUGGAUUCUCAACAUAUAAAUAAAUUCUUUCAAUAAUUUUUGUUUUUAUUUAUUGAAUAGGGUGGCAUAAGUAGAUUUAACGCGGCUGAUGUGUGUGUUAAAGAUAUAUUGUUAGAGAUGCAUCAACUAUCUAUAGUUCAAAUUCAAAUGAAAUUUCUGUAUAAUGAGGCAUGCAAUUUUUUAUUUUUUAUAAAAAAUAAUUAUGCUAGAUGGUAUUCGGACAAAACCCACAAGCAUGCGAAAUCAUUGACAAGUAAUAAUGUGGUGAAUUGAGUUAUCGUCCCAUGUCGAAUAAUUACCAACUAUAAUUCAUUAGUUUAUAUCAAAUUCGAUGUUCGUAACACGAAAAAGUUGAUUUUGACUAUAUUUAUGUUAACUAAAAAUCCUUGAAAGAUUUAUUUUUUUAUCAAAUAAUGAGAUGAAUGUAUUGAAUUUCAGAAUCCAUCUAUUAAUCUCUAUUUCUAAUUCUUGACAUAUGUAAAUUAGUGUUUUUCAAGUGUUCAUGGCAAUCGAUAAUUCAUUAAAAUCUAAUAUUCUUUUUUCAAGAUAUAUUAAACUUACCCAAAGCACGACCUGAUCCUAUUCUUAAUCUAAAUUUAUAUGCAUAGCAAGUAUUCGAUCAUAUGAUUAUCACACCCAAUUGCUCACGCCAUACAUAUUAUUCCUAAUACAUAUUGUCCAUGUGUCAAUUAUGCAUUGUUCUAAAACACUACAAGUAAGCAACUAAUUGUCUAAAGGGACUGCAAAUAUUUGAAUUAGAAAUAUCAAUUAAAAGGUUUCAUCAUUCAUUCAAUAUACAAAAAUCUUAGCCUAGCAUUGUCAUAUCCAAAUUAUACAAAAAGAUAUGAAAAUGCAUCACUCGAAGCAAAGAAAUCAACGAAGAACUUGAAAACUCAAUUCCUUGUACUUUAAUCUUCACUACUUACAAUUCUUGAUGUAAAUUCACUUGUUUCUUCCUGCUAGCUUCAAUUUUAUGUUAACAACAAGGUGUCUGCACGUUCUAGAUAGUUUUUAGGAUAAAGGAUGUAGAAAAAAUCAUACCAAAAAUUGCUGAAUCAAGAAAAGAAAACAUAUAUUUUUUUUUCUUUUGAGUUCUUCUAGGUGCGCGUCUAGUUAAUGGUGGAGGACGUGUCUCUAAGGUUCCAUUGACCUUCAAGAAACCAUGGUGAAGGGCCAAGCAUGUGACUUGGGAGCCAAUUUUCACAAAUUGGUGCCUGAAAUUUUCUUCCAAUACAUUUGGCCCUUCUUCAUUUCUUUUCGGUUAGUUUUUCCUUUUUCUCAUCCAAUUGGAUGCUAUCAUUCUCAAAUCUUCAUUCCGAGGUAUGAUUCAAUUUGACAAAUUUUAUUCUAGUGUUUGAACUUCAAAAUUUUUGCAAUUGAGUCCUUUUUCAACCAUUUUUCUCCAAUUUUGCCAUUUUCAUCGAUUUGUACCUAACAAAUAUAACACACAUGGAAUUAAGAUAAAAUUCAUUAAAAUAACCAACAAAUACUCUACCUUGAAGGUCUCAAUAAGUGUACAAAAUACACUUAUCAAACAUCUCAAACUUUAAUAUUUGUUUGUCCUCAAACUAAUUAUAACUCAACUCAAAACAAAAUUAGUUAAGUAACAUGUCAUUGGUCUCAGGAUUGAAAUUUAUGUGUCAAUAUAAAGAGUAGUUUCAAAAUCACACAGAAGAAUCAAUCUCUAUAUAUUCAGCCCCUGUUUGAUCCCCAUUAAAUUAAAUUACAUUACAUUUCAUUUUUCUCUCUCCUACUUUCAACCACACAAUAUUCAAUAAAAUAAUAUUACACGUAAAUCGAAAACUUUUCCUUCUUUUUCAACCACUCAUUUUUCUAAAAAAUACUAUUCCCCCCAUUUUCAUUUUCAGGUAAUGGAAAUCAAACAGGGGCUCAAUAUAAAACUCGACAUGUGCGUGUGAAGACUUAUGCAAACAUCACAAACUUAUGCUUGGUUAAAUUUUUGACUUGCAAUGGUCAAAAGUCUCAUUUCUUCACUUGCGCAAUACAUACUCCCAAACUUACUCUUUUCACUCAUUUUCCCAAGGUGUGAUUCUAGGAUGAAUUUCAGAUGACCCUAAUCCCCACUAUCUCUAGUUUGAAUAGGCUUCACUAGUAGUGGUUAAACACUUUAACAACUAAGUAUUCUCCUAUAUUUUGAUAUCUUUGACGGCUAAGAAUUAACUAGGUAAUUAUCUCUUAUCAAAAGGUAUAGUUCUUUCAAACAAAGUAUGUAGUUGGUCUUUUGUUUUUUGCACUAGCUCAAUCCAAUUUUAAAUUUUCUGUUUGGAAUUAAUAGAUAUCCUCAUUGGGGUCUAUUACUGUAGCUUUACGACACGACAGGUUUUACCUUUUUAUACAUAAUUAGUGCAAUACUCCUUAUUGAACACUUAAUCCAAAAAACUAACCCUUAAUUCAAGAUUUUCACCUAAUCAUUAUCCCAUUGGUCUUAGACAAUCCACAUAAAAAUAUUGAAUCCCUAAUCAUAUUUUUUCUACAUUAGUUCAAUCAUCUCUAAACUAUCCUAAAAUUGGUUGGUUUUAGAACUAAGUUCCACAACUUCAACCUAUUCCGACAUAUAAAUCAAAACACUCAUUUGUUAUGCUAAAUAUACAAGUCUCAUGUGCAAGUAAAAUCAAUUUUUACCUAAACAAGCAUAAAUCAACCCCAACAUGUAAUAUUUCCUUCAUUCCUAACCUGACACAUGAUUUCAAUAUAUAUAUCAUCGUUGACAAAGCCAUCUAACCCACACAAGUAAACAAAAGCAGUAAAUUUAUUUAUUUUACUAUGUAAACACACAAAAGCAGUAAAAAACAUACUUAAUCGACGAUAAUAUCCCACCUCCAAACUUAAAUCGUGCAUUGCUCUCAAGAAAAAGGGUAAAAAGAAAAGAGAGAAAACUAUAGAAUCGACUGGCUAAGCUCGAAGAUCGUGGCUGAAAUGGCAUGAACUAGAUGAUUUGCUUGAUCACAUUUACCCCCUUGGCCAGUAUUGAUUUAAAUAUUCCGAGAUGUUUGUUUCUGUAAAAUAAAUAAAAUCCAAACAUUAAUGACCAAUAAACUUGGAAAAAUUAAUAUUAGCCUAGAGCAUCUCACAACCAAUAAGAAAGUCAAGGGAGAAAGCGAAAAUGUAAUAGGAGACUGUUGUAGGUUACGGUUGUAGGUUGCGGCUGCAAGGUUACUGUUUGAGUUUUUUAUUUCAUGUAUGGAUGAUGAUAUCUGAAAAUAAACUCCACAUCCUAUUUCUAAAAACCAUAAUAAAUAAAUGGGAAGAAAUUGGAUUGCCUCCCAAUAAAUGCUUUUUUAGUCAUUAGCUUGAUUUUUUGUUUUUUUGGCCACUCAAGAUGACUUGAAAAGAAGAUUUUGGCUUUUCAACUAUUGCAUUUCCAGACAUCUUUAGGCUUAUCCUUGACUUUCAACAUUGAAUGUCCUCAUACUGAUCCUUUAUCACUCCAACUAGUCCACCAAUUCAUUUUUUAUAGCAAUGAUAUGUAUAGAGAUCCCUUACUUCAGUUUUCAUCUUCUUGAACUCCUCGAGGUAAGAUGGUUGCUUGAUUAAGGGUUUAUAGUAAAACUCUACUACUUUUCUUCUACACUAAAGAUCAACUAACAUGUUUCCAAGUGCAACAAAGCACGACCAAUUGCUAGGCAUGUUCUUCCCAAGAUUACUAGUAGCGAAUGUGCUUUUUCUAUAUCCAGGAUAAUGAUAUCAGCUGAAAAAAUGAGAUCUCUAGCUUUGAUGAACAUAUCUCCAACCACUCCAUAAGGGUGUUUAAGUGUUCUGUCAGCCAGUUGUAUAAUUAUUGAAGUUAUUUUCGGAUAUCCCAAUCCUAAUUUUUUGUAGAUAAGUAGUGGUAUCAAAUUAAUACUUGCUUUGGAAUCAAUUGAAGCAUUUAUAUGACAAGAAUUACCUAUAAAGCAAGGUAAAUUAAAACUCUUGAAAUCUUUCAAUUUAGGAGAGCUUGUAUUGUAGAAUUAAGAUGCAUUCUUCAGUCAAUGCCACUAUUUCAUCUAUCGGUAACUUUCUCUUCUUAGUCAAUAUCUCUUUAAAAGCUUAGUAUAAUUUGUAAAAUAGCAUUAACGAAAGGAAUGUUGAUGUGAACAAAAUUUUUUUGAAUUUCUUUUUUAGCUUAUUGUUUUGCAACCUUUGAGGGAUUGAGACUAGAUGCGUAUGUUUAUUAACAGGAAUGACUGCCUUAACAUGUGGACUUUUUCACUGUUUUUCUUGAUUAAUCUUUCCUGAUUCUUUAGAUUGAACAACUUGUUCAUUGCCGAUAGUAGGUACAUGAUUCUCCUUGAUCCAUAUCUUUUUUACAUUGAUAUCUAGCAUUUGAACUCUACUAAAUGUAGUGAUAGCCUGAGCCUGUUCCUCUUUUGAUUGCUUUCAAAGCCUUUGAGAGAAUGGAAUAGAGCUUAGACAGGAGUCACAGGCUUCAAUGUUGGUGUCUUUACACAACUGCAUAAUUCAUUGCCUCCACUACUAUCACAUGUUCUCAUCGAUUCCUCUCUGUGUCACUUGGUAGGGUACCCUAGGUGUUUGUUGGCUAAUGCAACCACUAUAUUUGAGUUUCCCGAAGCAUGCUAAUUUGGAAAUAUGGUCUCAUUCUUGGUGAUAUACUAAAUCAUUAAAUCUUCCAAAGAUGAAUUCUUCUAUUGUUGUUGCUGAAAGUGUGAUAGGUUGCUCUCAAUCUGAUUUAUAUGGCUUUGAUUAUUAACCCAUGAAAAGUUCGGAUGUUUGCUUUAACCUAGAUUAUGGGUGUUGGAGUAAGGGUUGCUUUGUUUCCUUUGAAAAAUUUGUGUAUAACAAACUCCGUAGGUUGAACAAGAUGAGUGAAAGCUAAAGGGCAACUAGUAGUGGUAUGAUGGUGUCCGCUGGUAUUCCAUAUUUAUAGAUUGAGUCAAGCUAUUUAGCUUCUUCGUUACCACUUCUAUUUUUGUAGCUAAUACUAUCAUUGCAUCAAUAUUAUGAAUACCAGUUGAUUUCUUAGGAAACUCUCUAUUGGUCUAAUUAGCUUGAUUUUUAGCAAUCCUCCCGUACAGCUCACACGUAUCAUUAAUGUUCAUCUUCAUUACUAUUUCACUUGCUAAAGAAUCUAUCAUAUUGCGAUAUUCUGGGUGUAGUCCAUAGUAGAUAAUAUAUACAUGCGCUUGCUUAGGAAUGUCAAGAUUUUGAUCCUUGUCAAGUCCUUGAACCUCUUCCACGUCUCUUGAUAGCUCUCAAGUCCUUCUACUUAAAUGUAUGGACUUCAUUUCGAGAACUCAAGAUGGCAAAAAGAACUUCAUGUAGAAUUUUUGUACCAUGUCAUUCCAUGGUAUGAUACUUGUAGCAAGUAAAGAACGAAGCCAUUCUCGUGCACUCUCUGUAGCUUUCCCAAAAAAACUUGAUGUCUUGAUGAUUUUGAAAAAGGUUAAUGACAUCCGAUUGAAGGUGAAAGUUAGCAUGUCCAAAUGGAGUAUAGAGAAUAAUAGAUGGUAUAGUACAAGAACUAGAUUCAUGGGCACUCAUUGGAGACAAGUCUCAAUUGAACUGGUUCUUGCACUUGAAUUGGAUCCUGAACCUUAUUCUGAUUCUCGCCCAUUUUCCUCGCUUUGCUCUGGUCUAUUUUACGUUAUCUGAAAUAUUCUUUCGACCUUGGCAUGUAUUGGAACGAUCUUGAUCUCCUCAGAUAUUGUAUAAGUUGUUGAAUGUUCGAAAAAACAAAGUUCAAUAAAGUGGUGUAAUAUGAUGAAUAGGCAAAAAAAAAAAAAAACGAAUAUAACAUGAAUUAAUAAACUACAAUUAAACAAUAUUACUCUCUGACAAUGGCAUCAAAAAACUUUCCAGACAAAACUCGCAAGCAUAUGGAGUGGUACCAUAACUUAAACAUAUUACAACUUGUUUCACUUUAGAUCAUCAACAUUUCAUUUUUUUUCUGGUGAGGCACGAUAAUAAUAUUAAGUAAACAACAAGCAAAGACAGAUCAUGCGACAAUAUGCAAUUGACAUAGUAAACAUCAUUGUUUUAAGUUUUUAAUAUAGAUUUGAUUGUUAUUUCCUCACUCUUACCAAAAAACUUUUGUUGGUAUACUAAGAGUAUCUAAGAUUUCCUUGACCCCCCACUCGUACAAGCCUGAGCACAUGAAACUUCAAUAAAUACGUGUAGACGUUACUUGUCCAAGACUAUAAAUUCUGAACUUUGCAUUCAAUAUUUGGAAAUUAUUUUUUUAUCUAGAUGAUGACAUAUUAUAUAGUUGUCGGUAUUGUCUUUGCAUCAUUUACAAGUCUAAUUAUUAAAUUAUUUGUACCUUUAUAAAUUGCUAUGAUUAUUCUAUUAAUUCUAAUUAUCCCAAUCACACAUAUAAAUAAACAAACUUAUAUCCUUUCCAAUAAUUUUAGUUUGUAUUCAUUGAAUAGGUUAGUAUAAGUAGAUGUAUUCAAUGGGGCCAAUGAGUGUGUUAAUGAUUUAUCAAUAAAGAUGCACCAGUUGUCUAUAAUUCAAUUUCAAUUGAAAUUUCCAUAUAUUGAGGCAUGUAAUUUUAUUUUUUUUAAUAAAAAACAAUUAAGCUAUAUGGUGUUUGGACAAAACUCGCAAGCAUAUAGAAUUGUUGACAAGUAAUAAUGUGAUGAUUUGAGUUACCAUCCUCCAAACAAAUAAUUGCAAACUAUAUUUCACUAGUUGAUAUCAAAUUCGAUGUCUAGAACACAGAAAAUUGAUUUUGAUUGUAUCUAGAUUAACUAAGAAAAUGCGUAAAAGAUUUGUUUUUAUCAAAUAAUGAGAUGAAUGUAUUGGAUCUCGAAAUCUAUCUAUUAAUCUCUCUUUCCAAUUCUCGAUUCAAGUAAAUUAGAAUUUUUCAAGUUUUCGUGACAAUAAAUAAAUCAUUAAUAUCCAAUAUUCACUUUCAAGAUAUAUUAAACCAAUCCUACGUAGGACUUGAUCAUAUUCCUAGCCCGAAUUUAUAUGCAAAGUAGGCAUUCAAUCAUACGAUUAUCACCCAAUUGCACAUGCCAUAAAUAUUAUUCCUAAUUCCUAUUGUCUGGGUGUCAAAUAUGCAGUGUUCUAGUUAUUGUGAAUCUUCCAACAUUACAAAUUAUCAAUUAAUUGUCUAAAGGGUGCGGAAACAUACAAACAAUAUAUUAAUAAUGAAUAUUUAAUUAAGAACAUAAGGAUUAACUAAAAUACUCAAGUUUCAAUUAGAAUAUCAAUCAAAAAAAUUCAUCAUUCAUUCCAUACACAAAAUCUUAGCCUAUCAUUUUCAUUUCAAAUUAUACAAAAAGAUAUGAAAAAGUAUCACCCUAAGUAAAGAAAUCAUCAAAGAACUUAAAAACUCAACUCCUUGCACUUUAAUAUUCAAUUUGAGCUUUGCCUUUGCAAUUUUUGAUGUAACUUCACUUUCUUCCUCUUGGUAGCCUUAGUUUCAUGUUUAUAACAAGGUGUCUACACGAUUUGAACGAACUUUUAGAUUAUAAAGGAUAUAGAAAAAUCAUAUAAAAAAUUGUCAAAUUAAGAAAAGGAAACAAAAUUUGUCCUUCGGAGUUCUUCUAGGGGCUUGCCUAGUUGAUGGUGAGGUGCAUGUCUAUAUGGCUCCAUUGAGCUUCAAAUGGCCAUUGUGAGGGGCUAGGUGCAUGCCUGACUCAUGACUUGGGGAAAUCAGUCCUUAUUCAUUUCUUUUCAGCUAGUUUUUCCUUUUUUUUCUCGACCAAUUGGAUCAUAGCAAUGUCGAAUCUUCAUUCUGAGGUAUGAUCCAACUUUUUCUAAAUUCUAUUUUAAUCUCUGAACUUUGCAUUUAUUGCAAUUGAGUUAUUUUCCAGCCAAUUUUCUUCAAUUUUACCAUUUUCAGUGAUUUGUGCCUUAAAAAACAAUACACAUGGAAUUAAGUUAUAAUUCAUUAAACUAACCAAUACAUACUCUAAGGUAAAUGCCCAAAUAAAUGUACAAAAUACAGUUAUCAAAGUUCUCCAAAAUUGAAUAUUUGUUUGUACUCGAACAAACUAUAACCUAACUCAAAAUAAAAUUAAUUAAAAAUAUGUUAUUGGUCUUAGGAUUUAAAUUUAUAUGUCAAUAGAAAUAGUAGUUUCAAAAUCACAUAGAAGAAUCAAUCUCUAUAUAUUCUAUGCAAAAGUCGACGUGUGUGUGUGUGUGAAGACUAAUGUAAAAAUCACAAACUCAUGUUUGGUUCAAUUUUCAAGCCACAAUGGUCAAAUGUCUCAAUUUCUUCACUCGUGCGAACCCCAAACUAAUUUUUCCACUCAAUUUUCCUAAGAUGUAGUCCUAGGCUAAAUUUCAAAUUUUCCUAAUCCUCACUUCCUCUAGUUUUAAUAGGUUUCACUAGUAGUAGUUAAACACUUUAGCAACUAAGGAUUCUCCUAUAUUUUGACCUCUUUAACUAUUAAGAUUUAGCUAGGCUAAUUAUCUCUUAUUAAGGGUUUAGUUCUUUCAAAUAAGUAUUCGGUGCUAAAUCAAAUUAUUUGGUGAGUCUUCUGUUUCAUACACUAACGAAAUCCUUUUUAAAUUUUCUUUUUGGCAUUUUUAAUAGGUGUCCUCAUUGGGAUCUUUUAGUUUAGCUUCAUGACAUGUCAGUGUUUCCCUUUUUUAUACUAUGAUUAAUGCAAUAUUCCUUGUUAAAACUUAAUUUUAAAAAACAAACCCGUAAUUCAAGUUUUUUACCUAAUCCUCAAUCUUAUUGGCCUUAGAUAGAAAUCCCGAAUCAUAUGUUUCUCUACACUAGCUCAACGAUCUUCAAACUAUCCUAAAAGUGGUUUAGGUAUGUAUGUAAUAGUGUCUUUUCUUCCACCACUUCAACUUAUUCCAACAUAUGAACCAAAACAGUCAUUCGUAAUGUAAAAUAUACAAGUCCGCCAAAUAAAAUCCAGUUUUACCUAGUAAAGCAUAAAUCAAUCCCAACAUAUAAUAUUUCCUACAUUCCCAGUCUAACACAUAAUUUCAAUAUAUACAUCAUUGUCAGCAAGGUCAUCUAAUACACAAAACACAUAAAAGCGGUAGAUUUAAUUUUUUUCACUAUAUAAUACACAAUAAACACUCAAAAGAAAUAAAAACACACAUAUGAUAACACCCCACCUCUAACUUAAAACAUACAUUGCUCUCAAUGAACGAAAAUACAUCAGUAAGUAUACAAGAAGGGCAAAGAGUUUCAUUAGCUAAGUCAAAGAUGGUAGCUGCAAUGGCAUAAAGUGUAUGAGCUAGAUGAUCUGCUCGAUCAUGUUCAUUCCCUUUGUCCAAGUUUAGGUAGAGCAUUCAUAAAUGUCAUGCUCCUGUGAAAUGAAUAAAAUUCAAACAUUAGUGAGCAACUAACUUGGAACAAUUAAUAUUAGACUAAAACAUCUCAUAACUAAUGAGAAAAUCAACGGAUGAAGAAAAAAUUGAAAAGGAUACUGUAGUAGGUUACGACUGCGGUUUGUAGCUUCAAGGUUGCUGUCUAAUUUUUUAUGUAUUGAUGAUGAUACCAGAAAAAGCUUCCUAUCUUAUAUCUAGAAAGUGUAACAAACAAAAGGGAUGAAAAUUCAAUUUUCUCCAAAUAAAUGCUUUUUAUAGUCAUUAACUUGACCUUGUUGUUUUGGCUAGUUAGAGUGACUUUAAAAGAAAAUUUUGACUUGCAACGGAUGCACUUUCAAAUAUUUUUAGCCUUAUUGUUGACUCUCCAGUAUUGAAAGUCCCAUACUAAUCCUUUAUUGCUCCAACCGGUCCACCAGUGCCUUUCUUGUAGUGAUGACAUGCAUAGUCAUCCCUUACUUCAGUUUCCAUCUUCUUGUACUCCUCGAAGUAUGGUGAUUGUUUGAUUGAAGUGCUCAUAGUAAAACUUUGCUGCUUAUCUUCUAUCCUCUAGAUAAGCUUACAUGUUUCAAAGUCCAACAAAGUACGACCAGUUGCUAAGAACGGUCUUCCCAAGAUUACUGGUUGCUUAUGUGCUUUUUCUAUAUCGGAGAUAAUGAAAUCAGGUGGAAAAUGAGAUCUAUAUCAUUGAUGACCAUAUCUUCAACCACUCUAUAAGGGUUCUUGAGUGUAUAGUCAGGUGGUUGUAGGAUUAUUGAAGUUGCUUUAUGAUAUCCCAAUCUUAAUUUCCUGUAGCUAGGUAGUGGCAUCUAAUUAAUACUUUAGAAUCAAUUAAAGCAUUUAUAUGAUGGGAAUUUCCUAUAGCAAAGUAAAUAAAAACUCCUAAGAUCUUUUAAUUUAGGAGAAGGUUUUUGGUGUAGGAUUAUGUUGCAUUCUUCAGUCAAUGCCAUCAUUUCAUCUACUGGCAGCUUUCUCUUCUUGGUCAAUAUUUCCUUAAAAAACUUAGAAUACUUUUGGAAUUUAUAGAAUGGCCUCAAUGAAAGAAAUGGCGAUGUGAAGUUGCCUAAGGCCAUCCAAGAAUUUCUUGAACUGCUUUUUUUAGCUUAUUGUUAUGCGACUUCGAGAUAAUAGGAAUGGGGCACGUGUUUAGUGAUAGGAAUUGUUGCCUUAACAUAUAGAUUGUCCAACUAUUCUUCUUUAUUAACCUUUCUAGAUUCUUCAGACCGAUCAAUUUGUUCCUCGACUAUAGUAGGUAUUUGAUUCUCCUCGAACCCUAUCUAUUUUGUACUGAUUUUUAACAAUUGAACUCUACUUCAUGCAAUGAUAGCCUGAACUUAAUCCUCCUUUGGCUACUUUCGAAGCCUUUGAGAAAAUGAAAUAGACAACAGAUAAGCUCUUACAAAAGUAGUAAGCUUCAAUGAUGGCAUCUCAAGCACUACAUAACUCACAUCCUCCACUACUAUUACCUGUUUUGGUGAAUUCUAUUCUGUGUCACUUAGCAGGAUACCCUGUGUUUGGUUGGCUAAUUCAGUUGCUAUAUGCCCCACUUGAGUUUCAAAAUUUUUGAUCAAAACUCAUUGAUUUUGGAAUGCAAUCUCACUUUUACUAAUAUCCUACAUCAUUAGAUCUUCCAAAGAUGACUUCUUCCCUUGUUGUCGCUGAAAGUCUAAUGGGUUACCUUAAUAUGAUAUCCCUAGCCCUGAUUAUUAACCCAUAAGAAGUUUGGAUGCUUGCUUCAACUUGGAUUAUGGGCGUUAGGGUAAGAAUUGUUCUGUUGCCUUUUAAAAUUCUUUGCAUAACUAACAUCUGCAAGCUGAACAAUAUGAGUGGAAGUUAAAUGGUAACUAGCAUUUAUACGAUCUAUCCCACAACAUACGCAAACUAGUGUCGGUUGGUGUACCAUAUUUACAGACUGGGUCAAGCUAUUUACCUUUUUCGUUACCAUUUUCAUUUGCGCUCUAACACUAUCAUUGCAUCAAUAUUAUGAAUACCAAGUGAUUUCUUAGGAACUUCCUUAUCGGUCGGCUAAUUAGCUUGACUUUCAGCAAUCCUCUUAUACAACUCAUGGGCAUAAUCAAUGUCCAUUUUCAUCACUAGCAGAUUGCAUAGGGAUGUAGGCACUAGAUUCACAUAAUACCUGGCUAAUAUUGGGCCCUUGUUGGUGACCAACCCUCUGUUGAAUUGGUUCUUGCACUUGAACUAGAUCCUAAACCAGAUUCUGAUUUUUAGCCAUUUCCUUGCUUUGCUCUGUUAUCGCUAUGCUGUUUGGAUAUUCUUUCGAUCGCAAUCUCAUCAUAUCUUGAAUUCAUUGUUGAAUGCUUGAAAAAAACAAAGAGCAAGAAAGUGAGGUAAUAUAAAGAAUAGUCUAAAAUAAAUAGAAAAUGGAAUCUAAUAUGAACUAAUAAGCAACAAUUAAACAAAAUUACUCACUGAGAAUGGCGCCAAAAACUUGUCCAGACAAAACUCUCAAUCGUACGGGAUUGUUGCCAUACUUUAACUUAGUGCAACUUGUUUCACUUUAGAUCAUCAACAUUUCUUUUGUUCAAGUGAGGAAUGAUAAUAAUAAUUAAUAAUAACUAGCAAAGAAAGAUCGUGCAACAAGAUGCAAUGGACAUAGUAAACACCAUAGUAUUAAGUUUUUAAUAUAGAUAUGAUCAUUAGUUCCUCAGCCUUACCAUAAAACAUUUGGUGGUAUACUAAGAGUAUCUAAGAUAUCCUUGACCCCCUCUUAUACUAGGCCAAGCACAAAAAGUUCAAUAAAUACAUGGCGACGUUAUUUGAAUCCAACACUAUAAAUUCCGAACAUUGCAUUUAAUAUUUGGAAAUCUUAUUUUUCCUAGAUGAUAGCAUAUUAUGUAGCUAUCGAUAUUAUUUUCGUAUCCUUUUCAAGUUGAAUUAUUAUAUUAUUUGUAUGUUUAUAAAUAUGGCUAUGAUUAGACUAUUAAUGCUCAUUAUCUCUAUCACAACUUUAUCACAGUAAAAAAAUGUAAGGUUCUACAUUUUUAUUUUUUUUCCUCUCACUAGUGGUUUGGAAAGCAGUGAAGUUUUAAAGUUGGAUUCUCAACAUAUAAAUAAAUAAACUUUUGUUCAUUCCAAUAAUCUUUGUUUUUAUUCAUUGAAUAGGGUGGUAGAGGUAGAAGUAUUCGACAUGGGUGAUGAGUUUGUUAAAAAUUUAUCAUUAGAGAUGCAUCAGUUGUCUAUAAUUCAAUUUCAAAUGAAAUUUCCAUAUAAUGAGACAUGAAUUUUUUUUUUAUAAAACAUCAUUAUGCUAGGUGGUUUUCGGACAAAAAUCGGAAGUAUAUGAAGUUGUUGAGAACUAAUAAUGUGAUGAGUUGAGUUGAGUUAUCAUCACUCGGGGAAUAAUCGCCAACUAUAGUUCACUAGUUUAUAUCAAAUUUGAUGUUCAUAAUAUAAAAAAUAAAUAAAUAAAUAAAUAAAUAAUUGAUUUUUAUUGUAUCCGGAUUAAAUAAAAAAUACAUAAAAAAUAUGUUUUUAUCAAAUACUGAGAUGCAUGUAUUAGAUUUUAGAAUCCACCUAUUAAUCUCUAUUUCUGAUUUUGGGCUCUUGUAAAUCAGUGCUCUUCAAGUAUUCGUGACAACCUAUAAUAGACUAACAUUUAAUAUUUUUUUCAAAGAUAUAUUAAACAUAUCCUAAACACGACUUAAUCCUAUUUUUAGUCUGAAUUCAUUAUCCAAAUCACGUAUUCAAUCACACGAUUAUCACACCUGGUUGUACACGUCAUAAAUAUUAUUCUUAAAACCUAUUGUACGUGUGUUAAAUAUGCCAUAUUCUACUUACUGUGAACCUCAUAACAAGACAAAUACGCAACUAAUUGUUUAAAAGGUGCUCAAACAUUCAACCAAUACAAUAAUAAUACAUAUUUAAUCAAGAACUUAUUCAGACAAAACUCACAAGCAUGCAAGAUUAUUGACAAGUGAUAAUAUAAUGAGUUAAUUAUAAUUCCGCAAGGAAUAAUUGUCAACUAUAGUUCACUAGUUUGUAUUAAUUUCAAUGUCCGUAACAUAAAAGAGUCAAUUUUGAUUGUAUUGGGGUUAACUGAAAAAUGUGUAAAAAUUUUGUUUUUAUCAAAUAAUGAGAUGAAUAUAUUGGGUUUCAUAAUCCACCUACUAAUCUCUAUUUUCAAUUCUUGACUCGUGUAAAUUAGCGUUCUUCAAGUGUUCGUAACAAUUGAUAUUCCAUUAACAUCUAAUAUUCUUUUCAAGAUAUUUUAAACCUAUCAUGAGUUCACAUUGACCCUAUCCCUAUUACAAAUUAAUAUGCAAAGCAAGUUAUUCAAUCACAUGAUUAUUACACCUAGUCGCACACGUCAUAAAUAUUAUUCCUAGUACCUAUUUCUAUUGUGUCAAAUAUAUAGUAUUCUACUUAUUGUUAGUUUUUCAACAUUACAAAUAAACAACUAAUAGUCUAAAUGGGGCGUAAACAUUCAAACAAUACAAUACUAAAGCAUAUUUAAUCAAGAACACAGUAUUAACAAAAAUACUUAAGUCUUGAAUUAGAAAUAUCGAUUAAAAAGUUUCAUUAUUCAUCCAAUAAACAAAAACCUUAGCCUAACAUUGUCAUAUCCAAAUUAUACAAAAGAUAAGAAAAGACAUCACUCAAAGUAAAGAAUUGACGAAGAACUUGGAAAUUCUAUUCCUUGCACUUUUAUCUUGAAUCCGAGCUUUGCCCUUGCAAUCCUUAAUGUAAAUUCACUCGUUUCCUCUUGCUAGCCUCAAUUCUAUGAUGAAAAAAAAGGUACCCACACAUUCUGGACAGUUUCUAGGUUAUGAAGGAUGCAGAAUCAAGAAAAGGAAACAAAAAUUUUCCUUGGGAGUUCUUCUAGGCUCGUGCCUGGUUGAUGGUAGGGGAGCGAUUCUAAGUUUCCUCCCCAUGCAUUUUGGACCUUCUUCAUUUCUUUCCAUUUUGUUUGUCCUCUUUUCUCGUCCAAUUAGAUCAUAGCAUUCUUGAAUCCUCAUUCUGAUGUUCAAUCCAACUUUUGAUAAACUACAUAUUAGUCCUUGAACUUUGCAUUUCUUGCAAUUGAGUCGUUUUUGUGCCCUUAUUCUCCAAUUUUUUUCCUUUUCAUCAAUUUGUACCUUAAAACAUAAUGCACAUGGAAUUAAGCUACAUUUCAUUCAGAUAACCAAUAAAUACUCUAAUUUAAAGGUCCAAAUAAGUAUACAAAAUACACUGCUUAUCAAGUGGCGAGUUCUAUUAAUAAUAAAGAUAAAAAAAAAUAUUACAAUAAAAGUAAAAACAUACCCAUUUGGGGAUAACGAGUACAAUGAACAAUAUUAGUCUCUUUUAUUAAUUCAUCUUUCUAAUCCGAAAAGCUACACUUUCGCUUUGCAUUUACCAAAUUACAAUUCUUUUAGUGCUUUAUCUAUCCAAAUAUUAAAGAAAGCAAUGUAGAAAUAGUUCCAUCUAUGGAAAACCUGUCGCGUCUAGGUACAAGCCAAGAUCUCCAUUUGCGUAUGAGGCAUUUGCUUCUUGAUGAAAAUAAAAUUAUUGAAAUCUUUCUAUGGAAUGGGUUACACUUUUAGUCUUUCUCUGCUAUGCUAUAAAGCCAUUCUUCAAAACACGCAUGAAAGAUUUUUGUUAUGAAUGUUUUUGGUAUAGCGACUAUAAAGAGAGUUGUGGUAGCCGGUUCAACUCUAACGAACAAAAUCUAAUAUUUAUUUUGAAAAUAAUUUCCCUUGUGCUUUUUGUGUUUACCCUUUUAGUUACCUGCAUUUUGGGAUUGAAUUACAUUGAUUUUAUGGACGAGGUCCAUUAAUAUGAGAAGCUCCAUUUUCAUCCUCUUUUCUUCGACAAUCAACUGUUUGUGGUGGGUGAUAAAUGUGAUAGCAUUAUUGUCUAGCCACAUCAUUGGUAGCUGCCUUUGGAACUUGUAUCGUCACAACCAUACUUACUAACAGGGGCGGAUCAAGGGCUAGAACUAAGACCGGACUGAAAGGAAAAAAAAAAAUUAUAAAAAAAAAUUGAUUGUACAUAACCUCCCCCCCCCCCCUUCUUUCCCACCUAAAAUGCUAAAUGGGCCGGGGACUGGACCAAGCUAUACCCUAGCCCAGCCCAGCCCCCUACAUUUGUCCAUGCUUACGAGCGCAUGUCUUAUCAAUCAAACUAGUAUUCUUAUUGAAUAUGAAAUUUCUCAAUUAUAGGUAGAUCUAAACAGUCUUCUUAGGUAAGUCCCUACUGCCCGACUCAAUCUUCUGUUUGGAAGAUUAUUGAAGUAGCAUUCACCAAUAGGCUAACUUAUUUAUCUUACGUCAAACCGAUUAAAUAUGAAAACUCUAACCGAUGAAACAGAAUCAAUAUUGGUGCUCACUAAAUUUGAACCGUCAAAUAAUAACACACUAAAAAGGAGACUCCUUUAUAAUUACCAGCCAAUACUUUCUCGUUAUAUAUAUAUAUAUAUAUAUAUAUAUAUAUAUAUUUGUUAGCACAAUAAGAAAAAAAUAGCUUUGGAAUCAAACAAAUAAAUAAUUUGCUCCAAAGAAACUCAGCUUAGGCCAUGGGCCGUGACCAGGACCAUCAUCAGACCAAUAAUGGACACCUCCAGGACCAAUGUACUUUGAAAUCCCAAUGGGUAGCUAGUUAUAAUUUUUAUUUUUCUUUUAAUUUCCAUGCUACUUAUAAUUUUUGGAAGGAGAAAGAAAUUUUAAUAUGUUGGAUGCUUAAUGCGAAAAAUAAAAAAAAAAUAUUUUUUUUUUUUUGAGUGUUGGAGGCGAAAAUAUGAAAUCUACCUUUUAAAAUUAAUUGAUGUGGUAGUAGUACUAUUUUACAUGGCAUUUUGAUUGUAUAUGAUAAUAGUACUUGGUGUUGAGUAAUUUUAAUCUAAAGAAAGUAUUAAAUUAUUGUAUCUCGUUCUAGUUAUGUAAUUUUUCCCAAAAAUGUAUAAAACUUUUAUAUCUCAAUUCCAGUUAAGAUAAGCAGUUAUAAGAAUUUGAUUUUUAUUUUUAAAAGAGGAAAAAAAAAAAAAGAAGCCACUGAUGGGCCUUUCCCCGUCAAUAUGCCAAAAGGUGGGGGAAUAUUAGGGCUGGGCAAAUCUCCCGAACCGAACCCGAAUCGAACCGAACCGAACCCGACGGUUCUUGUCAAAUUAAAUACCCGAACGGGUAUCUGAAUUGAGAACCGACGGGUACGGUUUGGUUCUCGGUUCUAGACCAAGACCCGAAGAACCGAAUAAGAACCGAAUUUUUCUAAUUUUUUUUUAUUUUGAGUAAAUCAAAUUAUUUUAAUUUCAAUUUUUUCUAAACAAAUUGACAAAUUAACGAUUUCUAAAUCCAAAUUUUUGGCCCAAUAAUUUGUUUCGUUUCUAAUUUUUUAAUUUUUGGCCCAAUUACCCAUUUUAUUGUUUCAUUUCUUAGCCAAGCAAGAUCAAAUACACUAAAUAACCCUAAACACCAACACUAAAGUGCAUAACGUUGUCUCGACUCUCGCACUCACUCUGCAGCCUCGCUAAUAUUCCAAAACCUAUACAAUCAUUGGUCGACACUGUGACCUCCAAUCGAAGCUGUGACCUUCGCCAACCGAAACUUUGAUCGUAGCGAUCAUUUGAAUAAGGUAGUUUCUUAGUCUUUGACAUUCCAAAACCAUUGAAUGUAUCAUUAGUUGUAUUUAUAUAAUGUUGUUAUAAAUGUUAAAAAAAUUUAAUUAUAGUACAGAACCGAACGGAAUCGAACCGAUCCGAACCGAACCGAAUGGAACCGAACCCGAACGGUUCCAUAAUUAUAUUUGGACCCGACGGUUCCAUUUACUAGAUACCCGAAAAUUUCGGUUCGGUUCGGUUCUCUUUAGAACCGAACCGAACCGACCCGCGCCCACCCCUAGGGAAUAUAGUGAAAUUUUACAAACUAGCUUUGAUUUGGAACAAGAAUUUAGAGAACGUUAAGGAAAAGGACAUUUAUUCAUGAAAUUUGGAACAAAAAGCCAAACAUAUAGUAAUUUUUGCGGGUAACAACGGUAUCGUUGCCCUCUUAGUAUUUGGAGGCGGUCACCUGCAUUACGAGGGUGUUGUACGGAGCCGGUAACUGAAUCACUAAAUUGAAAUUUAAUGAUUCAAUUGAGAAAUAAUAAAAAUUAAUUAUCUUAAUAAAAUUAUAUGCGAUAAGUUUAAUGACCACGGAGGCAAAUAACUAGAAUAAUAUAUUUUUUCCUUGAAAAGGGCAAUGACCAUUUUGUGUCUGAAGAUCCUAAGUUAGACAUGUUUAUAGCUCGACAUUACGAGAACUUAGUGAGUCAAAGUUCGUUUAUUGCUUUAGAUUGUUUUCUAUGUAAAAGUAUUAACGUUCGUUCAAUAGUUCAUUUUCAGGACUCAGGAGGUAAGGCAUGUGGCAAGGUUUAUGUGCCUAUUUCUUGUCAUAGGGUGCAUUCAGCUGUCCUUCUUGUGAAUAUGUUAUGUCGACUAAUUUAUAAUGAUUGGAGUUUUUUUUUUAGUAAUUUUUUGAAUGAUAUUAAAUUCCUAGAUAGGAAUUUUUCCCCCAAAUGGAAUAUAUAUUUGUUGAGACGUUGACUAUUGGAGGAAUAUGGUCCGCAUAAAGUAUCAAGCACUAAAUUCCCUUGUCAAGGAAACUGCACGUAUCCUACUACAUAUUUUUAAAUGUUCACUCUUACUAUAAUUUUAUAGGUUAGAUCGGGUCGAUUAGAUUUGUGACAAGAUGGUGAUACAAGCUACCAUGAGGAUCAAAGAAAAGGAAAAAUUAUACCUUAGUCUUUUGUCAUUAAAUUUUAGUUGUUUAAAUUUAUUAAAAAACUUAUUUUUAAAUUAAUUAAUUGAAUAUGUUUAUUUUUUUUAAAGAUACAAUUUCCAUGUUUAGUUUAAAUUUAUGGACAUUUCGAUUAUAUUAUUCUUAAAAAAAUUUAUUUUAUUUGAUUUGCUUCAAUACGAAGAAAAGAAAAUUUUUGGUAAUACCUCAAGAUACAAGGUUUAUGCAAAUUUGGUGUGAUCACUUAAAAUCAACAUAUUAUCAACAUACAGACAAAUAAAUAUAACCUAUUUAUCACCUAUUUUCGAAUAUAAACACUUAUCUACACUAUUAUGUAUAAUUGAAAUAAAAUAAUUGUUAAUUCAAAUUUCUCAUGCCAUUUCUUAUGUGCUUGUUUUAAAUCAUACAAUAAUUUUACUAACUUGCACACCUUAUGUUCAUUUUCAGGUAAAGCAAAUCCUUCAAGUUGUUCUAUAUAAACCUCCUCAUUAAGAUCCCCAUUUGAGAAUGUCGUCUUAACAUUCAUUGAUAAACAUGAAAUUCAUAUAUGGAUGCUAAUGUGAAGAAUAUUUUAAUUGAUGUUAUUCUAUCUACGUGUGCGUAAAUCAACAUAGUCAAUUCCUUCCCUUUAUCGAUAACCUUCAGUUACUAAUUUAGCUUUAAAGGUAUUAAUAUAACCAUCUACAUUAUAUUUUCUCCUAAACAUCCAUUUGCAAUCGAUAGUUUAGAACCAGGUGGUAAAUCAACAAGUUCUCAUGCAUUGUUUGACAUAAUUAAAUUCAUUUUAUCUUUAAUUGCAUCAUUUCAAAAGAUACUAUCGUGAGAAUUGAUAGCUUCUUUAUAGGUGUUAGAAUCAAUUUUCACUUGUAGAAUAAAAGGAAUUGUUCUAACAACAUUCUUCUCAUUUCACUCUACUAAACAAAAUAAAAUAAGUUGAAAAUCAAUUUCAUCUGGUUCGAAAGUAUUCUCUAUUCGAGUUCUUUUGUUUCUUUGAAGCUCAAUAAAUUAAUUAACAUCUUUAGAAUAUGUUUUAGCUUGUGUUCUACUAGAGCUAGGAAUCCUUUUACAAUUUCCCUUAAUUCAUUAUUUGAAGAUAGAAAAUUAUCAAAGAACUCCACGUCAUUUGAAAUUAUCACAUUGAUCUCCAAGUUCAAUAAUCUAAAUGAUUUACUACUAUUAGAAUAUCCAAUAAAGGCAAAUUUUAUACAUCUUGGACCCAACUUAGUCGUUUUCAGAUCCAUGUUUCUACAAUAUAUUAAAAUCCCCACACUUUUAAGUACUCAAUAUUUGAUUUUUUUUUAAUUUUAUUUUUUGGUUUCCUCAAUUUAUGAGGAGAAACCUUGUAAAUUUUAAAGGAAUCUUAUUUAAAAUUCUACAUGUAUUUAGCAAGAUUCACCUCGCAAGUUAAAUGACAACUUAGCAUAAGUUAACAUAACAUUUAUUAUUUCAAUUAAUGUUCUAUUUUUCCUUUCAACUAAUCCAUGUUGUUUGAGUAUCCUAGGUCUAGAUCAUUGAUGUACUAACAUAGCAGAAGCUUAUAGGAAAGAUGAACAAAUCUGACAAAGUUGAAAAACUCACGAAAAUUUUAUUUCAUUCAAUCAAUACGGGCUCAAAGGGCUUACAAUACUUUAUAUAGCGAAAACCCUAUGAAAAUUCUAAAAAUAAAAAUAAAUAAUAGUAAAUUGUUUUUGCAAAAGUGGAAAAAAAAGUUGAGAUAAUGACUAAAAUUGAAAGUUCUAAUCUUCGAGAUUAUCCUACAACAAACGAAAUUUAAAUCCAAGUUUAUUUGAUUGAUAAAAAUUACCAAAAAAUAGAAGAAAUGCACAAAUGAAUUUCUAAACGAAGGAAUUUGCCCAAAAUUGGCACGUUUCCAGGAAAAUUUGACUAAAAUUUGCCAAAAAUGGACAACCCAAAAUUUCUUCAAAAAAUCGGGAAGUUUCCUAAUUGUGCUUGCGUCAGUCUCACUUUGCCAUAAAGUCUAAUUCAUUCUACACCACAUCAUGUACUAUUUCUUAUUAGUAGAAAAAUUCACCAUUGAAUUUGGCGGGGAAGUAAUGUCAUCAUUAGAAUUAUCACCACAAAAUAGCACCAGAUACUUGACACUAAAACAUCAGAUGUACGAAUAUGACUGGGCAACUUCAAACGAUAUGCAUUGAGAUUAAUCCUCUCAAUAAUCUCCAAUGGCCCAAUUUUUCUCGAGCAAAUUUGGUGUAUUAAUAAGCAAGAAUACGAUCUUUUGUUAACAUCACCAAACAAAAUCACCUACCUCAAGCUCGACAUGACAACGUUUAAGAUCCGUAUUAUGCUUAUACCUAGUAACAACAGUCUGCAAAUGAUCAUAAGCCUGUGAAUGAACUUGUUGCAACUGCUGAAUGAAAUCCUCCACUUUACCCUGCAUUUUAACAGUAGUAGAAAUUGAAACCAAAUCAAGAGGACUACGAGGAACAAGACCAUAUGCAACCUAAAAAGGACUAAAGCCUUUACUUCGAUUAAUUACAUGAUUGUAAGCAAAUUCGGCACGACACAAUUUUUUAUCCCAAGACUUGAUGUAAUCACCAUCUAAACAACAUAGUAAAUCACCCAAGGAAUGAUUGGCAAUCUCUGCUUGACCAUCUAUUUGAGGAUGAUAUGCACUACUGAAGUCCAACUGUGAAUUGACCAAAUGCUAUAAACUGCACCAAAAGUGACUAAGAAAAUUAUUAUCCCAAUCAAACACGAUAGAAAUAGGAAGUCCAUUUAGACGAUAGACCUCAUGAAAUUAUAGCAAUGCUAUAUUGACAGCAUCCGUUGUCUUCUUGUAGGGAAUGAAAUGGACCAUCUUGGACUGAGUCCUGGGAAGCCCCAAGAUGAAAUCUAUACUUACGUCUAUCCAAAGUUGGGUCGGAAUAGGCAGUGACAAAUAUAAACCAGCAUUUGUAGCCUUACCUUUAGGAAGAUGACAUGUUCGACAGUGCUCCACGAACUUAUCGACAUCUUUGCACAAUGAUUGCAAAAAAUAAGAAGCAGCAACAACUUUUAAUGUUUGAACACAACCCAUGUGGCCCUCAUUAUGCAAUUCUUGAAUUAUCUUAAGCUGCAAACUGCCCUCAAGAAUACAUAACUAUUUCCUCGAUAAAGAAAAUCAUCGAUCCACAUAAACUUUGAAUGUACACCCUCCUACAAUUUUCAAAUAAUCAGAGAAAAAUAUGGGUCAGUAGCAUAUAAAUCACAAAUAGUGUCAAAACCUAGGACCUCCAUUCGCAAUUCUGUCAGAAGAGUUUAUCGCCUACUUAAUGUAUCUACGACCUUGUUAAGGGAGCCUUCUUUGUGCUUAAUCACAAAAGUAAACUGCUACAAAUAAGCAAUCUAAGAAGCAUGUCAAGUAGAUGCCUUAUCUAGAAUACUAAAUUGUUUAAGGGUAUCAUGGUCAAUAUACAAAACGAAUUCCAUCUAGAACAAAAAAUGACGCUAAUGUUGAACCACUAGGACUAUCGCAUAGAAGUCCACAUCAUAAGUAAUAUAUUAGGAUUUAGGACUAGAAAGUUUCUUACUGAAAUUACAUUAGGACAAUUAUUUAGGCUCAGCACACCACUAAUACCCACCUUCAAAGCAUCGCAAUGCAACUUAAACGACUGAGUAAAAUCAGGCAAUUCCAAAAUUGGGACAGUUGUCAAUUUCUAUUUAAUCAACUAAAAAGAUGACUCUACCCCAGGAUUUCACUGAAACUUGCCAUCCUUUAUACAAUCCAUAAUUGGUGCCAUGAUACUACUGAAACAUGGUAUAAACAUACUGUAAAAGAAAGCAAGGCCAUGAAUACUCCGCACUUCUGUAAUGGUCUUAGGCUAUGGCCACUGACUUCUUACAUUUACUUUGGAUAUAUCAAUUGCUAAUUGCUCUUUCGACAUCACAUAACCUAAAAAUACAACACAGUCAAUUAGAAAGUUACACUCUUCACUCACUACAGCAUAAAAUUUAUCCCUGCGAGGGACUGAGAGAACUUCUCAAAUGUGCUAAAUAUGAUCAUCAUUGUUAGCACUAUAAAUCAAAAUAUCAUCAAAGUAAACUACAACAAAUUUACCGAUGAAUAGACGAAGAGCUUGAUUCAUAACCCCCAUUAAAUUGCUAGGCGCAUUGGAAAGGCCAAAUGGCAUGACUAACCACUUGUAUAACCCUUCCCUCAUCUUAAAGGCUAUCUUCCACUUAUCCCCCAAGCCUGAUAUGAAUCUGAUGAUACCUACUUCUCAACCACUACAUUCUAGCAACUCCCAGAAUCACUAACAAACUUACAAAUCCUUCCAUCAACAGUACACGUAGAUUGAAAGAUAUUAUUAUGCAAACAGUCACUCUUACUCUCCAUAGUGGUCAAAAAACUGUCUCACCACCAAUUCUUGACCCGCAUCACCAACAACAAAUUCAUCCUCAUCUGUUGUUUCUUCAGCGUCCCCAUUAUCAAAUACAAGCACCCUCUUAUAAUCUCCAUACCCCUUAUCAACAAAGAGUUUUGCAUGAAAUUUUGGGACAUUCAGAUUAUCUAUGACCCAUACCUCCAUAAGUACAGUGAGUAACACCUCUAGGACGUGUUGAUUGUUAAACAAGAUUUGCUUUAGAAGAACCAGUCUGGCUAGGAUUAAUAUGACGCAUUGUCUAUUAAUGUGAAUUACUGGAAGAAUCCCUGCAAUGAAAAGACCUAUAUUUAGUCUGUACCGUUGUUUCUAUAUCUGUAUCUCCUUUUGAUUUGGCUCAAACAUUGUCACGAAAUCAAACAUAUUCAGUAUGUCCUGUAUUUGGGAAUGAAGACCACCCAUAUAUCGCGAUACCAACUAUUCCUUCAUUUUCAUCACCUUAUUUGAAUCAACGUGUAAAACUUCGUCAUAUAGUCAUCGACCAUCUUCAUGCUUUGAUGCAAAUUCUACAAUCACUGAUACAUAGUCCGAACAUAAUUUUAGGGCAGAAAUUGCUUCUUCAUGUACUUAUUUAUUUUAUCCUAAGACGCAAUCUUGGCCUUCCGUUAUCUAGAUCUCGUAACCUUUGUCUAUGGCCACCACGUCGCUGUUUGUCCAAGAAAUCUUGUUGCAACGAAGAGGCACACUUUUACCAGCAAAAACCUUCUCAAAUUUCAAGACCUCCUCCACUGUAGUCACUCAAUCCAAGAAUUCUGUUGGACUUAAUCCACCAUGGAACUCAAGAAUAUCAAUCAAAAACCCUGAUUUCUAGUGCCUACUCUUCUCCUGGCCACUUUCUCUCCAUUGGAGUGGCAGAUCUAUUGGAAUAUCAAGUUGCAUAUAUGGAUUUUCAUCUUCAGAAUCCUCAAGCGAUUGGGUUACAGGAGCAUGUUGCUAUGACGCGAGUGUAGCGAUUUGCAAGGUCAGCAACUCCGCUCGUUGAUCCAGCUGUACGAUCUCAUCACAUCUAUUCACCUCAUCUACUAGGGCUUCACGAGCUUCUGGACAUCACAUUGGCAGCAUGUUGAACGAACGAAUCUCGCUUUGAUACCAACUGGCUCAGUAGAAGCUUAUAGGAAAGAUAAACAAAUCUCAUAAAGAUGAAAAACUCACAAAAUUUUUAUUUCGAUCAAUGUGACUUCCAAGGGCUUACAAUACUGUAUAUGACGAAAAACCCUAGGUAAAUUAGGAAAAAAUUAAAUAAUAUAUAUAUAUAAUAAUCAAAACAAAAAUUAUCAAAAAAGGAAAAAAAUGCACAAACGAAUGCCUAAACGAAUGAAUUUACCUGAAAUUGUCCUUGCAUCAUGGGGGCAUAGUCUUGUUCAUUGGUUUGUUUCUAAUCAAAUUUGAUUAAAAAUUAGCAAUAAAUGGACGACCCCAAAUUUUUUUCAAAAAUCGAGAAGUUACCUAUUUUCUGCUUGCGCCAAUCCCACUUUUCCAUAAAGUCUAAUUCCUUUUGUACCACACCAUGUACUAUUUCUUAUUAUUGACAAAAUGAAUUAAAAUUACUAGAGAAGUAUUCUUCUCAUCUAUCCCUUCUAAUUAUUUUUUAUUUUCUUAUUUAAGUGAUUUUUAAUUUCAUUCUCAUUUGUCUUAAACAUAUCAAAGGUUUUAUGUUUAUUUUUCAUUAGAUAAACAUAAGUAUACCUAGAGUGAUCAUCUAUAAAGGUAAUAAACUAUCUAUUUUCACCCCUAAUUAACAUGCCAUAAAGUUCAUGUAUCUCUAAAUGAUUAAGUUCUAAAAUUUGAAGAGUCCUAUUCACAAUUUGAUAAGGCUUCUUAAUUCUUUUAGAUUCUACACAUGUUUUACAUUUAUAAGCAUCAUUUGCAUUGUAAGAAAUCAUAUCAAAUUUAAGCAUUCAUUUCAUCGUACUAGAACCUAUGUGACCUAGUCUAAUAUAUAAAGUAAAAGAAUCAAUCAAGUAAGCAAAAUCAAUUUUAUUAUUAUUAAUAUUGUCAAACGACACAUAAUUUGAUCAUUCCUUUGCAAGAAUAGCAUUUCCAACAAAUUUUCCAUUUUGGGAUAGUACAUAUUUUUUGGGCUCAUAAACACAUUUGAUACUUGAUUUCCCUAAGAUAUUUCCACUCAAUAAGUUCCUAUUUAUUUUUUGAACAUGUAAUACAUUUGUUAAAGUAUUGAUUUUUCUGUAAGUGAAGAUGAUAUCCACAUUUCGUUUUCCUACCACUUUGGCGCGGUCUUCAUUACCCAUUUGUAUCUCUUGCUAUCUCUUUGACUCAUGAUAAUUCUUGAAGAGUGACUUUUCGUAUGAUACAUGAAUAGUUGCACAUGUAUAUGUAUUGUACCACCAAUAGGGCUCUUUGCCCUUGAUUGCAUUAAUUUUGCUCAAUGUAGCCACAAUGCUAUUUCAUCAAUGGAAUUAAAUUUUUUAAGUCUUUCUUGGUUUAUUUCUGGUAUAGAAAUUUCUUUGCAAAAUGUCCAGAUUUUCCACAUACAAAACACUAUCCAUUAUUCUUCUUCUUAAAUUUGAUAAAGUUAUUAGAAGAUUUCCUCUUGUUUGCUUUGAUAGACCACAUGGUAUUUUUAAUGGCAUUGGCUUCUGAUGUGCCUUCAUAAGAGUUUUAAUUCUUAUCUUUUGCCCUCGAUUCUUCCAUAAUGUGGAGGUGAUUCCGAACUUGUUCCAAAAAGUAAUUUUCAAAAUUAAGAAGAAUCUUCUAUCCGUAUCCUUUCAACGUCCCUGAGACUUUAGCAAUGAUUACUCAUACUUUGAAAGAUUCUAAAAGUUCAAUCUUGAUCGCCUUUAAUUUGUUGAUGAGUACUUGCAAUUCAUGCCCUUGAGGAAGAAGAUGAUUGGUUUCAAGAAACUUAAAAUCGAAAUAACUCAAUAUCAAAAAUUUCUUGGUGUUGAGUUUCUUCGGCUUUGUAUUUGUGUUCUUCCAAAUAUCUUUUGCCGAGGAAAUGUUGAUUUAUAGAUCAUACAAUAGAUCGAUGAGUGCGUUGAGUAUGUGACUCUUGAUGCUUUUGCCUUUCCAUUCUUAUGAAAUCGAUAUCUCCAUUUUAUUAGCUCUGGAAUUGAUAUCUCCAAUUCCAGAUCAAGGGUGUAAAAGAUCUUCAAUGCUGUGAGAAGGAAUUUCAACUUGUCUUGCUAUUGAGUAAAUUUGUUCUGUCGAAUCGAUCCAAACUAACAAGAUGUUGAUUCAUAAGUUUGACGGUAGCCAUGGUAGUCUCGUUCUCCAUAACUUAAUUUAGUUUGAGAGUUUUGCUAAAUUGAAUUCUUCAAGGAGAAUGGAGAAGAGAACCAAUAGAACCAGCAAAAAUGGAAAAGGCUUGAAUGUGUUAUCAUUGUCUUCAAUAUAAUUUGCUCUUUCUAGAAUUGAUUAUGAUACUUAAUAGGACUCAAGGCAAAAUGGUUUGUAAGAUUGAAGAAGCUUUAGAGGAAGAUAAACACUAAGCACUUGUGUUUUCUCCUUAUAACAUGAAUAUCACUUGAAUGAAUGAAUAUGUACAGAGAAGUUUUUAAAAGAUUCUUUCUGUAUGGAAUGAUCUCAUGAAUUGAUAAUUUUAUAGUGUUUUAGAAUGAAAAAUAUUUCAUAUUUAUAGAUUAUCAUUCAUGCACCAAGAAAAGAUCUCAAAAGUUCAUGAAAAUGCGCCAAAAAAUGAAUCAGAAUUUCAAAUUCAACAAUUAAAAAAUUGGCAUGGACAAUAGCCAGUACAAAAUCAGGCCCUCGCCUAGGCCAAAGUUUUGGCCUCGGGUAAACCAAAUCAAGGCUGAGUGAAUGCCUAGACUUAAGCUUGGGCAUUCGUUCUGGCCAAAAUUACAGUCCUUCCUUUUUUCUUCUUGUUUGACUUUCGGUGUUUCCGUACUUGCUCGACACAUUCAAAUGGAUGCAUUAUCGUUCCAAUACACUUGUCAUUAUAAGUUGAACAAUAAACUACCACAAUUCUUCCUAUUUAUCAUUCCACACCGUAUUUUGCAUACUGGUAAAGAAAUUACACUUUAUAAAUUCACCAAUAUAUGAGCAUCCUAUCAUACACGGAAUCAAAAAUAAUUAUUUGUAGUAAAAAAAUGUAAAAAAAAAAGGUUUUUCCACAAUAAAAAUGAGAUCAUAAAACACGUGAAAUGGGAGCGUUUUCUGAACAUGUUAAUUUAUUCAAUUUCAUAUUUUUAAUAAUAAGUCAAUCCUUUAAAACUCUAUCCAUACUUAAAUUUAAAUCAUUAAUGUUGAAGGCUUAUUUGUUAAAAUGAAUCAUUCAAAAGUUUAGAUUAAUAUUGAAGACAUACAUGGAUCUUCAACACGCUAUAUUGAAGUGCGCGAGGAUUUUUCUUUUCCUGCUCAAAGGCGUGAUAUGUACAUAAUUUAUUUUCUAUAAAUGAUUUAUUACGAGAACUGUAUUCAGAACCUCAAUGUGCUUUGGUAUGAUAGAACUCUUUCAUAAAAACCAUUUAAAGAUGCAUUUUUCUUCUUUUUUCAAAAUUUUAAGCUUGACAUGGCGCAAUUCAUAAAUAUCAUUAUGAAUUUAAGUCUCCCACAAUUUUUCAAGUUUGCAAAUCAAAGAUUAAGAAAAUUUCAAAUCAAAAUAACUUUUUUUUUGUUGAAUUAGUGAUUUGACAUUGCAUUGUGGUGAGAGGUAGGGUUUUUGUAAUGUUUAACAGCUUAAUAUGUACGUAAUUUUCGUAAAUUGUGAAAAUGGAAUUCAUGCCAUUUACAUGUUCUGAUGUGAUAUAAAAUUCUUUUUAUGAUAAUUCAAUAAAGAAUGAACUAUUUGAAAAUAUGUGCACUUACACAAGGGAACUUGCUAAAUAAUCGACCACCAAUUUGGUGGAAUUUCGGGCUUAGUAUACCAAUCUCAACCUUAUCAAUACACCCAAGUAAUCACAACCCAAAACCUUUAACUUCCUCCAAACUCCAAUUGCUCAAGAUUUGUACCCACUUAGGACACAAGGAGACGGUAUUUGUAGCCAAAAAGCUGGUGCCACAAAGGCCAAAGAAGAACAAGAAGAAAAUGGCCAAGGAGAAGCACAAAACAAGGAGGCAAACUCGGUUCUCUCUCAAACAAGGAAAACACAUGUUAAUGAUAAAACAAAAAGAGGCUAGUAUAUAUAGGUUAGGUUAGGUUAAAGUGAUGGGACCAAGCCCAAUACAAAUACGGUGAGUGGGCCAAUAUAUAUAAGUCAUCCAAUGAGUGUAGAAACCAAGCCAUAAGCAACACUAAUUAAUUAGGUUGUUUCCAAUGUCCUAAAUAGUCUUAGGGUUGGGUCAUCAAUUUUGGGUGUCAAUAUUUAUUUUAUCUAACAUCGAUUUAACAUUAUCCCUCGGAUUAUUGGGUAUCAAAAGCCAACAAUAUUCACCUUAAUGCCCAAUAAUCUGCAAGCAAACAAAAUGCAAAGUUUAUGCUUGCACAAUCAAGGUAAUCUAAUAAAAUUGGUAUCACAGACCUUACAUCGGGUUUUGGACCUGAAACACAUAUCAUACCUGCUCCAUGUACUCAUCAGGGCUAAGGUCCAAAAAAACCCAUGUAGGAACAAGUAUUCACAGUGAACAAAUAAUUUUGCGAUGAAGAUAUUAUAUUGGAUAAUACACAGAUCUUUUCAAAUGCAUAAAUGACGCCACGAAAAAUCUCACCACACUUAUCAUAUCCCAUUUCAUGUUACUCCCACCUCAAGAACACUUAUCUCUUCUCAUCGCCCACCGUGCUCACUAGAUAAUCACUCAGCUCAUGUCUAACUGACAAGUCACAAUAGAUUCUAAGCUCUCGGUAUAAUCCUCUAUCACCACAUCACUUCUCUCAACCUACGUGGUUAAUGAGUUUCCAACUUACCGAAGUGAUAGAAGUGUCUCUCUCACACUCCACCUGUACAGGGUUUCUUUCACAGAUAAAGGAUUUUAGACAUUUGAUCACAUGUCCACUCGUGAUCCAAAUGUCACACUUCACAUCCCCAGUACAAACCACAAUUUACUCCUAGACAUCUAUACUCCACUUCACAAAAAGACACCGAACACACUACUAAUGCAUCCUAAAUCUACUAUGCAUGCAACCAAUUACACCCGGUAAUCAUAUUAUCUCAAAACUCAUGCAAACACAUAUAUCAAACAAAUUGAAAAGUAACAUUUAAUCAUGCAAUAGAAUUAGACAAUCACACACAUGUAGAAAGGAUCACACAUAGAUGCUUAUGCAACAACUAAAUUUACUCUCAAUAAACCUGAUGCGAACCCCGUAACAAUGGAAACUACGAAACCCACAACGAGAUUGAUGCGAAAUCCAAGAACGCCAAUACUAACCCGAUUUUGGAUCUUGAACCCCAAGAAUUGAACUAAGAACCCUAGAUUAGCGAAGAACCUAAAACCCCUUGAUUACAAUUAAAAGAACUCACAAUCCGAUUGAUUAGAACGCCACAAGAAGUUGAUUCUUGAUAAGUUCCAAGAUUGUUCAAGAAAAACAAGAAAUUGAAAGAACAAUUCUCUCUCUAUAAUAUUAAGCAAAAGUCAAAAGUUCUUACAAUGAAAAGUAAUCUCCUAUUUAUACUAAUGAAUAAAAAUGUCCAAAACCAUCAAAUUAUGGUAAUAAUUUGAUUUCAUAAGAAUUCUAUCGAAACUAGGAAAUUCAGCCAAAAUUAGAAAAUUCGCCAAUUUUUUUUGGCUUCUGCGGCCGCAUGGUGUAAAUCCAUGCAGUCACAUGGUUCAACAGGAAUUAGUCUUUUGGUUUUCUAUAUGCACGUGUGUGGCCGCAUGUGGUUUUGCCAGUGCGACCGCAUGGUGUUGUCUUAAGCCUCCGCUUUCGUCGCUUGAUAACAAAUUGAUCCAAGUCGAUUCGACCUUCAACCCGAACAUGAAAGUUGCUCCAUUUUGAGUCCCGAACAUGGUUCCAUCAAUGGUUUCUUGAACGAGCAAUCCCAUCGCUUGUUUCACUUGCUUUGUCCUUGAUUACAUCAUUGGUUCGCCAUCGACUAUCAACGGGUCUCGUCUCGCACUUGCCUUCGUCGGGUUCGACUCCUGGAUCAUAUCAUCUCCUCCCUCUUCAAAAGGAUUCGUCCUCGAAUCUGAACCUACAUCAAACAGAGAGAGAUCAGAUACAUUAAAAGUAGCUGAAACAUUAUACUCACUAGGUAAAUUCAUUUUGUAUGCAAUGUCAUUGAUCCUCUUGAUGAUUUGAAACGGUCCAUCGCCUCGUGGUUGCAAUUUUGACUUCUUCUGUUCUGGAAAACGCUCUUUUCUGAAAUGCACGCAGACCCAAUCUCCAGGCUCAAACGUAACGCGUCUUCUUCCUUUAUUUGCUUUUGAUGCAGUCAGCUUUCCUUUCUCUUCGAUCUGCAUCCUGACAUUUUCAUGAAGUGUUCUCACCAUCUCGACUUUUCGUUUUCCAUCCAAGCUACCUCGUUCAUGCAUAGGCAAAGGCAUUAAAUCCAUAGGUGUUAGUAGAUUAAAACCAUAAACAAUUUCAAAAGGAGAAAACGAAGUAGUAGAAUGUGUAGCUCGAUUAUAUGCAAACUCUAUAAACGGUAAACACUCUUCCCAUAAUUUCAGAUUUUUAUUGAUCACUGUCCUACGUAGUUGAGUCAUAGUUCGAUUAACUACCUCAGUUUGUCCAUUUGUUUGUGGGUGACAAGUUGUAGAAAAUAAUAACUUAGUCCCUAACUUACUCCACAGAACACGUCAAAAAUGACUCAAAAACUUCACGUCCCUAUCAGACACUAUACUUUUAGGUACUCCAUGUAAACGUAUUAUUUUCCUAAAGAAUAAGUCCGCAAUAUUAGUAGCAUCGUCAGUUUUAUGACAUGGUAUGAAGUGCGCCAUCUUACUAAACCUAUCGACCACUACAAAUAUUGAAUCCCGACCCCUUUUUGUCCUAGACAAACCUAACACAAAGUCCAUAGAUAUGUCUACCCAAGAUUCACUAGAUACAGGCAAAGGAGUAUACAAACCAUGGGGUUGAACCUUAAACUUAGCCUUUUUACAAGUUAUACACUUUCCACAUAUUUGUUCUACGUCAUGUCCCAUUCUAGGCCAAUAAAAAUGUUCCCCUAACAUGUCUAAAGUCUUUUGAACCCCGAAGUGUCCCAUUAAACCACCCCCAUGUGCUUCCCUUACCAAUAAUUCAUGCAAAGAACAAUUAGGAAUGUACAAUUUAUCUUCCCUAAACAAAUAUCCUUCAUGCCUAUAGAAUUUAUCAAAUGCUCCUUUGUCACAUGAAGCAUAAAUACUAGAAAAAUCACAAUCAAAUUCAUACAUGCCCUUAAUAUGCUCGAAACCAAGUAAUUUAGUACUUAAUGAAUUUAAAAGCACAUACCUUCGGGACAACGCAUCAGCAACUAUAUUUUCGUUACCUUGUUUGUACUUGAUGACGUAGGAAAAUGUCUCGAUAAACUCCACCCAUCUCGCUUGUCUUUUGUUCAACUUACCUCGACCUCGCAAAUGCUUUAAAGAUUCAUGAUCGGUGUGUAUCACGAAUUCCUUUGGCAAUAAGUAGUGCUGCCUAGUCUCCAAUGCUCGAACAAGUGAAUACAGCUCCUUGUCAUAUGUCGGAUAAUUCAAUGCUGCCCCACUCAACUUUUCGCUAAAGUAAGCAAUAGGUCUCCUUUCCUGCAUUAACACUGCUCCUAUACCUAUUCCUGAUGCAUCACACUCAACCUCGAAUGUUUUAUCAAAAUCUGGUAAUGCCAAAACAGGUGCCUUACAUAGCUUAUCCUUAAUGGUGUUAAAUGCAAUUUUUUGAGAUUCUCCCCAAUGAAAACCUACACUCUUCUUUACUAUUUCAGUCAACGGUGUGGUGAUGGUGCUAAAAUCUCUUACAAAUCGCCUAUAAAAACUAGCCAAUCCAUGAAAACUCCUAACUUCAGUUGUAGUCUUAGGUGUUGGCCAUUCCUUUAUAGCUUUUAUCUUUUCUUCUUCGACUUCCACCCCGUUAGGACUAACCACAAAUCUUAGGAAAACAACUCUCCCCAUGCAAAAUGUGCACUUUUUGAAAUUAGCAUAUAGUUGUUCCUUUCACAACACAACAAGCACACAAUUUAAAUGUUCUAAAUGCUCAUCUAGGUUUUUGCUAUAGAUUAAGAUGUCAUCAAAAUAAACUACAACAAAUUUUCUAAUAAAAGCACGCAAAACAUGGUUCAUUAAACGCAUAAAAAUGCUCAGUGCAUUAGUGAGUGCAAACGGCAUAACUAACCAUUCAUACAAUCCAUACUUAGUCUUAAACGCCAUUUUCCAUUCAUCACCCUCCCGCAUGCGAAUUUGAUGAUAUCCACUCUUAAGAUCGAUCUUACUAAAAAUACAAGCACCAUGCAACUCAUCAAGCAUAUCAGCUAGCCUAGGUAUUGGGUGACGAUACUUUACCGUGAUAUUGUUGAUAGCUCGGCAAUCCACGCACAUUCUCCAAGUCUCGUCCUUCUUAGGCACCAACAAGACAGGUACAGCACAUGGACUCAUGCUCUCCCAACAUAACAUUUGCUCAUCAACUCCUCCACUUGCUUUUGAAGCUCCUUCGUCUCCUCAGGAUUGCUUCGGUAAGUUGGUCGAUUAGGUAUAACAGCUCCGGGUACAAAGUCAAUCUGGUGCUCGAUGCCUCUGAUUGCUGGCAAUCUACUUGGCAUCUCUUCAGGAAACACAUCGUCGAACUCCUGCAAUAAAGACUUAACCCAACUAGGGAGGGAUGUGUUAGAAUGCUCAAAAUUGAGGAAGGACUCCUUGUACACUAACAAUAUCAUUUGCCUAUUAUCGCUCAUAGCCUUUUUCAACUCACUCUCUUUUGCAUAGAAGUUGACCGUUGGCUUUUCUCUCCGCUCAGCUGACUCUUUUUCUCUCCUAUUAACUGAUUCUUUUUCUCUCCACUCAUGUGGCUUCUCUUUCUUUUCUCCACUCUCAGCCACCUCACUAUUUUCUCUCUUAUUGAUGGUUUCACUAUUGCCUCUCCUUUUUCCUGACUCUCUUAUUAUCUCGUCUUCCUCACUUUUCAGCUUGAUUUGAUCUCCAUACACUUGUGUCAGUGUUAAUGGCGCAAGAGUAAUAGUCUUCCCAUUCUUGACAAAGCUAUAACGAUUCCUAUAUCCAUCAUGUGUGAACCUUCUAUCAUAUUGCCAUGGUCUUCCUAACAAGAUAUGACCCACAUGUUUAGGUACCACAUCACAUACUACUUUGUCACUAUAACUCCCAAUUGAGAAAUCAAUUAAAACUCUUUUAUUCACCCUAACUUCCCCACAUUCAUUCAACCAUUUCAACUUAUAAGGCCUAGGGUGUCUUAACAAUACUAAUACUAAUUUCUCAACUAAAGUUGUGCUAGCUACAUUCGUGCAACUCCCACUAUCAAUAAUCAUACUACAUACCUUAUCGUUGACGUAACAACGUGUGUGGAAUAUAUUUUCUCGCUGCUGCUCCAAAUCAUCCACUUUGACUUGAGUGUUAAGAGCUCUCCUUGACGCCAAUGAUUUUCCAACAGCAAACUCCAAUUUUUCUUCUUCUUCAACGUCCUCCAAUGCAGGCAUGUCGUCAAACUCUCCUUCACUUUCACUCACCACCUCUCCAUUAUCCAACAACACCAUUACCCGUUUAUUUGGGCAUUGAGAAGCAAUGUGCCCUGAACCCAAGCAUCUGAAACACUUGAUGUCUCGAUUACUUGAUGGUUGUGAAUCUGUUUUGGGUGUUGUUUUGCUAGCACUUUCUUCUUUCCCUUUCCGCCACUCAUUCAUACCUUUAGGUCUAGCUUUAUCACCUUUGUUGUUGUUCCACCCUGGCUUCCAAGAUGGAUUAACACUCGAGGUUCCUAACGGCUGCCUAGCUGCCCCUUUCCUCUUCAAUUGUCUCUCUACCUUCAUAGCCACAUGCAACAUGUCUUCCAACUCGACAUAAUGUUGCAACUCCACUACAUUGACAAUUUUCCUAUUCAACCCAUUCAAGAAUCGUGUCAUGGUAGCCUCCUGAUCCUCCAUUACAUUGGCACUAAUCAUGAGUAUUUCCAUCUCCUUAUGAUAGUCCUCUACACUUUUCGACCCUUGAUAUAGACCUUGCAGUUUUUGAUGGAUCUCUCGGUAAUAGUGGCUAGGAACAAACCUCUUUCUCGUCAAUGACUUCAAUUCCUCCCAAGUGCUGAUUGGUCUUCUCCCACUCCUACGUUGUGAAGUAAUCACUUGAUCCCACCAUGAAAUUGCAUAGUCACUGAACUCUAAAACUGCUAACUUCACCUUUUUCUCUUUCGAGUAGUUAUAACACUCGAAGAUCAUUUCAACCUUCCUUUCCCACUCCAGGCAGGCCUCGGGAUCACUCCUUCCUUUGAAUGAAGGAAAGUCAUUUUUAUAUUUCCCAAGUUUCCAUCCAACUCUUCCCUGCAAUCAUUCCGACCCCAUCUGUCGAACCUAUCGCCUCUAUUCCUCAUCCUUUCCAUCUCAACACCGUGAAAUUCAUCUUCGCCCAUGUCACUCCCAUAUCCAUACUCCUCUCGUCUUUCCCUCCUAGGCUCCCAUCUAUCUGGUCCUCUGGCAUUUGAUACAUCCACUCGAUAUCCCCGACUAAGAUUAGUCACCGAUGUAUCUAAUCUAUUCAUCCAAGCCUCCUGCUUCUUCAACCUAUCUCUCACAUCUCCAAAUGCCCUCUCAAACCUUUGCACUAAAUCGUCCGAUGCAUUGCUAUUAUUGUCUUGUCGGCUUGAGUUUGAUUCUGCCCUUUCUGACAUCCUAACACUAAAGACUUUAUUUUACUGCCUCACCAAAAGUCACUCGGAAAUAGACAGGGGCUUUUACCCUCUAUUAAGCUCAUCUCUCUGCCUUUUACCACUCAGUUCUUUCAACAAUUGCUUCUAGGAACAAUCAAUGAACUCAAUCAAUCAUAAAGUCGUGUAGAAUUCCCCAAACCGGAUGGGACUCAAUAAUUGUAACAAAGGACUCAAAGAAAACUUUUAAAGCUUGACUUGAAUUGAAGGAAUGGAAUGAUUUAAUGUGUCCAAGUAAUUUAGAAACGAUAAUGAAUAAUAAAAGUUGGUAUUUGACGGAUCAAUAAUAUUUAACAAUUUUUUUUACUGUACGGAUAAACAGUACUGUACGGAUGAACAGUAAAUUUUUUUUUUAAGAUCCGAAAAUCAAUAACAAAACCAACAAAGAAAACGAAAACUGAUUUGGGCGAAAAUUAAGCCCAGAAACGGAAUUUGAAGAUUUUUUAUGGAACUUUUGGAUCAAAAGAUCAAGAAAACCUUCUGGACACAAGAACACAAGGAAUUGAAAAAAAAAAUUAGAAAACUAAGGAUAUAACCAGAUUAAAUUGGAGUCAAAGCUCUGAUACCAACUGAUGCGAAACCCGUAGUAACGAAAACUACGAAACCCACAUCGAGAUUGAUGCGGAACCCAAGAACGCCAAUACUAACCUGAUUUUGGAUCUUGAACCCCAAGAAUUGAACCAAGAAACCCUAGAUUAGCGAAGAACCUAAAACCCCUUGAUUACAAUUAAAAGAACCCACAAUCCAAUUGAUUAGAAUGCCACAAGAAGUUGAUUCUUGAUAAGUUCCAAAAUUGUUCAAGAAGAACAAGAAAUUGAAAGAACAAUUCUCUCUCUAUAAUAUUAAGCAAAAGUCAAAAGUUCUUACAAUGAAAAGUAAUCUCCUAUUUAUACUAAUGAAUAAAAAUGUUCAAAACCAUCAAAUUAUAGUAAUAAUUUGAUUUCAUAAGAAUUCUAUCGAAACUAGGAAAUUCGGCCAAAAUUAGAAAAUUCACCAAUUUUUUUGGCUUGUGCGGCCGCAUGGUGUAAAUCCAUGCAGUCGCAUAGUUCAACAGGAAUUAGUCUUUUAGUUUUCGGUAUGCAUGUAUGCGGCUGCAUGUGGUUUUGCCUGUGCGGCCGCAUGUUGUUGUCUUCAACCUCCGCUUUCGUCGCUUGAUAACAAAUUGAUCCAAGUUGAUUCGAUCUUAGACCCGAACAUGAAAGUUACUCCAUUUUGAGUCCCGAACAUGGUUUCAUCAAUGGUUUCUUGAACGAGCAAUCCCAUCGCUUGUUUUAUUUGCUUUGCCCUUGAUCUCAUCAUUGGUCCACCAUCGACUAUCAAUGGGUUUCGUCUCGCACUUGGCUUUGUCGGGUUCGACUCCUGGAUCAUAUCAAAACCUCACUAGGUUCAUAACUCGACCCCUCAACCACAUUCAUCUCACCUCUCACAUUAUCCAUCUGCUUAUCCUUCUUCUUGGGACAGUCCCUGAUAAAGUGUCCAAACUUAUCACAACUAUAACACCGUUUACCACUAGACUUUUCCCGUCCCUUGCCCUUCUUCUUACUACCUUCAUCACUCGAGUGACUACUCGAAUUACCAUUAUUUUGAGCUCUACCCAAAUUCAUUUGCUUAAAUUUCAUCUUACUCCUUAUCAUGUGUAAUUCACUAUUCCUAUUAUCUUCAUUUUCAGCCAUAAUUUUCAUUUACUUACUCUUGAGUGAGUCUAUUACAAUCUCAUGUGUUAAGGUUCCCCUACCAUACUUAAUUGCAUUCUCAAAUUCUCUAUAUAAAUUAGGCGUGGAAUUAAGUAAGAUAAUUGUUUUAUAUGUUUCAGACACAUUUUCAUCACAAUCAACAAUGUCUUGAACAAGUUUGUUAAAAGUAUCAAGAUUGUCGUCAAGAUCCUUUAAAAAAUCCACAAAUCCAUUUUAAAAUUGAAAAAUCUUUCAAGCAAGUACAACUUAUUAGGAGUGGAUUUAAACAAAUAUAAAUCCUCCAACUUUUUCUAAAGUUCCUUUGUAGAAUCUAGUUUCUUAACUUUUUUCAAAACAGUGUCAGAUAAAUGUAAAAUAUUCAAAGUGGAAGCAAGUUCACUGUAUUCCUCUUUUUGUAUUUCUAUCAAGUUUACGAGAAAAUUGCCAUUUAUGGCCCUUGAAACUUUUUGUUGAACUAAAAUCUCCUUCAUUUUUUUGUUGCCAAAUUGAAAAAUCUCUUUUGCCAUUGAAAAUACCAAGUUCGAAAUUUGAAGACAUUUUUGGAAAAACAUAACAACUAAAUGCACAGAUAGGUCACACAAAGUAAUCUUACGGCCGCAAUAUACACCGUUUUAGAUUCCCAGGGUUUUAUAAGAUUCGCGAUAUUAGAUCAAGGGAAUUUUCAAACAAGUUAAGUCUAGGUGUUCUAACUGGAUAAUUAAUGCAACACGUAUGUUAACAAAAAAUUCAAAUUUUCACACAACGCAGUUUCACGCAGUGACUAUAUGAUAAUUACAGUACAAAAUCAAUUACCGACUUGCAAUCAACUUUAACCCUUCAAAUAGGGUAGAUAAUUCCUAAAUUUUCUAGCACAAGUAAUGGUUGUCAAGCAAUGACAACCCUCAAUCCUAAUGAUCACCCUACACGAUGAUCUUUUAGUGCAAUAAUGUCAAGGUUUCAGCCAAUUUACCAGAGCAGACUUAUCUGAGUCCGUAAAUUACGAGAAAUGUGAAUUUGUUACUUUUGGACAUUCACUAUUUGCUCUAAAGUCGCCAGUAACCAAUUGAGCAAAAAUGAAUCCCGAACACAUAGGGGCAAAAUCGUCCUAAUUUUAAAGCAGCACCCAAAACUGAAAACUAACGCCACCGCAGGGUCCAUCUCAUCGUCUGGAGAAAACCGCCUAGAGACACCGUCAUCGAAGGAGGCCCCACGUGCCCACACGAGCUGUUUGUCCGACUGCACGCCACCCACUCUGGUACACCUCGAUUUGCUGAACACGCCGACAAUCUUGGUUUGUCCAAAAAGUAAGUAGUUUUACCGAAAAAAGAAGAAACAUAUUUGACAGAAAAAAUGUCAAUUGGACAGAUCCAUUUUCUGCCUUUCUACUGAAUUUCAGUCCAAUUUUCGAUCUAUUUCAGGCUAGAAAUCCACCAACAAUCUUGCUCUGAUACCAAAUGUUGAAUAAUUGACCUCCAAUUUGGUGGAAUUUCAGGCUUAGUAUACCAAUCUCAACCUUAUCAAUACACCCAAGCAAUCACGACCCAAAACCUUUAACUUCUUCCAUACUCUAGUUGCUCAAGAUUUGUAUUCGCUUAUGACACAAAGGGAUGGUGUUUGCAGCCACAAAGGCCAGAGAAGAACAAGAAGAAAAUGGCCAAGGAGAAGCACAAAGCAAGGAGGCAAACUCGGUUCUCUCCCAAACAAGACAAACACACGUUAAUGAUAAAAAAAAAAGAGGUUAGCAUAUAUAAGUUAGGUUAGGUUAAAGUGAUGGGGCCAAGCCCAGUACAAAUAUGGUAAGUGGGCCAACAUAUAGAAGGUAUCCAAUGAGUGUAGAAAAUGGGCUAUGAGUAACACUAAUUAAUUAAGUUGCUUUCAAUGUCUCAAGUAGUCUUAGGGUUGGGUCAUCAGUGUUGGGUGUCGAUAUUUAUUUUAUCCAACAUUGGUUUAACAUUAUCGUCCGGAUUAUUGGGUAUCAAUAUCCAACAAAAAUAAUAAAAAAUCACUGUCUUUAAAGUCGGAUUGCUCAAGAUAUAAUUUCUUAACCUAAUAAUCGUAGUACGUAUAUAACUACAAAAGUGAAACUAUAGUAAAAGAAAGAAGAAAAAAAACUAGGGCAAUUUCAUCAGGAUCACUGGACUUUGAGUAAAAUCUCAAUCGAGUUGCUAAAUCUUAUUUAUCUCAAUUAGGAUCAUUAAAAUUAAAAUUAAAAUAUCACCUCCUGUUACACUACGUCAUCUUUUGUUCCCCAAACUAGCUGAAAUUACUUAGUUUAUAUAAUAACUCAUUUUGGGUACUUACUGAUUUCGAUGCUUUCUAGACGUAACGUAGUGAUUAGUUGGUAAGUCAUGCAAUGAUUAGUUCAAAAAUUCGUUGCAAGAUGUGUUUCUAUUCGAUUUUUUUUAAUCAAUUUUAGAGACGAGAUAUGUUAGACAAAUCCCACGUUUUUUCUUUUCCUUUACCUUAAUCGCAUUUUUCAGAAUGACCAAUUAGAAAAGCAUGAUUUAGUAAAAGUAAUAUUCUAUGCAUAAGCAUUGUUUUUUAGAAAGUUAUUUCAAUCUAUGUUAAGUCAUGUUUAACUUUAUUACAUUAGCAUUAUCUAUUUACAUACACUGAGGUGCGUUGGAGCUAGACAAUUUUCGUUGUUGGUUCAAAAAUUAAGUUAUAUUUUUUUGCUAAACAUUUUGUUGAACACUAAUUUCAACAAUAUUUUGAUCUUUACUCGAAAAUAAAAAUUACAUAUUUAUCUAUAGUUACUUGACAUGGAAUUUAAUAAAUAAAUAUAUGCUAAUCCAUUCCAAAUAAUAAUACAAUUAUAAAAACACAAUCAAUUUCAAUAGACAAAUGACAGUACCUAAAUUCCAUUAAAUCACAAUGCAAAACAAUCAACUAUACGUAAAAAUAAAAAUCCAACAAUGUAAUUCCCGUUGGAGCUGCCUAUUGGCAUUCUUGGUUUGAGCCGGUCAGCUAUGGGUAACCUAGGCUGGUUUACCUCCUUAUGGUCCUUUGCCGGCUAGGAUCACAAGGCGGGAUUUACCUAGUACGCACCUUCGGGUAGCGGCUGCGGGUUCCCUUGUCAACAAAAAAAAAAUAAAAUCCAACAAUGUAUUUUAGUAUUUCAUAAAAUCCAAAACCACUAAGUAUAAGUUAUUGUUCCUUGAGAUCGUAGUCGAAAUUUGAUAUUGACACAUUAUUUUUUUUUUAAAUAUACAAUUUACUGAAAUUUCGUAUUUACAUUGUUAAUGGCUAAACAUAUUAAAAAUACGAGAACUGAAUUUUAUUGAUCAAAAAGCACGAACACUAAUCAAAAGCACAAUAAUUGAGGGCCCAAAUAUAUACCUCCAUAAAAUUGAUAAAUAGAAAAGUUAAGGACCAUAAGUCCAUCACAAAAUAAAUAAAUAAAUAAAUAAUAAUAAUAAAAAAAUAAAAAAUUUCACAUUGUUUGAACAAGUUGUCUUUUAGAAUGUCUCGACUGCUGUUGCUCACCUGAAAUACAAAAUUCAUGUUCAACUUCCGCAGUGUGGUUUCACUUUCGACUUGUAAUGCAUCACAUGAUCAAAACCUUCUUGAAAUUCUUUUUCGAUCUUCUUGUAUUCUUGUUUCAUUUUCAAAAUCUCGCCUUGAAAUUUUGCAGUUUGAUAACUUCUUAAUAAAAUUUUUUCAGAACCUUCGAAGGCCAUUUUGAUUUCCUCCUUGACAUGGCAUAAAGAUUCAAGUCUGUGGUUUAGUUCAUUUAUUAGGGACAAGUUUUGCUCCACCCACGGUGUUAGUUCCAGCUGUAUCUCUCUCAGGUGCUUGUUUAUUACUCGGCAGUCUGGUUUUACGUCCGGUUUAAUGCUUCCUUCUUGUUUCUUUUUCUCAUUAUAUUUUGCUACUUUGUCUCAUGAACCUCGGACUUCGGUCUUGAGUUUCUUGAUUUGCUGAAAUGCAGUGCUAAAUCUUUACCAGAGGUCCAAGUUUUUGUCUAAUAUUGCUUCAUUGUCCCUCUGGAGCUUUGCCUCAAAUACUGAAAAUAGCAGGAUCUUUAUCAAUGAAGACGAACUUGAUUUUAUCUUCUUCAUUUGUAAUGGGAAGAUUGGCAUCAUCAUUCAAUUCAAAAUCAUUAUGUGCACACAAUUUUCCUUGAAGAAGGUUCAAUUUUUGGCGUAAUUAUCGAAUUUUUGCAUUCCUCUUAGCAAUAGCACCCUUCAGUCCUCUCAUUCACAAUGUCGUCUCAAAUUGCGAGUCCUUGUCUUUCUUCUUCUUGUCACCAAGUUUCCGCUUCACAUCUUUGUAAUUCCUGAAAAUUGUAGUAUAUUCCAUUGGCAGAAUCUUCUCUGUCCUCUAGUCCAUUCAAGAGCAUCAACUGCCAGUUUAGAUAUUCUUUCUUCUUGUUAGUAUUGGCAAUUCUGUAGACAAAAUUAAGUCCAAGUUAAAUUAUGUUAGGAGUUUAUUGAGUUGUGACUAAAGUCAAAAGAGUUGGAAUUUGUAGUCCAAAAUGUUCAAGAAGAUCACAUGUGAUAAAGGAAAAUGUAAUUAGCAGUCUAAAUAGUGUCAAAGAGUCGUAUAAAUUAUGUUCCAAAUUCUCAGUUGUAAAUUGCAACGCAUUGUUAAAAAAGAAAACAUUGGAAUUUGGAAAAAGGUGUCUAGAAGAAUUGUAUUCCUUUAAGUUAGCUUUCCAAUGCAUUUUGAAUCAACUCAAUCAGAUAUCGAGAGUGAAAGUUAUGAUGAAAAUACUGCUCAGAUGUCGCUGGCUUGAUGCUCGAGCGACGGUAUUACGUGUUAACCUAGUUCGCGUCUUUCUAGAAUUUUAUUUGGCCCAUGAUACCUAAUUACCUCAUACUAUAAAUACCCAAACCUAACGUGUUUUUUGGUGUGGUUGAUCAUUAUAUUACUUCUUCAUAAUAUCAUUCCAAAAUCCAAGAACACGUUCAAGCAUUGAGAUUAAUCAUUUAAUUCUUGAGAUCAUUCAACCACAACUUUGGGAAAACAUCAAAUUCAUGUAAUCCAAAAUACCAAUUUUCUACACACAUACAGGAAGAUACUUUUUCAAUAACUUUCAGAGGUUGCUGAAGAUUGAGAGAAGUUGGACCAGAAGUAUAGACAGAGUACAAGAAUGAGGCAUUCUUGGUGAUCCACAGGAGAUAGACAAUUUCAUAAGAUUGGGAACAUGCGUGAAUGAAGCAUGUUCCAGUGGGUCGUGGGGAUUGCUUGAAAUUUUGUAGACUGUAUCGUACUGUAAAUUCAUCAUUGUUUAUAGUUGAGUUUUCUCCGUCAAUAAUCUUUUAUGUUAUUUACUACUUUAUUGAUUAUUGUCUGGUUAACAAUUUAGAAACAAUUAAAAAGUAAGUUGUUGCUUUUGAUCGAUAAUUUUAAUUCUGCACGUAUUCACACCCUCUAGGUGAUCUUAGGGUCGAACUAGUAACUUUCAAGUGGUAUCAGAUCCAAAAAUUGAUCCUUGACCAUAUUAGUCUAUAUGAGUUAACAUUAUCCGGUCCUCAUUAUUUUGCAUAUUGGAAGGUUAAAAUAAGAGCUUUCCUUAAGUCUAUGAAUGAGCAUAUUUGGCUGAUUGUAGUAAAUUGUUGGGCUGUACCUUCUAGCACCGUUAAUGGUGUUACCACCCUCACUCCUAUUGUUAAUUGGUCGAAAUCUAAUUUAGAUGAGUGCAAUUGGAAUAGUAAAGCCCUACAUGCAUUAUUUAUUGUAGUGUCCCUAGAAGAAUUUAGGCCUAUAUCUAUGUGUAUGGUUACGAAAGAGGGUGAGAUAUUUUACAGACCACACAUGAGGGAAAUCAUUUUUCAUGCAGGUAUUUCUAGUUAUUAAUUCCCAAUUUAUGCAUUUCAGUGUUUUUAUUUCUAAUUAUAAGUUAAUUAAAGUUUCACGUUCAAGAAUGAAUUUCAUUAUUAACAUCCGUGUAUGCUAAUUAGAAAACAAUUUCACUUAAUUGAAAACUAAAUUAUAUUCAUUUAAUAUAAUUGAUUUGAAAUUCACUGCUAAUAUUCUCGAUAUUAAUUCCAAAUUAAUUAACAUUCACAUUAAUUAAUGUAUUAUAUUUGCCAUUUAUCUUCAUUUAUGCAUUUAUUUGUAAUUCUAAUAUUCACAUUCAAGUGUGCAUUUCAUGAUUUACCUGCAUGUAUAAAAUCAACUAUAUUUAAAUUUUAUUCACAAAUUGGUUAUUAUUUCAUUUCAGUCAUCAAAUAUUUUGUUUUUCUUUCUAACACACCAAUGGAGUGGUUUUAGUUAGAACCGAACCGAAAUAAAAUUUUCGGGUAUUUAGCAAAUGGAACCGUCGGGUCCAAAUAUAAUUAUGGAACCGUUCGGGUUCGGUUCAGUUCGAUUCCGUUCAGUUCUAUACUAUAAUUAAAUUUUUUAACAUUUAUAACAACAUUUUAUAAAUACAACUAAUGACACAUUCAAUGGUUUCGAAAUGUCAGAGACUAGUAGACUAAUUUGUUUAAAUGAUCGCUACGGUCAAAAUUUCGAUUGGCGGAGGUCACAGCGUCGGUCGACGAUUGCAUAGGUUUUGGAUUGCAGCGAGGCUGCGAGAGUCGAGACAACGUUAUGCACUUUAGUGUAGGUGUUUAGGGUUAUUUAGUGGGUUGGAUUUUUGUUCGGCUAAGAAAUGAGACAAUAAAAUAGUAAUUGGGCCAAAAAUUUAGAUUUAGAAAUUGUUAAUUUGUUUAGAAAAAAUUAAAAUUAAAAUAAUUUGAUUUAUUCAAUAUAAAAAAAAAUAGAAAGAUUCGGUUCUUAUUCGAUUUUUCGGUUCUUGGUCUAGAACCGAGAAUCGAACCGUACCCGUCGGUUCUCAAUUCAGAUACCCGUUCGGGUAUUAAUUUGAUAAGAACCGUCGGAUUCGGUUCGAUCGGUUCGAUAGGGGAGAUUUGCCCAGCCCUAGUUUUAGUCAAAUUGAAGCUUGCAAUGACAAAUAAAAAGGGUCCAAGGGUAGACAAUACUCAUGUUAGAGUAUAUAUUCCAUAACAUGUAUUCUUGUAUGGACAGUUAUACAUUGCACUUUGAUGAGUAAUUUCUAUAGCAACUACAAAGGUUUUAAUUAAGUCAAAUACUCCUAAUCAUAUAUAAAAUAUAAUGUUAAAAAAAAAAAAGAUUCUUAUUGAAUAAAUUGAUUUUUGUUAACUAAUUUUCAUAUUCACACAUUUUGAAGUAUUAUUUUCAUAUCACUUACAAAGCAUUUCAAAAUAAUGUGCAAUUCACAUUAAAAAUCAUGUUAUCCUUUCUUCUUCUUCCCCCCCCCCCCCCCCCCCCAUCAUGUUAUCUUCUUUUUUCUUUUCUUUUUUCCUUGCAAGCUGGCCAAAAAACUCGGCAAAAUCGUGUUCGAUUCACCAGUUUCCGAUUGAACCUAAAUUUUAUUGGAUUAUUACCGGUUUUUGUAUAUCUAGUUACGAGACAAAAACCAAACUGAUUACCCAACUAGUUAUGGUUUUUCAAAUUGAUCAGUCUAGUUCGAAUUUGAAAAUAUUGCUUAUAAUGCUCGAAAAUUACAAUAGUAGAGAAAUACAUGAAAAGAAAAUGAAUAAAAGAAAUUUACAAGGUAACAAAUUCGAGUCUGAGAUCUAGAAACAACCAUUUUUCAAAUUAUCCAUAAUAUAAUACAAUUUGUUACCGAACCAUUUUUUAAUUUUACUUGUAAUAAAAAUUCUUAGCUUCACUUUUGCAGUAAAGAAAAGACUAUGAAAUAUAAAAUAAUUUAAUCAAAUAAAUUAAUAGAAAUGUUUUUGUGUCAGGCAAAAAAAGAGAGGGGGCGGGGGGGGUGGGGGGGGGAGAAAUAGAGAGAAAAAGGAGAAAUAAAAAAAAAAAGUAUGAUGAACUUUGACUCACACCAUGUACACUAGUAGAACAGAGUCUCUUUACUCCCUAAAUGUAUGGUCACUUCAAACUCUUACCAUAAUUGUGUUAUUCUUUGCGAAUUUGCCACAAUAAUAUGCCUCAAUCUCGUCUAGGGUAGUAAAUAUAGCUAAAUUCAUAAGGAGUUGUCUCCAAAUUUUUGCAAGAUCUCAACACCAAUCGUUCAAGUGCAUGGAAAUGAUCAUUUGAGGAAUUUCAUUGUCCAAGAUCAUACACAAUAAGUCAAGGAAUUUGAGUUUUUUGGAACUCAUUCCCUCAAAGAAGUCCAAUCUAAUUUCAGAACAUUAAGGUUGGGCAAUGUCCUAAUUAAUGACAUAUUUUCCCAUGGUAAUCUGAUUUUAAAAAGAGUGAGUUGACACGACACAUCUCAAAUCACCCUAGUGGAUCCAAAAUUUGAUGUGCGCCGAUAAUAGAUGCUGACUAGAUGUCAAAUCUAUCACCAAAGCUGACUAUGAGUCAUUUCAAAAAAUGUAUUAAGCCCUCAGGGGCAUAGCCCAGUGGUGCAAAGGACAUGAGUGAGGUUAUCUCACGCCUUGUGGGCAGCCGCAGUGUGGGGGUUCGAUUCCUGAGACAUGAAAUUGGACUCCUUGUAGGCACAGUGUACAUGUAGCUCUUGUUCCCUAACCUGCUGGGGUAUAUCCCGCGAUUUACCUCCCUCACAAAGCUUUAGGGGCGGGGCAGUGAGACCCUCAAAGUUGAGAUUCAGCCUUUUUUUUAAAUGUAUUAAAAUCAAAUACUUGUGUAAAACAUAAUGCGAUGAUCUCAAAUUAUUUACUUCGUACUUCAUCAAUAUGAGUUAUAACACUCAAAUGUCGUGUGGCUCUCAUUCCGAAAUCAUUAAGUUCGUCUAACUAAAAAAAAUCAAUUGCCAUCUGUAGGAAAAUUACGAGAAAAUAUAUGAGCUGAUAGCUCAGUGAGUGAAAAAGUUCGAAAAUAAUUAUACUGUUUCAGUUUUACAUAUUUAUUGAAAAUCGAAUUUAUAUCAUUGAAUAAUUCGCAACAUCAUAUAAUUAUAGCCAAAACAUGAGACAUCCACAUAACAUCAUAAAAUAUCAUUUCAAAUCAUGAUAUAAACAUAAGCUGAUAAUUAUAUUAUAAUCUCAUCACAUCAAAUGUACUGGAAAAAUCCACAAAAAAUGUACCCUCUGACUGAAAUAUGUAAUCUGCCGCUCGGGCUAAGAACUUUGGUCACGGGCCUUUGGCCCAUUCGUGAAUGAAAGCUGACAUCAAGACCUCUCGUAAUCAAUUCUUGAACACGGUCAAGACCUCUUUGUAAACUAUAUGUACACGAUCAAGACCAAUUCCAGGUCAAGACCCCUCCGUGUAGGAUAAAACACGGUCAAUGCCCCUCUGUGAACUAGAAAAAACAUAUAAUCAUUAGUACAUUUCUGACCGAUCUCAAUAUCACAUAUCUCACAUACCAAACAAAUCUCAAUAUCAUAUGUCUUACAUACCAAAUCACAAAUGUGUCGUAAAUAAUCUUUGAAAUUCCUCAUAUAACAUAAUAAAUGGGUUUUCCAUAAUAAUCAUAUAGUGAAGACAUAAUUGCACAUACUUUAAUAAUAUACUCAAUUUAUAAGUAAUUAAUAAAUAUUUAUACUUUUCCACUCACAGUACUAUGUUCGCAAAUCAACUCGGUAAACUAUCCCAAAAUCCGUAUCGUCGUCUGAAAUGUGAUAUAAUUUUUAAAUCAACAAUUAAUUAUUUUAAGUAAUUUCAAUAAUUAAAUAGGCGAUACCCAAACUUAAUCAUUUCAUGUUUAAAUUACUUCUAAAGUCUUUUUAAUAAUUAAAACUAAUUUUUCUUUCAUUUAACUCAACUUCAUGGUUUAUUGUACUUAACACUUUCAAUAAAAUUGAAUUUAAUCUAGCAAUCUAACAAUUAUAAAAUUAAACAUAACUUGACAAUAAGUAACAUUUUAUUUACCUUUCAAAAUUGAGGAAUUCAAGCCUAAUAGUUUAGAUCACUUAUUUUCUAACAACUUGACAAAAUUUUCAAAUUUUUUUCUCUCUUCUCUCUCUCUCUCUCUCUCUCUCUCUCUAUGUGUGAAAUGAAAUGGGUUUUAGAUGACUUUGGUGGUGGUGGUGUGUGUGUCCACCGACUGCCAAUUCGGUUGUCCUUCUUUUUUUUUUCUUUUUUUUUUACUUUAUAAUUUGCAAAAGGUAUUACAUAGCUUUCAAUGAGGAUGAAGGCACUAGUGGGGUGUUCAGGGGAGAUUGGUGGCAGGCUGGUUGGCGCCUGAACAUGGUCCCAAUAAUCAAAAUAUUUGCAUGGAGAUUUUUCUACAGUGAUCCACUAAGAGCCCGUCUGGCAGGGUUUUUCCAAAAGAAGCUUUCGAGGUUCAAAAGUUACUUUUGGACCUGUUUUGCUAAUUUUGUUAAAGAGCUUUUGAUGGUUAGAAAAACUUUUUGAGGAAGUUGGUUCAAUGUGAUUUCUUCUAAAAGCACUUCCGGAAUUGAAAAUGCUUUUAAAUAUUAGUUUUCAAACAAAAAGUAAAAUAGCUUCCUCCAAAAAAAUUUCUACAAGAAACAAAAGUAAAAUCAAAAGUUAUGUCAAACGGACCCUAAGUACAAUCUCCGAAGAAGGGGUGUAAGUCAUGUCAGGUGUUCCCGUUGUGGACUACAGGAAGAUAGCAAGCAUACCCUAUUUAUUUGUUUGAAAUCAAAGGUGAUUUUGAAUGAUUUAGAUGCAGGGGCGGAUUUAAUGGGCGCCCGCCCUAACUGGAUUCGUCGGAGAGAAUUUUUUAUUUUUUGCUAAUAAUAGAUAGAAUUUUUAGAUUAUAUAUUUGAUAAUUUAAAUUAACAACAAACAUUUCUAGUAGCUCAGCUGGUUAGUCCUAUUACUAUUGAAUUAGAGGUCUUGUGUUUGUAACUCUUUAAGACCAAUAUUUUUUAUAAUUUUUGUAUUUCAACAAUUUUUACUAAAACAAAUACAAGAAAGGUGAUUCGAACUUACUACAUUUCUUAAACAUAUUGACCACUUUACCAUUAUGAUACUUAUUGAUUUUUAGCAUAUAAUGUAAUAAAAUAAUAUAUGUUCAAUUGUACUGGUUUAAUGCAAAUAGAAAAAUUUUAACCGGUGUUUUGUCCCUCUUCUUGAUUUUCUUUUUCUUUUUCCUUUUUUCCCCUCUCUAAUCAAUUGUAGGAAAAUUGGCCUUAGUGUCAUAAGAAAUCUUUCAACAAAACUUAUUUAAUUAAUACAAGGUUCCACUUUUCGUACACAAAAAAUCAAUUGGCCUUAGUGACAUAAAAAAUCUUUCAACAAAACUUAUUUAAUUAAUACAAGGUUCCACUUUUUGUACACAAAAAAUCAAUUGCGAAAGUUGAAUCAUAAAAGCACAUAAAAUUGAUAUAAGUACAUAAUGUUAAUAUGAUAAAGUUUGUUUAAUUAACUUUAAUUGCAAAUUGAAUAUUGACAUUUUGUUGAUAUAUAUUGCCUAUUUAAUUGAAAAAUAAAUUAGGGUAUUUUGAAGAUUAUGGAACAAUUUUUUCAUCCAAAAUGAAAGUUCGUACCUAGUUUUAGUUCUAGUGGAGUAUCUAGUUCUUUUAGCUCUAAUCCAUACGAUUUUUUGAAUAUUAUUUAAUUAAAUAUUAAAAAAAUCCCACUAUCAUGGACAUUAACCAUGAUAGUAAGCUUUCAACACUUGCGGUCCUCCCUAGUUGAACUCAACUCCUGGAUUCGCCCCUGGUGGUAGGUGCAAAAAGCAUUUUAAAGGAUACAGAUAAUGAAUAGAAUAGAAAUUGAUAUUGAAGGAGAAAGUUUAUUCUAGCAACGUAUAAUAAUAAUAAUAAUAAUAAUAAUAAUACAUAGGUCAGUGUGUACAGCCAAGAAAACGAUUUUCAAUGAUGGAUCCACGAUUGAAAAUUCGUUUAUAGUACGUUUUUCCUAUAUAGAGCCUAUAAAUAAAAAUAAUAAUAAAAAAAGAAGAAGACAUCUUUGUGUUGAUUUUGUUCGAAAGGCCCGGGUUUUGUCGAUAAAAAAAGAAGAUGGAUUCAAGUAGAGUUUUCUGGAACGUAUCAAUAAGCUGUAGAACAAUGGUAGCGCGUUUGUUUUGGGUACAAAAUGGGAAUGGCUCUUAUCUUAUGACUUGGAAGAAAGGUUUCUCUGUAGAGGAAGGGAAUAUAUAUAUAUAUAUAUAUUACUAAUUAUGUAACUCACUUGAUUAUUACUAUUGUUGAUGAAAUAAAUUGUCCAAGCGUUUUGAGUCGAUGUCGAGUAAGAUCGAUGUGUUUUGCUCAAUAGAUAGUAUCUUCGCCUUUUUUCAUUAAUCUUCUCUAGAGAUAUACAAAACAAAUGUUUUUUUUUUUUGUUGAUAUAAUGACAAUAAAUAAAUUAAAUUAAAAAGAGAGAGAGAGAGAGACGAUCAAUUCAGCUCUGAAUUUCCAAAUCAAAUAUUUGUUUUGUAAGUAAUUUUUCUUGUGUGUUUUUAUUUACCUUUUCAAUGACUUGCAUUUGGGGAUUGAAUUACAUUGUUUGAAUGAAUGGAUUUCACCAAAAUGGGAAGCCUCCAUGUUUAUUCUUCCUUCGACAAUCAUAGCUAGUUGUCUUUGGAAUUUAAAAUGGUAUUGAGGUAUCGGUUGGCGAGUUGAUUUAUACUAAACUUCAAUUUAAUUUUCAAUUUCGCCAUUGUGUUACAUUAGUCACAUGUUGUUCCCCAAACAAAAAGAAAUUACUUAGCUUACAUCAUAACUCAUUCAGUGUAUUAACACUCUCUUGACAUGCUGUAGAGAUUAGUUGGCAAGUCAUAUAGUGAUUACGUGAAAGAUUUAUUGUGCUAUGCCUUUUGAUUAAACAAUUUUAUCAAUAUGAGAAACAACAAGUGAUCAAAUUGUGAAAUUUAUAAAACAAAUUAAAAUGUAACCACUGCAUUUUCUUUUAUAUAUAUAAACUGGCUUAAAGAAAGUCUUGUCAAAUGAAAUCACUGCAUUUUCACCUUCGACUGAGUGGGCACGUGCGAGGCGUCUUUUGAUUCAAAUAUCUCGAUAACUUCGGGAAAGUGCACAUGCACAUUUGUCUAUUCUAAUAUACAACAUAGAAGAAACAUUUAAAAAUUAACAUUGUACUAGUAAAUUGUCAGAGCAUUUACAAUUCAAAGAAGACGUUGAAAGAUUGAAGUUUCGAAAUACCCCAUUCUUCUAAUUUGAUUUACAAAACGACCCCCCAACUAUAGUAAAAUAAAGAAAAACUGGGGCAAAUUCAAUCAGGGUCACUAAACUUUUAGUAAAAUCUCAAUUGAGAUGCUAAAUUUUAUUUUGCCUCAAUUAGGAUCACUAAAUCUCAAUUUAAUUUCUAAUGUCAUCGCUAUAUUACAUUACGUACUAUAUUGUCCGAAAUUGCUUGGUUUACAUCAUAACACAUUUAGUGUAUUUAUUAAUUUCAACGCUUUCUUGAUGUGAUUUAGUGGUUAGUUGGCAAGUGAUGCAGUGAUUACAUGAAAGAUUCUUUCCAUUAUGCUUCUUGAUUAAAUUUAUCAAUUUAAAAAAUGACAAAACUUUAAUAAUAUGAUCACAUAUGAUCAAAAGGGAUCCUCCUACAUUAUUCUUAGUUGGAGGCGCACAAUCAAACUUUGUACAAAUCAAAUUCUUUGUUCUCGAUUUUUGAAUGAUUUAUAUUUGACCCGAGAAAAUGCAAAUUUACAUUUAAAAAAAAUUCUUCAUUAAUAUUUUGAUCGCCAUUUUCAUCAUUUGGAUUUCGAACAGUCAUUUUAUUAAUAUUUUGUCAUCACAAGAAAAUGCAUACUUAUGUCUAAAAAAUAUAGCGUAUUUAAUACAAACAAUCAAUUCAAGUGAUCGAAAGGAAAAACAUAUAAAAAAUAUUCAAUCAAAUAAAUACAAUUCAUUAAAUACAAGUUAAAUUGAAUAUAACCAGUUCAAAUACAUUCUAUGUACACAAACAUGAUAGGAAAAAAUGCAAAUUUAGGUUCUAAUUAAUUAAAAAUUUGAUCAGAAUGUGAAAAUUUAUAAUAGAUGUGAUAAUUUGUUGAAAAAUUAUAGACAAAUUUAAAAAAAUUAAAAGAGUUAAGGUUUUGGUAAAAAAUGUGAGGGAGAGAGUAAGAUAAAGUAAAAAAAAAAAAUUCAAAUUUAUUGUGAUUUACCCUUGUUUGGUGGGAUUAAAAUCAAAUUUUUAAUAUAUUUUGAUAAAAGUUAAAAAGUUAAGAUUUUUAUGAAAUAUGUUAUUAAAAUUAACCGUUAACUUUGAUUUAGAUUAAAAUUUAGAUUUCAAUCGAUACCAAAUAUGACUUAUCCUCCAAAAAAAAAAAACAAAAAAACAAAAAAUACUCGAAAGUUAUGGACCACCUGGGACUCCUCUUAGAUCCGCCAAUGCCCCGAGAUAAUUUGAGAACCCUUAAUAUGAAAAGCCCUCCAUAUACACAUAAUUAUGUAAAAACUCGCUCAAUUAUCCACAAUUUAUUAAUAUUAAGAGCGUGAAUAAUUAUGUCAAAUAUUUUUAGUGAAAAUUACAUGGAUUAAAUGUUUUCAAGAUCUCAAUUUAUAUUUAAGGAUGAUAAGUUUUUCUUUCAAAAAAUCUCUUAUUUCUCUCUCACUACACAGAUACAGCCAUGUACCCCUUUCUCUUUCCCAGUCUCCUCUCUCUCUAUAUACAAUGGCUGAGCAGCGGCGAUGAGCAUGUUCAGAGAGAUGACGACGAGUGUCGUGCAUAGAGCAACAGCUACAAGUGUCGCUCACCCAGCGUGGCACUGAUACGUGCACUCUCCUCGGAGCGGCUAUGGGUGGUGUGUGUUUCCUGUGUGAGACCAAGUGAACGUCGCGCCAUCGCAAGUGAGAUCACGAUUGGUUUGACUAGCUAACUCUUGCCUCUUGUUCCUUUCCUAAUUCAGCCCCCUCGACCGCCGAUUGAGAUUUGUUGUGCGCCGUGGCUGGGACUAUCUGGGUGGGUAUUUUUAGUUAUGUUUUCAAUUGGUGGGUAGGGGCUUUGGUGGUGUUUGGGUGACGGUGUCUUUGUUGGAUCUAGCGGUGACAGAGGUUAUGUUGUAUUUGGCGGUGGCUGUGUUUUUUUUGUGGCGGUGGCCGUGUAUCUUGUUGCUGGCGUUGGUGGAUUUGAAGUUCAAAAUGGUUGUUUGUAGGCGAUGGCAGCAUUGAUUUGUGUGAGAUGGUAAUGUUGUUGUCAGGAGGUAGUGAUGGUUCUGCCAACACUGCUACUGCAGGCAGAGGUGAUAUGGCGGUUAUAAAUGUUGAUGGUGACGACAAAUUAUUUAAUUAAUUAUAAUAAAUAAUUUUGUUAAUAUGUGACAAAUGAAAUAAAUAAAUUGUGGCAAAAAUAAUGUCAUCUAAAAAAAUUUUAAUUUGUGAUCGAUAAUUUGGUUGUAAUUUAUAAAUUUUUUAAUUUAUGACCUAUAAAAUUUUUUAAUUGUAAUUGUAAAAUAAUCUGUAGCAUAAAAAUUCUGAUUUAUGACUGAAAAAUAAUAUGUAACUAAUUAAAUUGUUAAUUUGUGAUCAAAUUAUAUAGAUUUGUGACCUUAAUAUACAUAAUUAAUAAAAUAUAUAAUUAAUUAAUUAAAUCAUAAAUCAAUUUUAAUAAAUAUCUGAGUUUUGGAGCAUUCCCUCACGCUUGGCGCCAAUGAGGUUUUUUUUUAUUUGAGAGAAAAAAGAAGACUGUGCCUAGAAAUUUCAGGACUUGGAGAAAACUUUGUAAUCCCCCUGUCUUCCCCCACUUCCUCGGUUUCAUUACAAGAUGAUUCUUUCAUGGGUGGGCGUGUGAUACGAGUUAUUUCCUCCCCCUUUCUUUCCUCGUUUGAACCUCGCCCUUUCUCUAAUUCCAACCGGAGCGAUGUUGGGAACUUGCACUCCUGAUAACAAAAGCUGGAUUCUUCCUCCUCUGCCCAUGAAUCCCUUCUCUCUCUUUCUAUUCCAAUAGUCUUAUGCGGUCCUCGAAAGAAGAGCUUUCUCCCCCCCGGAGGCUUUGAGUGAGUCUAAAAGGAGAAAAAGAAAGAGCUGCCAUUAGUACAACCAUACUGAGAUACCGCCCGUACAUAUAAGAAUAUAGUAGACAAUAACGGGGGGUGUCCGCCCCACAAUUCCUAAAUCCUAUUCUGAAACAUUUGUUCUUAUUUUUGAAAUAGAUCAUACUUAACCUCUUAAUUAUGAAUUUUUCCCAUACAUUCAUCAAUAGUUUUCUACAGGGGCAUGGAAAAUGGGUUGUGGGUCAUUCGACCGUAGACGACAAAUCAAUUUUGGUUCUAUAUUUUUCUUUAUUAUUUUCAUAUGUACAUGAAACAGUAACAACUAUUUCCUAUAAUAAUAUUGAAUAUCACGAACUUUUAUAUAUAUAAAAAAGUCAAAUAAUAUCAAGUCUGAAAGAAGCACUAUUUAAUUUCUCAAAACAUAAACUUAUAAUGAAAAUGAACAGGGGAAAGCUAAAGAAACGAGGUGGAGAUCAUAGUAAAAAAAUUUUAAAUAACGUAGAAGAUAGUUAGAAAUGAUAUGGUGGGUUGUUUGGUAAAAACAUGUUUUCUAAACUUGUCGCAAUUUUUAAUAAGAGACACAAAAUUAAUACAUAAAAUUUUUGCAGUUCACCUCAUGUCAUCGGUCAACCUUUUUUCGUGAAUCAAUGUUUUGUUCAGUUCAUUUAGAGAACGAGUAGAUUAACUGAUCGAUUAAUCAGCCAAUUCAAAUCAGGCUUAACAAUAAUGAAUUAGAGGUGUAUGUUUUCUAUGACGAAAAUAAUUUAUUAUAUUGGAUUCAGAAUUCAAUAUUAUUAAGAGCUGUUAUUAGUGGGCAAGUAUUAAAGGGUAAAAUGUUAUUAUAAUGACGCAUAUGAACGAUUUAGCUGCAAUAGGCAUUACUCAUAAUAAUUGACCUAGAUUUCUUUUCAUGUUUUCAAAAUGAAGUUCGACAUUUUGUUAUUUAUAUCAUAUUGUUGUGUCUUCACAAGUGUGUAGGGUAAAAUGUUAUUAUAAUGACGCAUAUGAACGAUUUAGCUGCAAUAGGCAUUACUCAUAAUAAUUGACCUAGAUUUCUUUUCAUGUUUUCAAAAUGAAGUUCGACAUUUUGUUAUUUAUAUCAUAUUGUUGUGUCUUCACAAGUGUGUAGGGUAAAAUGUUAUUAUAAUGACGCAUAUGAACGAUUUAGCUGCAAUAGGCAUUACUCAUAAUAAUUGACCUAGAUUUCUUUUCAUGUUUUCAAAAUGAAGUUCGACAUUUUGUUAUUUAUAUCAUAUUGUUGUGUCUUCACAAGUGUGUAGGGUAAAAUGUUAUUAUAAUGACGCAUAUGAACGAUUUAGCUGCAAUAGGCAUUACUCAUAAUAAUUGACCUAGAUUUCUUUUCAUGUUUUCAAAAUGAAGUUCGACAUUUUGUUAUUUAUAUCAUAUUGUUGUGUCUUCACAAGUGUGUGAGUAUCUCGAGUUGGUCACAGCAAUACAAACUUCCAAGUAAGACACGAGUACAUUUGGAUUCCAAUGGAUAAGAAAAUGUUAAUUUAUUUUUGCUUAAAAAGCAUUGAAUACUUAACUUUACUUGCUUGACAAAAUAAAUUAUGCUACUCUUGUGUGGGUUAUGAGUAUCUCUUUGAGAUAUAAAAGAGUGACAUUAUUGAUGCAUCAUUAUCUCGAGACAUAAAAUUUGUGAAUAUUGGGAACAUAUGGUUAACAGGAUAUGAAUCUAUAACUUUCACAGGAGAGUUGAAUAUCUCUUAUAAGAAUUUUAAUCUAAUCACUCAAGAAUUUACUACAUUAUCAUAUUUGUAUUGAUUAUUUCAUUAAUGGAAAAAGUCACUUAAUGUUACAGAUGUGAGUCGAGGGUUAAAAUGUGUUGGGCCACAAUAGUGGACUAACAUAAAAAUAAACGAAAUGGAAAUUUUCGUAAUUUUGCAAGACUUGAAGGCUAUAUUUGCAAAUUAUGACUAAAUAAACCAACCUUUUUGCCUUUUCCAUACUCAACCUCAAACUCUAAGCCUAGCCAAUCAGUUAACUAGAGGAAGAGAAGUCAUCAAACCUUAAUAUUUCAGCGGUCCGUGGUCCGAUUAACUCUUGAUGUCGAACAAAAGAUUCAGAACCAUUGACUUUCAAAUCCACAAGUUUAAAUCAAGAUGCCUUUGUUUAGUUGAGAGAUAUAACCUUCUAAACAUUGACAAAAUUUGGUGGAAUAAUUCUUCGUUGAAUUUAAUUUGGUAUCUCCAUGAAUUCAUCAUUGAAAUUUUUUAACCGUUGGAUGCCUCGAUUUAAUACUUGGGCCAAAUCUUUUGUUGUUGUGUUAAACGAGAUUCCAUCUUUUAUGGAUGACUAGUUUUGUGGCCAUGCAAUGCAUGGCUUGACUUUUAUUGAAGGUAAUAUUAGUGCGUUGAGCAUGAAGAGUUCAAGAGAAAGAUAUGCGAUGAACGAGCUUUUGAGAAGCAAAGAGAAUAUUUAACUGGUGUGUAAGGAAAUCAAACAAAAACAAGACAGACAAAGAGCUAACCUAUGAAAAAAACGUAGGGAAAAUAUGUUACCAUUGAACAUGAAAUAUCGAAAAUAGUUCAAAACAGGAAACUAAAAUAAUAAGGAAACAAAUGGGAAAUGCAAACAUGACAAGUAGGAAAGAAUUUAAAGAAUAUAAAAAAGUCCUAUUCGUUAGCUUUCUUUUUCCAUUUAGGUAUAUAGGGAAAAAAAACUGAUAAAGUGGUAGUGUAAUAAGCUGCUAAGAAUAUGGGAGGGAAACUUUCAGUAAUCAUUUCAAUCUUUCGAUACCAAAUUCAAAAAAUAUAUAUAUAAUAAAUAAAAAAUGCUUCAACUGAAUAUUUAAUUGAAUCCAAAAAUUUGAAAUUGUUGAUUUACUACAAAAGGCAAACUGUGUACCUUUACGGAAGGAUCAAGUUUUCUAAAUACUAUUUCUGUAAAUGCAAUUGGAGCCACAGUCCUAUCCUCCUUUGCUAAGAAUGGGCUUCCACUUCCAUUUCAACGGGAAGGGAAGUUUUCUAAAUAUUUGCUACCUGUGAGAAUAGGAAAUAAGAAACGGCUAACAUAAACGAGAGAUUCAUUAAUCAAAAUGCCCGUAUGUGACUUGACAUGAAGAAAAAUGUUCCUUUAAUUUUAACAAACAAUAAAAAAUACAAGCCUCACCAGGAAAAACACAAGCAAAACCAUCAGCCUUUUCUAUUAGCUCAUCAAUAGGCAAAGCAACAAAAGUCUCAUCUUUCUCAUGCCCUAAUAAUGCCGAUGAUGGAUACAUGUUGGUUUCCAUCCCCAGACAACGUCACGUUUCUUUUCCUAUUGCUAACUGAUCACCUAGCAGAGAUUGAAUACAGCUGUUGAGACAUAAAAAUAUAUAGAUUAGGGUAACUCUCAUUUAAAAUUGGAAUAAGAUUUCAGCAUAUAGCUGAAUGCUAUACAUAAGCGUUUCUACUUAAGAAGUGUGAAAUUUGUCGUCCAACAAACAAGGUAUAUGAAAGAAAUUGCUUUUGCUAAAUUGCUGUUAGCUUAGCAUGUUGACACAUUUUGUGAAACAAAAUCAAUUUUCAUUAAGUUUUUAAAGUUUCAGGAUGGCAGUAUUGAAUCACAAGCAUCGUUGGGAAUCCAGGUGCAGAACUUCUUAAAGUAUAUGCUUGAGGUCGACAUUUCUCGGAAAAACUAACUCUACAAUUUUCAAUUAAUAUAGGCAUUUAAAAGGCUUAAUAUUGUACGAGUUUAAUACUUUAAUUUGCCUAAAAUUAGAAGACUUCUUCAGAAAAUUCGAAAACUAAUAACUGGAACCAUGAAUGUGAGAAGACAUUACUAUUCAACAUUGCAAGAUGCACUAAUGAAGGAGUGGAUAAGCACAUUUUGGCAUGGAAAACAACUGCACCCUAUUGCAAUUAAUAAUAACAGUAAAAUCUAAUUAAAUCCAUAUGAAUGAUAUGACAAUGAUAUUCACAUGGAGGCCAAUUAGAGAUGGCAAUUUGAACCGUCAAAAUCGAAAAUCGCGGUUAACCGAACCGAUUUGGGGGGAAAAAAACGAACCGAUGGUGCAAUGGAGCGGAUAUGGUUUUGAUUUUCAUGAACCGAUUUGUAUUGGUGCGGAUAUGGUAUUUACGUCGUAAAAUCGAAAUCAAACCGAUUACCCGCUAAAAAAAAUCAGAAAAAAAACAAUUGAAUUGAUCAUGGGCUUUACACUACUUUUCUAUCCAGACCAAAACAAAAUCCCUCCCCUCCUCAUUACAUCUACCUGACUAAUUCGGCCAGCCCACUUACCAUUAGCCCAUAACAGUAUUAGUAUGACAGUACAUAAAUGCAAACCCUCCUCUCCACAAACCACAAACUCACGCACGACUCCACUGCCUCUACGGUCCAAGUCGUCGUCGCCUCCGAAAAUUUGUUACAUUUGUUAGGCAUUCUAUUACUGCUGAUCAUUUAAAAACAGAGUUCGAUGUUUUUCUAGACGCGCCAGUAUUGCCAAGGAUGAAUAGGAAUCAACUUUGAAUGCUGAUCUAUACUAGUAAGACUUGUAGGGAAAAAUGAAUCAAAUAACUUCGAUGCACAACAAUUAAGAAUGAAAGAAAAGUUUAAUAUUAUUAUAUUUAUAAUAUUGUUUGUUAAAUUUGUAUUUUACAAUUGAAAAUUAGGAUAAUGUUUGCAUUUACGUUUGGAAUAUUAUUUGAUAAUGUUUGCAUUUUCGUUUGGAAUAUUGUGUUUUUGUUUUCAUUGACUUUUUUCAUAAAUUGUUUUAUAUCAAUUUCACGGAUGAACCUAUAAAAAAUAAUUUAUUUUCGUGGUUAUUAACCGAAUGGAACCGUGCCGUGCCGAACCGAACCGAUUUACGUGGUUAUGGUGCGACUAUGGUAUGGUUAAAAAAUUGUUGGUGCAGUUAUGAUUUUCGCCGAACCGACCCAUAACCGAACCGUUGCCAACCCUAAGGCCAAUAGUGAGACCGGCUACAUACCAAGCCAAAAUUUCCAUCAAAUGAACUCAUAAAAACAUGCAUAACUUUCUCCAAAUUUUUGCAUGUGCGUGAAGAUAAAGAUAGGCACCUAUCACAGUUCCAACAACCCUUCGUGAUGAAGAAGACCUCUUCUUGAUUUACACAAGACAGAUGAUACGCUUUGGGGCAACCCCUGGAAACCAAUGCAAGGCACAAAUAUUGAUAAGCAUUACGAACACAAAUAGUCAAGAAUAUAUAAUUUAGAAUACUGGUUUUAUUACUUUUUCAACUUAGAAUUCUGAAGGUUGAACACAUUUUUUAGAACUUAUUGGCGAUCACAUAGCACAAGGUGCCCCAGCAUCAAAACAACUUUCCUCUCCUACCUUCUUUCUAACUGAAGCUUUUGGUGUGGCCUUACACCUCAAAAGGAAUUUUUGAAUUCCUCGCCCUAAUCCAACUUCUAUCUUUGUAGCUUUAUCAAGAUGGUAUGUAAACACCGUAUUCACUAUGUAUGGUUGAUCAUCUCCAAAUAUAGGAUCACAAAUAUUGUACCUUCAAAAAAAUAUUUCUUGGUUAUAUUUCAGAUUUGUAUUUACCAGUUUGUCUUAAUAAGAAAUUAAAAUUCAAAAAGAUUAGUAAACAACUGAAAGAUAUAAAGAUAAAUAAUAGUUCAGAUGUACACAAAAUAAUAGUAUUAAUUUAAAGUUAGUAGAUGCUCCUACUAUAUAUGUAUUCAAAGUCUACAUAUUCCUUGAGUUUAUGUAACGAUACUAUAAUCGAUAAUUUGAUUUUUGUUCUCAACAAUUGAAUUUCCUUCUGCAAGGAAGUAACAUUAGUGUGAAAUUUUGAUUAUUAUUAUUUUUUUAAACACUUUAAAAUACAAUUUAAAGCCAAAUUACAUAUCAAGUAUAAAUCAUAAGGUUCACGUUCCAUCAAAACAAAUAUGUGGUUGGAAUGUUAGCUAUAAAUGAUUCUCUAAUAAUUUCCUCGAUUCUUUUUUACUUUGCUCUUCCUGACUUCGUAUGGCUUGUGCUGAGCUUAUGAUAUAUACAUUUUUCCAGAAAGAAAACAUUUGUUUAAGCUAAAAAAGUUCACUUAUAAGUAAAUAAGUUUCAAAAUAAGAUUUUUCUUUAUUCAACAAAAUUUGAAAUGAGUAUGUUAAUUUUGAAAGCACGGUAACAGUUACUUUCAAAAUAAGUAUUUUUUUUUUUUUUUUAAUGAUUUCAAAGUAUUUUAUCUUAACAUGUUUGGAAACAAGCAACUUUCUCCUUUAUGGCCAUGCUAUACCUGAAUAUCAUCACCACCUAGUAAAUCCAAUUUGUAUAUAAUUCAAAUGAAGUAUUGAGACCAUUUGACAAACUGGAUAUUCCAACCUAAGAAUGCAUGCUGCAUCCAACAUCAUAUUGGAUAAUUUUGCAGCACAUAUUACAAUAUUAGAGUGUUUAUUUAACUUAAGUUGCUUCAGGUCUUCAAUGGUUAUAAGUUGAACUAAGAUUUCCGUUGAAGUAGAAUAGUUUCUUCUGCUCCUCGUUAGACCUACACAAGUAAUAUCCUUUUACUAUAACCAAUUAACGGUCUUACUAUAAUCAAUUAACGGUAAACGAAAACAAGAAUUAACCAUAUAAUCACAACAGCACAAGUAGGAGUCAAUCCAUUAAUGCAUAAUGAUUGAUCCGGGUACCAGGCCCAAACUUUAGCAUUCAAGGAACCUUCAUCAGGCCACACCUUUUUUCUCGGAAGUAUUUUGUCGAAAAAAAGUUAUAUAAAUCCUAUAGUAGUCUUGAAACAAUUGAAUUUAGGUAAUAAUGCACACUUUUUCAGGACGCUAGGAAAUAGUCAAAAAGUUGUGUAAGAAUAUACAAGACGACCCCCAAUAUCAUAUAAAAAUCCAUUUAAACAGAGCUCUACACUGCUAUGUCAGUGCUUUGCUUUACAGCAACACACUGAUUCAAUGCAUCUAAAGCCUAUACUUGAACUCAAUAAUUCAACAUUACCAGAUCUAUACCUCGAUUUUGGAUAAUUGAGGAGAAUCGAUAAUAAAAAAAUAACAAUAAUAAUAAUAAUAAAUAGAGGUAAUAUGCAGGGUCAUGCCAUGUGGAAGGCAAUCUAUUGAAUGAAAAAGGAUGGAUUGAUGAACCAAUAAACAUUAUAAUCCCAUACCUUGAAAUACUGGAUGUCAAAAGAUGACACGGCAGGCUUGCUUUGUCCGAUGAAGAGGACAACCAUUAAGUUGAGUGUAUUUCUCCACAGCAUCAACAGAUGCCAAUGUUGAGGGUAUCUGAAAUUAUACAAAUAUAUGAAGCCCGUGAGAUUUGUAGGAAAGAAUUUUUAAUAGCUAAACUAUAAGACAUGGUAAUACCAUUUAACCGUGCAAAAACUCUAUAUCACUAAAAGUAUGACCUUUCGCUUUUUCCUUAGAUGUGAAAGAGCAGCAUUAAAGUCUGAAAGCUUGGAAAUGAUAUUAUUUGAUAUUCCAGGACGGACCUUUUCCCCAUCUGGACCCAUGUCAUCAUCCCCAGCAGUUGCAAACAAAAUAGAGUUAUAUAAAUCAGCAAACACAGUAAAUAGAAUUACUCUACUUGUAGAGAAGUCAAGUACCUCUUUUCCCAUUGCUUAAGACAGCAUUAUUAACUGCAUUUGGUGCUGCUACUGACAUGGGUAUCUGUCCUUUUACCUGUGCUAGUAAUGCCACUGCCUCGUCCCUUUUCUUAGCCUUGUAACAACAUUACAUAUGUACAAUCCAUAAACAAAUAUUUAUAACCUCUUCAAAAUUGAAAUUGGAAAUAUUUGUUUAUUCGUAGCUUAACCAAUAGGAUAAUUUGUCUUACAAAUACACAUGUCCUGCUCCAUUAUGUAUAGUUUAUCUCAUUCACACUUGCAAUUGAAUCCACCUCACUUGUUCUCAAAACUACAUCCAGCACAUUGACAGGGGCAAAUACAAUGCACAAUUUUUUUAUUCCUCAAAAAAUCAUGAAAAAUAACAUAACCCAAUUUAAGUAAUUUCUUACUUUCCCUGAAUAAAUUAAGAAAUAAAAUUGUGUUUAAUGCAUCAACUAAAAAAAUCACAAAAUCAAAUAAAAUAGAGCUGAUAAAUAAAGAUUUCACAGAACUACCAAAACCGGAGAUUAUUUAUGUUUCCAGUUAUUGUAACUUACUCGAGGAGGUAUUUACGCACGAGCAUGUCUAGGGAAGUCUGAAGCUCAAUCGAGUACAGAAAGAGCUCUGCGUCGUGAGAAGGCUGUAAAGAUAGUAGUAUGCUCGUCACUUGCUUCAAGGAGGACAACUUUACAGCCGAAUCUCCAUGGUUCUUCGUCGAAGUGAAGAGAGGAAACGCGUGCUCCUGCGCGGGUCAAGCCAUGGAAUAAGUGAGGCCUUCUACGUAACUAAAUUCGACUUACCUGGAUGAGGGAGAUUCAGGGAUGACGGCCUACAAAUAGCUUUGGAAGAUUGAAGAUUGAAAACUAUCAAAGAAGAAAUGGAGAAAACACUGCAAGGGUUUGCGUGAUAAAUGAAUUCAAAAGUAAUAAGAAAUAUCUACGAAAAAGUGAAGAGAGAAUGUUUUAGCCCUAAUAAGCAGUACGAACCAGUUACACUUUCGAGUUCCAUUUCUUCAUCCUGGGUGUUUGAAACAAGAAUUUUUCCUCAGCCAUGAGAGAAAAACGGUAAGUGAAAGAGAAGGGAAGCAGUAAAAGAUUGAAAUGCGUGACAGAAGUGAACCAUUAAACCUUUUACAAAAGAAGAUAUUUAAUUAACACUAGAAAAUCCGUUCUUGAACAAUAGAAUCUGGAUAGGUGUGAAACUUAGGUCUCAUGAAUGAACAGUGAUGGGCUCAUCCUCUCUUUUAGCCCCCAUUUUCUGGUAAUCAAAAUGAAUGGAAUAAUAUUUUUUUUUAAAUGAACAGUUGAAAAAGAAGGAAAAUAUUUCGAUUUAUGUGUAAUAUUAUUUUAUAGAAAAUUGUGUAGUUAAAAUAUGAGAAAGAAAAAUAAAAUGUAAUAAAAUGAAGUUUAAUGGGAGCCAAACGAGGGCUUCAUUAGUGUAGUGAUUUAUUGUUUGUGUGCCAAGAUUUUAUGUCCUUGAUAGUGUUCAUUAAAAAGAGCAUUGAAUUCCCAUGGUUGAUUUUUACCCUUUGGUUGACAAAGGUUUUUCCACGUAAAAGAAAUCUUGUGCGGAUUGUGUUUAUUAUCAACAUGCAAUAACAUGUUUAGAUAGAGUUUAUUACGUGAUUUAAACAAGAAGAGAAAGACAAAUUUCCACUCUUUUCACUUAAAACCAAGACUAUAUCAAAAUCUAGCCGACUUGAAAUUUUUAUUGUUACUUUCCAAAAAGAUACAAUUAAUAAUAUAGGCUCAAAACAACAUCAUAUCCCUGCACACUAACGUCUCAUCAUCUAGCUGAGAUUGAAUUUUCAAAUAAAACAAGACGAACUUUUUCCAAUCAUAAAAUUAGAAACAUACAACUAUGACUACCUCCAAAUUUUUACUCUUGAAAAAUACAUCUCAAGUCCAUCAACAAAGAGGAAAAAUUUCACUAAAUUAUGUCACUAUUUAGAUGGCAAUAUCACAUAAAUGAAUGACUGUAACCAUACAAAAUUGAAGACUAAUGUGUUGUGCAAAUGUCUCCAAAUUUCAAGUAGAUUGGACCACGAUUCACUGAGUACCGAGGUUUGAUCAAACUGUGCCAACUGUGAUUUUGGUUCUCUAGUUUUGCCAGUGGUGCUUUAUUUAUGGGUGAAUUUGAACUCCAAAUCACUCUUACCAAAUGGAAGACAAAUAAAGUUAUGGUUCUUAAAUCAUGUUAGCCUAAAUUACCUAUGUAACCCUUCACGUCUUGCAGAAUAUCAAAAGUACCAUUCAUUAUAAAUUAUUAUUUCCCACUAAUACUUUUUAUCCCAACAAAUAAACAAUUUUCAUUAAACUCCAUUGCCAACCAAACAAAAGUUGUAUUGAAUGCAGAGAUUAAACUAAUCUGUCUCUCCCUGUUAUGACUCAGCAUUUCAACUUAUGCCAAUCUCCCUGCCAACUUAUCUAGCUGCACAAAAGAAAAAGGAAAUCACAACUAUCUAUUUCUCCUUUUUUCCAACAAGAAUGAGUCAAAAAAGGGAGAUAUCGAAACUGAGGAAGUCAGACAAGAGUAGAAGCGAGCCAGGUGAUCUAGCUGUUCUGUGUAUUGGCUUCUCUUGCCCUGGCUUGUUCAACCCGCACCUCUGUCUCGAAUAGCCUAUCCCCCAUAUUCUCAUUUGUCACUGCAUUCUCAUUGUCCAUGGGUCAGGUCCGAGCUUGGAUUUUAGAUGUUUCAUUUCUCAAGGGCAAUCGACUGCAGCCAUAGCUCAUGGUUUUUGGGCAUUUUAGUAGGCAACUGGUUGGCAAAAAAAGCCUAGAACCUCCUGCACCUUAGAAAAUGAUAUGAGCAUGUGUUGAGCACCUUCAAGAGGAUUUCUAUUUUUAAAGAGAAUAUUUUAUAAUUUAUAAAGCAUCUAUAAAUUUAAAGAAUAAAAAUUUUUUAAGUACUCCAACAGACUUCUGAUCUUUUAACUUCUAAUUUUACUACUUCAAAAAUAUAUGAGCUUUGACUUAUACUCUGUACAUCAGUAGAACGUAGACUCUUGGAAAAAAUCGAGUGUACAGACAGAUUUUUGACAGAAUUUUUACAGAACUGAUUAGCAGAUUUCCUUUUUUCUUUUUCAACUGCAAAUGAAAACUUGAUAAAUAUAAAUCUGUUAAUAUUCUAGCAAAAAGAAUUUGUACUCUUAUAAAUGGUCACUUCAAAAUCUUCAUUGCCGUAAUCCCAUUGUUCUUCACGAACUGGCAAAGCUGAACUUUAGAAAUUUUUGCACAAUAAUAUAUCUUGAUCUCGUUAUUGUUUAAAUAUAGCUAAAUUCAUAAGGAAUCUUCUCUAGUUUUUUGCAAAAUCUGAACAUAGGUCGUUCAAGUACAUGGAAAUGACAUUUAAGGAAUCUCAUUGUCCAAGAUCUGACACAAUAAUUCAAGGAAUUUUAGCUUUGGGAGCUCAUUAUCCUACGUUCCAGAUUUUCCCUCAAAGACUUCCAACUCUAAUUUCAGAAUCUUAAGUUUGGCGCCUUAAUGUUGUCCCAAUAAUCAAAAUAUUAGCGCGGAGAAUUUUCUACAAUGCACUAACCACUAAAUGCAAAUCCGAAGGAGGAUAGCAUGCAUGCCUUAUUUCUUUGUUUGAAAGCAAGGGCAGUAUGGAAUGAGUUAGAUGGGUGGGAAACUAUCAAGGGCUGUUUGACUCCACUGACAAUGGUGAGAUGUGCUUAGUCCAUAAUAUAGAUCCAAUCACUUGUCAAAUUAACCAUAAUGUGGUACAAUUUGCAACCGGAUCAUUAUUUAUUUUACUUACAAUAAAGAAGUUAACUUCACGCUAAGUACAAAGAAAAACAACUAACAAUUGACAUGGAGCCCGAAAUUAUUUUCUAAUCAUGAGGUGUGGGAUGUAAAGGAAUCUCUUGCAAGGAAAUUUAAAAAUAUUAAAAAUGAAUAAUAAAAAUGUUUAUUUCAGAAAAAAAAAAUGAUG